This 98130-nucleotide long non-coding RNA is filed under the name Eutrema salsugineum. RNAcentral describes it as "long non-coding RNA (ESAL_LNC001408)". The record is from RNAcentral. Lineage: Eukaryota; Viridiplantae; Streptophyta; Magnoliopsida; Brassicales; Brassicaceae.
UUCUUCUUCCUCUGUUUCUUCUGUUUCUGCCAUAGUUGUCUCUUGAGCCUUUUGAAGUCUAUCUGGGCAUUUUGACGCGAAGUGUCCGAGCUUGUCGCAUCUGUAACAAACGACUUUGGACAUAUCUCUCUUUUCUCUCGUUUGAUACUGCGAGUUUGAGCGACCUCGUCCUCGUCCUCUGGAUGUGCCUCUGCCUCGCGAGCUCUGUUCCCUUGAGUUCACAUAUAGAAGCUUGCCUUGAGUCUCGUCGGUGUUCUCCUCAUCGAGAAUCCGCUCCUCGUAGGCUUUGAGUCUGUCGAUGAUAUCUUCAAACGUGGUUUUCUUUAGAUCCAGUACUUGUUCUAAAGAUGCAAUGAUAUAGAUAUACUUCUGUCUCGGUAAACUGUUGAGGAACUUUUUCACCAAUCUUGUCUCAUCAAUAGUUUCACCGAGUGCAGCAGAUUUGGACGCGAUCUCUGAUAACUUUCCCGCAAAGUUAUCAAUUGUGUCCUCGUCCUUCAUUCGAAUUCUUUCAAAUUCAGACAUAAGCGUUUGUAACCUUGCUUCCCUGACCCGGUCAGCACCAAGAUUUCGCGUUUUGAUAGCUUCCCAUAAUGCUUUCGGAGUCUCUUGUACGCUGACUUGGAGGAUGAGGUGCUCCGGGAUUGACUGAAAGAUCAAUCCUGUUGCGAUGUCUUUCUUUGUGUUGUCCACUGAUCCAGGCUCUAUCGUUUCCCAGACCUUAUGUAUACGAAGCAUGACCGUCAUCCGCAUUGACCAUACUGUGUAAUUUGUGGCUGUUAACAUUGGACAAGAGAUGGAGGAAGGUAUAGUUUCCUUUCCUUGUGUUGUUUGAACUAUAUCGCCCAUCUCUUCGUACCUUAUAAUCUUCGUGAUGUGUUAGGUUUCGAUCGAUUUUUCUUUGGAGGCUCUGAUACCAAAUAAAGUCGUAAGAAGCUUAGGGUAAAGACAAACACUCUUUAUUAAUGUUUAGGAAACUAACUCAAAACCUAAACUCCCAAAACUCAUAGUCUUUGUCACAACUCAACAAAGCUAUUUAUAUAGGUAAAACACAACACUGUUUUCCUUUUCAUAAUAGUAGAAUAUUUCCUAAUCCUAAAGGUUUUGUGAUGUGGACAUCGACCCUAAGACCUUACCAGAGCUAAUGCCAUCAGUCCAAGACGGGGCCAUGACACGCUCCAAGAUUAAAUAACUCAGAAAUAGAUACAAGCGAGCCUUACACAUCUUUAUCAACUCACUAGAACCAGACGACCCGUUGUUGCCCGACCUGAAUGUCAUAUACGGCUUAAACGAGCUUUGCGGCCAAACCGGGGCCGAAUACUUGGAAUCCAGAAAUGACCCAUCAGAUGACCGAGUCUCUCAGGCCAAAAUGGUUAUCUUUCGACCAGUUUUUGAUUUAAAUGCCAACAGUCCGAGCAUAAUGUCUUUUUCAGGCUUAAAACUUGAAGAACUAAAGGAUGAUUCCAAAAUGGCCGAUACGCGAGAAACUUUGGCCGAUACGCGAGAGAUUUUAGCCGAGAAAUCAGUAGCACCUCGGCCAGACCAAUGUAGCGAUGGAAUCUGCCGUACUGAAGCUGGCAUUGCUCGACCAAAAUCACCAGCUGAAUCAAACGGACGAGACAGAAACAAGUUUGCCCGAGCGGAUAAUGAGAUGGCCGAGCCCAUACAAGAUUUGGCCGAUAACUCAAAGACACCAGGGCUGGAGCCACCAGACGACUUGGAUUCCUCCAACAAAGGUAAGAUCUCUCGUCCAAGUAUAUAUACUGAGGCUAACGAACGUGGAAUUUUGUCCCACCAACGAGCAGAUUUGGAGAUGCUUUACAAUACACCACCCGGACCCGAGAAAGGCCAAGAAGACCAAGAAACUAGGACGGAGCACCAAAAAGCUUGGGGACUUGAAGACAAGGACUUAGCUACAUUGGAGAAGCAUUUAGAAGACUUUACAAGAAGAUUCCAAGCCAAGGACGCCACAGCCUCAAGCUCGGCCGACACAGCUACACAAGCGGCCAUCCGGAACCCUUCACACCAAGAUAAGCUUUUCAAUUAUUAUAUCGUUCUUGCAGGAGAUCUCAGCCCUCACAACGGCUAAGUACAACAUCAAAACGACGUCAAUAGUUUAGUUUAAAGAGUCUUAAGCAAACUUUCCAUUUUUGUAUUAAAUGAAACGAUGAGUUUAUGUUUUCGUAGACUAGGUUUGUUUUUUGUUAUUUCCCUUUCAAAAGUACUGUCGUUUUGAGUCCCUUUUCUUUUCUUUGAGUCGAACCCUAGAAGGUUCAAGCUGACGGACUAUUUAUAAAGUCCCACACGCAGCUUUGUAGUCACCAACCUUUUUUCCAUUAUCAAUAAAAAAACGAACUUUCUUCAAAGUUUCUUGAGAAGCGGCUUCUCAUCUUGUUCACUGCUUUCUUGUGAGAUUCAAGCAAGUGUAAGCUACUGCACCGUAUCAGAGAAUCACCAUCCCUCUGUGUUGUAUAUUCAUUCCACCAACACACCAUCUCUAGAUCCCACACGAGAGGGCGACCGCUUGCGUGUCAGAUCCCCAUCCAUUGUUUAUUCACCGAAUCAAAGAGAGGGCGACCACCUGCUUUGCCUCACCACCACCUGCUUUGCCUCACCACCACCUUGUUACCCGUGGGAAUCCCCUGAUUCUUACAUCAUUUUGCCUCUUAUCUCUUAACCAACUUGUUAAUGAGAUACUUUAGGCUGUAAGCUACUAGAAACUACUAGAAGCUUAUCCAACACUAAUUAAUUUGAUUAACCAAAUAUAUAAAAGUAUUACUAAAUAUUAUAUAUAAGUUCUGAUGACGUUUUGUGAGGAUUUUAAGCAUAAGGUGUAUGGAAGUCUUUACUUUAAUUUUCUUGACUUUUUGGUGAACCCAUAUAAUAAUAAGUGUAGGCUAGUUUUAGUUUAUGUUGAACACAUUUUUGGCGUUUGUUUAUGCUUAUUCCAAUUAUUGACUAAUGAAGAUGCGAGGUAUAUGAUUGGCAAAACAAUUUUUAAUAUACACAACAUAACAGUCUUUUUAAAAGUAAUUACUUGCUACCAUUCACAUUGAGCUUAGUUAAUUCAGAUUAUAUACUCCAUCUACUUCCAUUACUUGUAAUUUAAUUAAACUAUCGAAGACGACUAUUCUCGGACGGUAGUGAGCCAAAAAAAUGGUGGAGAUUCUACAAACAAACGUGUUAGAUUCUAAACAGUUUUGUGAGCAUACGUCGUAUGUUCCUAUCUUCUUCUUUUUUUCUUGAAUAUAAGUCUAAAGUCAUCUUCCUCCUUUAAUUGUCUAUUUUUCAGUUUUGUUAAUUAAAGCCUUCCUUCUUUCUUUGUUUAUUUGUUUAUUUGAUAGAAAAACGUGCUUAAACACGGCAUGGGUAUUAUGAUAUUAAUUAGUGUCAUCCAAACUAAAAUAAUGAUUAAUAAUAAUAAUAAUAAUAAUAAUAAUAAUAAUAAUAAUAAUAAUAAUAAUAGUUACCUCGCCAAAAAUGAAAUCAUUACCUUAUUUUUUUGUUCGUUUAACUUGAAUCCAAAGUCCAAACUAUUGUAUCACGUCGCGAUCGAUUUUGUGCUUGCUACCUGAAGAAUUAAGUCGUAACAAUAAUCACAUUGUAUAACGUCGCGAUUUGAGCUUGCGUACUCAAGAAUUAAUUUUGACGACUUACGAGUUACGAUCCCAACUUUUCAUUUUACAACAAAAAACUUUCGAUUUUAUUAUUCAUGUCAUAAAGGAUAAUUCUACUUACUCCGUACAGAUUUCCAAUUUUUUUUUUAAUGGUUGUUCUGAUUUAACAUUAUCCGAAUUCCAAGGUUGUAAAGUGAAAUUCAUCUUCCCACCCUUCCACAUUGUGGCAACGUGUGAGGCAUGUGCGAUGCCUACACAUGGAAUUCACACAUGUGAUCUGUUAUAUGAAAAUACAUGUAAAAAUAUAUUUAUGGAUAUACUCAAACAUUUCUCUUUCAUCCAGUUACAUAUACAAAAAUGUAUCAUAAAAUAUAAAUAAAAACUCUCAAUUUCGGUUCUGAAUCGCGACCAGCUCCGUAACACAUGUCCGAUACCAAUCACCAAAGGACAAACUAAUUCUUAAUUUUUUUUCUUAUGAACUUUUCUUACCGUACAUAGAAAAGCCUGUUUUCAUAGAAUAUAAAAUUAAGUCCCAAUUUCAUUUAGUUGCUUAACAGAUAUUCGUUAAAACCUGAAGCACAGAAUUUUUUUACUGUUCCAACACUCUAUUUUCACUUUAUGAAAACGUAACAAUUUCUUUAGCAUUUCUAGCUAAUUUUUUUUUCAGCUAACUGACUCUUGUUUAAUUUUUACCACUUUAUCGAGAAAACAUUGUUUUUUUUCUUCAUUUUAAAAUUGUCUAUUUCUUUACUUAUAAAGUGUACCCUUUUUUUUGUGUCAAAACUCAGCUGUAUUCUAGUAUAAUUCUAAAUUUUAGAGAACAUUUUUGAAGUAGAUCCUUUUUUUUUUCUUUUUUCACUAUUUUAACGUAUACUAUUUAUUUAAAAAAUACUAUUUAAAAAAAAUCUCGGAAUUAAAUUGACAUACAAAUCUUUUCCGAAGUAUCCAAUAAGAAAAUUAGCCAAAUAUAAGGUAGAAAUCAGAUUUGAUCCAGCAAUCUAUUUUAAAAACAUACUUCACAAAAAAAAAGUCUAUUUUAAAAUUAUUUCCAUGUGAAAUUUACUUUUAAGAGAAUAUUAAAAAUGGUUAUCUAGAAUCAACCACUGUCAUAAUAACACGUGUACGGUUCCAAAGCAAUCGGAAGAGUCCUUUGGAAUGUUCCUCCACCGUCAAAUAAGUAUCUAUCAUCUAUCCACUUGCUGACUCAGCCGGAUAAGCCUAAACCGGAGUUGCCUCACCGUAAGAAAAUUGGAUAAAACCGGGAUAAAUAAAAAGGAGGUAAAAGUAAAAGUAAAACCAAUCGGGAGUCCUAGGUGGUUUACACGUGGCACCAGCUGGGACGAGUUAUCCGGUACAUAUCCGGUUGCAGGUAAAACAUAAAUGGGCCCUACAUACGAAACGCGACACCACGGCGCCGUUUGGACUCUAUAAAUAGAGCAAUCGGUCGCAGAGAACAAGACAUCAAACGGGAAAACCGAUAAAACGCUCUACGUGCAAUUUCUCCUUCCCGACGUCUGUCAGUUUAUUGAUUUUUCGUAUUUUUCGGAUUUAAUUUUCUCUAAAGUUUCGGAGAUUCUGUUUUUCUUUUUUCUGUUUCGCAUUCUUUGUGAUCCUUCAUUUUUCUGCACCUUAAUUAAACUUUUCGCGACCAAAAAAGAAACAUGUGUGGAAUUCUUGCCGUUUUGGGAUGCUCCGAUGAUUCUCAGGCGAAGAGAGUUCGUGUUCUUGAGCUUUCUCGCAGGCAAUUCAUUUCAACUUUCCUCUGUUUUUUUUUGGUUUUUUAAAAAAACUCUUUUCUGAGAAUUGGAUACCAAUGUGCUUGUCACGUUAAACUAACAUAAAUUGGUCGAAGCUACAAUCCAAGAAUAUUUUGUUUGUUUAAGAUUAUUCUGACGAAGACUGAUUUGAUCUAUUAUCAUAUUGUAGUAUAAUUAUGAAUAUUUUCAUAUUUUGUUGACCCUUUUUGUUGAACGUGACAUGAACAGUGAUGCUUGAUCGAAUCAAAUAUCUCCUUUUUGCAUAGUUUAUGUAAUCUCUCCAAAAAAAAGCCGAAACUUUUUACUUGUUGGUGGAUUAUUCUACGAGAAAGUAUCAAAAUUUAAGCUUUGAGUAUCAGAAAUGGUAUAAUAAUUUGGUCUGAAAUGUUUUUUUUUUAAAACCACAAUAUGAUUACAGAUUGAGGCACAGGGGACCUGACUGGAGUGGAAUAUAUCAGAACGGAGAUAAUUACUUGGCCCAUCAACGUCUUGCGAUCAUCGAUCCUGCUUCUGGUGACCAACCUCUCUUUAACGAGGACAAGACCAUUGUCGUCACGGUAUAAGCUUCAAGUCAAGAUAUUCUUCAAAUCAUAAUAAUAACUCUUUUAUAGUAUUUUUGAUGCUGAAAUGUUCUCUAUUCUUGAUUUUGUUGGAAGGUGAAUGGAGAGAUUUAUAAUCACGAGGAGCUGAGAAAACGCUUGAAGAAUCACAAGUUCCAUACCGGUAGUGAUUGUGACGUCAUUGCUCACCUGGUACGUUUUGAUUUCGUUUUGGUUAGUUUUGCUAAAUUGGUUUAAUUACUAAUGAUUGAUUCAAGUUUGAUGUGUGUUUGUUUGGGUGGGGAACAGUACGAGGAGUAUGGUGAGAGUUUUGUUGAUAUGUUGGAUGGAAUCUUCUCCUUUGUGUUGCUGGACACAAGAGAUAACUCAUUCAUGGUGGCUCGUGACGCGGUUGGUGUCACUUCGCUCUACAUUGGUUGGGGAUUAGACGGAUCUCUGUGGAUAUCUUCAGAGAUGAAAGGUUUACACGAAGAUUGUGAACAUUUUGAAGCGUUUCCUCCAGGUCAUUUGUAUUCAAGCAAAUCAAGAGGGUUUAAACAAUGGUACAAUCCUCCUUGGUUCAAUGAAUCAGUUCCUUCUACGCCUUAUGAGCCUCUCGCGAUUAGACGCGCCUUUGAAGACGUAAGACCCUUGAAAGAUCUCUUCUUUUGAACGCAAUGUAUACAUAUGGUGUGAGAAGUUAAUCUGUUUUGUGUUUCUCUGUAGGCUGUGACUAAGCGUUUGAUGAGUGAUGUUCCUUUUGGAGUUUUGCUUUCUGGUGGUCUUGAUUCUUCUCUUGUUGCUUCCAUCACUGCACGUCACUUGGCCGGUACUAAGGCUGCUAAGCGAUGGGGUCACCAGCUCCAUUCCUUUUGCGUAGGUCUUGAGGUGAGAUAUACAAAACAGAGGAAGUUCCUCUGUUUUCAAAAGCAGAGUUAGGAUCAGAUGUAAAGUGAUUUUAAUAUGUAUGUGUCUUUUUUUCUUUAGGGCUCGCCUGACUUGAAGGCAGGGAAAGAAGUGGCGGAAUAUUUGGGGACGGUGCACCAUGAGUUCCAUUUCACGGUGCAAGAUGGGAUCGAUGCGAUAGAGGAUGUGAUUUACCAUGUUGAGACCUAUGAUGUGACAACAAUCAGAGCUAGCACGCCGAUGUUCUUGAUGUCUCGGAAAAUCAAGUCUCUAGGUGUUAAGAUGGUUCUCUCCGGUGAAGGUUCUGAUGAGAUCUUUGGAGGAUAUCUUUACUUCCACAAGGCACCUAACAAGCAAGAGUUUCACCAAGAAACAUGUCGCAAGGUAUCCAUCUAUUCAAAUUUAAUCACAAAAAUAACAUCAUCAAAGACGAGAUCUUUUAACUCUUGGUGCGGCGAUGCCUUGCAGAUCAAGGCUCUUCACAAGUACGACUGUUUGAGAGCCAACAAAGCUACCUCUGCCUUUGGUCUUGAGGCGCGUGUUCCUUUCUUGGACAAAGAGUUCAUCAAUACCGCUAUGUCGCUUGACCCUGAAUCCAAGAUGGUAAACUACAACAACUCAAAUGUCAAAUCAAUACAUUCUUUCACAAGCUAACGUUUCAAUAUGGGGUUUUCGUAGAUCAAACCAGAGGAAGGGAGGAUUGAGAAGUGGGUUCUAAGGAGAGCUUUUGACGAUGAAGAACGUCCUUAUCUGCCAAAACACAUUCUAUACAGACAGAAAGAGCAGUUUAGUGAUGGUGUUGGCUACAGUUGGAUCGAUGGCCUCAAAGCUCAUGCUGCUGAAAAUGUACUACACAAAAAGAUCUCAUCUCUCUUCUGAUCAGCCUAUUUUUCGGUUUAGAUCUGAUUAUUUCAUGUUCUGGUUUUAGGUUAAUGACAAGAUGAUGUCGAACGCUGCACAUAUCUUCCCUCACAACACUCCACUCACAAAAGAAGCUUACUAUUACAGAAUGAUCUUUGAAAGGUUCUUCCCACAGGUGAGACUCCUUUUAUAAAUCUCCACUUUUCAGUUUUGUCAAAACAAGUUUACGAACUUUGAGCUGUGUUUUCUUGUAGAACUCUGCGAGGCUAACUGUUCCUGGAGGUGCCACCGUGGCUUGCUCGACAGCAAAGGCAGUUGAGUGGGAUGCAAGCUGGUCCAACAACAUGGAUCCAUCGGGAAGAGCCGCCAUUGGAGUUCACCUCUCGGCUUACGACGGAAGCAACAAGGCAUUGCCUUCGCCGCCACUUAAGGCAAUUGACGACAUGCCGAUUAUGAUGGGACAAGGAGUUGUGAUUCAGACAUGAGUUUGAAAGGAAAAGGGAGGAAAUUGUUUGUUAUUUUAAGGUUGUCCUAAUGGGUUUUUAAGUGUUUUUUUUUUUUUGGUAUCAUUUCAAAAUAAAAAUGGUUUUCUAUUUCUUAUGAAGAUUUGAAUGUAUAAAUUUAUUUUCUUGUAUUUUUGGGUAAGAUUUGAAUGUACUGUUUCUACAUAAUUCGAUGUACAUCAAUCUUAUAUCAAUUCUAUAUUGUAUUGGGUAACCAACAAUUGUUUCCAUCCAUCCUAUUGGAAUAUAGAUAAUUGUGCUGGUUUCUCAAAACUCUAUCUAAAAAAAAUGUGUAAAACAACAUUUAGAGUUAACCAAAUCGUAGUAGCUGGUGGUUUCUAUUUUUUAGGUUUAGGCUAAAGAUUGAUCAUCAUAUAUAUUAAAAGCCAAGUGAUUUUUAACCUUUAAACUCUUUCAUUUUGGGAAUGACUAAUUAUUAUUCUGUCUCUCACCAAAAAAAUUCUAAUAUUUUUUUAAUUGAUCUAAAAUAAGUUUGCAGAAUAAUCACAUAUUACCGAUUACUUAUCUCUAUAUUAUUAUUUAAGUAGACAUUUUAAAAUAUAAUCUUUAUUUUAUAAAAUAUUACAUGAUAUGUCAUAAUAAAUAACAAAGAAUAAUUAAAAUAGGAAAGGAUAUAGUUGUCUUUCAACUCUAUUGCUAAAAAUAUGGAAAGUCUUUAUUUCUCAUUUAAUAGAGUAUAUUUAUUAUUUAAUUUCUAAAUUCAAAAAUAUAAUAGUUUUUAUUAUUUUUAUUUUCAAAUGAUAUUAUAAAGUAUAUUUAAUUAAAAACGUAAAAAUAAAUUUUUGAUUUUAGAAAUAUUAUAAAAGUCAAAAUUAAAAGUUAUGAUAUUAAAAAAGUGGUGAAGUAUUUUUUUUCAAUAAUUUGCUACAUUUGAUUGAUUAUAUACAAAAAUACUUUUUUAGUUAUUUUACUAAAAAUUUGAUAUGGAAAAUUGAUUUUUAAAUAAAAAAAGUUUGUGGUGAAAUGAUUUAUAAAUGUUAUUAAAUUUUAAUCCAAUACAAAUAUGUUAAGUAAACGGGUUAGUUCGAUAUGAACAUAUUAUAAUUUUAAUUUUUUAAUACCCACAAAAAAAUCUCAAAAUUCAAAAUAUUAAUUUUUUAAAAUAGGUAAUAUAUUCAAUCUACUAAAUUAUAUAUAUUUUUAAAUUAAAUAUAAUUUGUUGUAUAUUUUUUUAUUAUAUACCAAACCUAAGUGUAAAGAAUAUUAUAUUAGUUUCAUAUAUAGUUAAAAAUAUAAAAUUAUUUUUUUAUAGUUAGUGAACAGAUUAUAAAUGUCAAUUAUUAAAUGAUGCAAAUUAGAGUUGAUAAUUAUAAUAUUAUAAUUUUUAUGUAAUAGCCUAGAUAAUAUUUUAGUUUAGUGCCAACGGGUUUAAAACAACUUAUUUUGCUUUACACGCUUAUAAAAUAACUUUAUAUACGGACUAAUUCAUUCAACUCAUUAUUUAAAAUUCACAAAAAGAUGCAAUAUAUUAUUGUAAACUUUAUAACAAUAACUGUUUUUACAAAAUAACUGUUUUCAUAAAAUUAUUUAAAUUAAUUAAAGAUUAAAAAUAUAUCUCUCGCACUAUAGGACGGGUUAAUCCCUAGUGUAAUACCAAUUUGUUAGUUUUUUUUUCCUACGAAGUCAGUCCCUAUUUGGGCUAAAGUCAUUGGUUCCCCCCUUACCUCACAAACAUUAUGUUUGCAGUGGGUUACCGUUUUUAGAAUUUUACAACAAUCACGUAAAUUAUUUUGUGUUAUUUCAUACCAUUUUUUAUCAAAUUAAUUCAGAUAUUUUAAAUUGUAUAAGUUUAUGAAAUCUUUUUAAUUCUUUUAAUUUUAGUAAAAUAUUAGGAAUAUAUAAUAAAUAAUAUGUAGUACUUCAAUAAAAAUAAUAAAUUAAUAAUUUUUGGUCCAACUCAAUCGUAAUUAUAUUAAUAUAAUUUUUUUAACAUACUUAACUUGUCCUAAAUGCGUUUAGAUGGUUUGCCCGCACAUGUUAAUAUACUUAAUUUGUUCCAAGUGAGUCUAGGUAGUUCGUCCGCACAUGCGUGUGGGAAUAAUUGAUGGGAUUACUGCAGAACACAUCAAAGAUUCAAUGCAGGCGAUGUUUCAAUUGAAAAUAGAUUACACAACUUCGUAUAGAGCUUUGAUGUAUGCACAAGAAUGUGUGAGGGAAACCCCUGAGGAUGGAUAUAGUCGACUGCCUUCUUAUUUGCAUCUGAUCGCUGAAGCAAAUCCGGGUACUAUAACUGCCCUUGAACGCGACAGUCAGAAUAGGUUCAAGUACCUAUUCUUAGCCUUCAGAGCCUCCAUAGCUGGUUUUCAAUAUCUCAGACGGGUCAUUGUUGUCGAUGGGUGUCAUCUGACUGGAAAGUAUGAAGGGACUCUGCUAGUGGCCACAGCACAAGAUGGUAACUUCCAGAUAUUUUCACUAGCUUUUGGAAUAGUGGACUCUGAGAAUGAUCACGCAUGGGAAUGGUUUUUUAGAACAUUGCGGGAUUUUUUUACAGACGAGUAUCCGUUGGUGAUAGUUUCAGACCGGCAUCAUUCCAUUAAGAAGACAUGUGAGACUGUUUUACCAUGGGUAACACGCGGUAUAUGCUAUUAUCAUCUGCAACACAAUAUUGUCACUAAGUUUAAGGGGAAGCAUCUUAUGUACUUAGUCAAACGUGUUGCGUAUGCAUAUACGGUACAUGAUUUUAACCGUUAUAUGGACGAGAUAAGGCAUAUAAAACCUGACCUUGCAACGUAUCUGGAGGAGGCAGGCAUUCAGUUGUGGUCAAGAGUUCACUUUCCAGGUGAUAGAUACAAUAUCAAGACGAGCAACAUCGCAGAGUCUAUCAACUCUGCUCUCAAACGGGCACGGGGAUUUCCCAUAGUAUUCUUGUUGGAGUACUUACGGGCGAAGCUAACAAAGUGGUUUUGUAAAAGGCGGGAAGAUGCUUUGAGUCUUCCAACCAACCAUACUCGAGGAGUUGAAUAUUUGUUGGCAAUUCGUUCACAUUAUGCUGAUAAUUUGACGGUUGAAGGCAUAGAUGGUUGGCGAUUCAAUGUGAAAGGAGGAUCACAUAACUGUGUCGUUGAUUUGGAACUUCGAAAGUGUGGGUGUGGCGUGUAUGAUAUUGAGAAAAUACCUUGCUCUCAUGUUAUAGCCGUUUCAGAUGCAAUGCAUAUGCAUCUGGCCACUCUUGUAUGCCCGACAUACUCCAAAGAUUACUUGUAUGCAGCGUACUCGCAUAAUAUAUAUCCUCCAAGCAUUGCAAUGAAACCGAUGAAACAACACAAUGUCUACCUCCGGAGGUCCGACGUAAAAAAGGCAGGCAGAGGAAGUCAAGAUGGCAAACUUGGCUGGAAAUUUCGAGGCAUAAGCAAAAGAAACCCCGUAAGAUCCACAAGCAGUACAGUUGUUCAAAAUAUCACCAACCAGGACAUAUCAGACCGGAUUGUGUAAGUGUUAGGUUACCUCAUACUUUAAGGGUUACAUUGGUCGAAGUUAAUUUCCUCUGCUUUUUUUGCAGACGUUAAAGUCAAGAUAAAACCCUAAACCUAUAAUAGCAGACUUACACUGAAGACUACAACUAGAAGUCUUCGACAGUAGUCUGCACAAGAAAUCUGCUUCACCAGGUAAGGGAAACACUACUGAAAUGUGUCUGUUUCAUGUCUAUGUACGAUCAUUCUUAGUUAUUGUCAUAAACUAUGCGAUAUAAUAAGCUAUGAUUAGGCUAAACCUUAGAAUACGUGAAUUAUCACAAAAGCCACACUAGUCUAUUACAAGCGUUUUAGCCUCCCAAAAGAUACAACCACAAAAGAUACAACCACACCAUUGUUUUAAAUAUUACUAAACAAACCGAACUUAGUUAGGAACAUUACAGUUAAAUAGAGAACAACAAUUCUGGCAGGUUAACCAAAAACUUCCAACCAUACCACACCCAACGAGAGUCCUUUCUCUUUCAGUACAGAAUAUACAUAGUUGGACAUAUCACUUACCUUCGUAUACGUCCAACCAUGGAUAAUCAUACUUCUCUGUGCCGGUUACUCCUGUCUCGUCAAAUAUCUCAGCUGCCAGCUUGUCUCGGACGUUUUUAAUGUUUGCAUCGCACAAGGUCUUAGGAAAUGGCAUCCCUAGAGCAUGGCAUUCAAGGUACUUCAAGCAGUAAACGCCACAGUCACCGCUUUGUUUUUUUUUUGGGAUCAAAUGCCCCUUGAUUCGCUCCCACAUGAAUGGAUCAUAAGUCAGAUUGAUACGGUCUUCAGCAGGUGCACAUUCACGGAGUAUGUAGGGAACCAAGACGGUAAUCGGAGUCACAGCAGCCUCAAUCUGAAUAUCCGAUGCAUGAGUAUUCGCAUGGCUAUCCCAAAUGACAAUAUGCUUCAUCGGAAUCGAAAUCCACAUUGCCAUCCAGUGAUCAUCAGUGAUGUGUAACAUCGAGUACAGGUCAUCCACAUCAUACCCUAACGCAGUAGGUUGGCGCUGCGCCAGUGUAGUACUCAAACGAGCUAACUGGAAGGAGCUUGCCUGAACCAUCAGGGUUGGCGUGAGAGUCCACGAACUCCUUGUACUUGUGCCUCCACAUCGUUGCAAAGUAAGAGUUGAGGAAUGUUAUCCUGUCCGACCUAAACCACUCAGGAUGCUUUGUAAAUCGCAGCCUGAGUAGGUUAAUCCUAGCUUCCAUGUGCUGCAUAUUCAAUGAAAACAAUUAUUCAAGCAGAGAGAAAUAUGUUGUGUUCAUAUCAUAUAUACACUCACGUAACUUACAGUGUCUGCUAGCCAUUGUUUUGGGACUCUUAGGAUGAAGUACCAGUCCACGGAUGACCAUUUUACCCGCUUCGGAUAGUUCCUGAAAACACCACCAUUUUACAAUAUCAUCCACUACUCUUACAAUAGAAAGUCUGCUUUAUGCUAACUCCAAAACAAAGACUUACGGAUCUUUUUUCAGACAAUCAGUUAGCACACCGAUCUUUUGCUUCACGUGUUUCAUAUCAAACGGAUCAUAUCCACACCCUCAGACAUUUUUGUUUGGGAUUAUUUCCUUCGCUGUGUUGUUGGGUUUGAAAGGGCUUUGUUGUGUAGGAGCCAACUUUCUCAGACGUUCACUCUUCGCACGAGCAACCAGUUGUGCCGCCUUCUUGCCUUUCUCGUGUUUAUCUUUCUGGACCUGAUCGAAGUCGAUGUCGCAUUUUGCUGGAUCAACCAUAACGACGCUUGGCUCUGGAGUUCUCUGCUUACCAUCGUUCACGCUCUCACUUGGGACAUCAGUUUGUUCAUUUUGCUUAGACAUAAAAUUACUCUGCAAAUAUAAAGAUUUAAACACACAUCAAUGAAACGAAACCAAACAUCAAACAUUAAAGAGUACAAAUAAAAACAUUAAAUAUUUAGUGGUGACAACAUUUUAACGAUUUCUAAGGUUUUAAAACAGAUUGGUAAGGUUCGAUGAGAAGUUUGAAAACAAAUAUGGAAUUUUAUUUUUUCCGGGGUUUCCUUCCUCUUUUCUUUGGAGCGGGUUUUGGACUAACCCCGAUAUUAGGAUCGGCGUCCGCGUCCGUUUGAUCGUUGCCAACAGGUUUUGCGUCCUCGGCGGCUGCUUCACCAGUCUGAGCCACAUCCUCCUUUGUACCUCCGGUCCCAGCUUGGAGGAUCACUGCCUCUAAUUUCUGCUCCACCGUUCCCAACUUUGUGUUGAGUAGUUUGAUCUGUGAUUCACAACUACUCAACCCAUCCAUCAUCUUGUUGAAGCAGUCGUCCAUGUGGUCCUUCAGAAUCGUGACCAUUGACUCAUCUUCCUCACCAGAGGCUGGGCAGAACCACUUCCGACUUCCUUGAUCACCAACUGAUUCCGAUCGCCUCUUCAGAUCAACAGACCCUUCGGACUUGACAUACUUGGUCACACCUGUUGGAGGCCAAUGACUCCUUUCCCAUGUCCAUUGUUUAGGGCCAAAAUGACCAUACAUCGCUUUGAUGAUGUUGUCAGUCCUCUCGUUUUCUUCAUCAUUGUCUUCAACUUCCCAGUGCGGAAACAUGUCGAAGAAUUCCUUAACAACGUAGUUGUUAAUGCGUGUCUACAUGGAAAUCAAAACUGUGUUAUAUAAAGUAUAAUGUAGAAGUCUACCAACAAAGUCUGCAUUAGAAAUCUACUAAGGAAGUCUGCUGUAUAUUAGAGACGUCUGCACUAGAAGUCUACUAAAUAAGUCUGCCGAUAUAAUAGUCAACCAAGUAUGAAUUCAGACUACUUACCUGUCGGAGCAUAUUCUCUUUCAUAAAUUUCCUCCCCCUGGAUCCCUUGUAAGCUAUCAGCGGUACAAUGGGGUCGUUUGGAAGUGGUUCACCAAAUUUAGCAGCAAAGUCGGGAAGAGCAAAGUAAACCCAGACUUGUAGUACUUGAACAAACCCCUCAAUGGUGUACGACGACUUCCAAAUUUCUUUCUCCUUCACCGACCGCAUCAGGUUUUUGAAGGCCACUCUUCCCCAAGGGUAGUUUUCAAACGCAUCUAAAUCCAUCACAAGCCUUGCCAACCUAGCCCGAGUAGCUGAAGAUGGUUUUCGUGCUUCAAUGUACCUAGUAUAAAUGCUAAGGUAUCACAGCCUCAACCGAUCCUCGGAAGACCACGACCCGCAUUCCUUACAAGCUUCUAUCAAAUCUUCAGUGCUCGGGCCCAAAUCCUGAUUGACUCCCAAUCGCUCCCAGAAAUCUUGCAUCUCCUCAGUUAUCUCAACCACCGGAUCCUCGAGGUUGUCCACGUACUCGCAAUUCAAGCCAGUAAUAUGUUCGAACUCAUUCAAAAAAAAGCGAAUCGGGAUUAGACCUACGAGGCUCCAAAUCUCAAAUUUUUUCUUGCAAACUAGUUGCAUGCCAAGAAUGUAAUGCACCAGUCUAGAUGCCCAGUCGAAAUCCAGCUGACUGAACUUCAAGAACACUCCCAGUUUAGAGUUCAAUAUCUCUUCCCACUCAUCUUGUGUGAGUGCUUCCUCGAGUGCAGUCAUCAGCUUCGUCUCACCGCUAUAGUAACCGAUGCUUUUCAGCAGAGACGGCUCAUCGCCUUUCGAGAAGAGACGCGGGGGGGGGGGAACUCUGGGUUUUCCAUUGGCUGUUCUGACGUCUGCAAAACGAAGUCAAAUAUUCAAGAAGUCUACUUAUGAAGACUUACGAAGAAGUCUGCACACGAAGUCAGCCAACUAAGUCUGCAAUUGAAGUCUGUGGACCUAAUAGUGUAAUUAAUAAAGUUUCAAAAAAACUAGCUGCCGACAAAGUUCUCUAAAAAAACACAACCCGUUUUGAACUCCGUUUUGAACUCCGUUUUACGAGAUAAUACUUCCAAAAUAGUUCGCCUAACACUAUACAAUUCCGUUUAAUAAAUAAAAAAAAGUACAGAUAUCUGUAACACAGCAACUAGAAAUUGGAAACGGGUAUUCGAUUUUUGUCCGACUUUGGAAAUAUCUACUCGGUGUUGUCCGAUUUUUAGAAAAACCGAUGUAGAAACCCAAACGACUGGGAACUUGGAACCCGUAAAGAUAUUUAUUUACAAAUUAUAAGAAAUUAGUACAGCCAAAUACCUUUCCACGACCAACGGCGAAAAUGAACAGACGGCGGAAAUGAACAGUUACGGACGGCGGCGACACCAGAUCUGGAAUACAAAGCGAAGGAGAUUAGGGUUCGUGAAUUACACAGACGACUUCGAUCCAAAAGAGAAGUCGGCAUUAAUUUCGACUUACCUUAAACGGUAAACGGAUGUACAGUAAAAACCGGCGACAAGUUUCGAGAAAAAUUUUCCUAACGACAGUAGUUUUUUUUUUUACUGAUUUGUGUUAAUACAGUGUUCGUAGCAACUCUUAUAUAUGACGGUAGAAACCUAUUUAACCGUCGUACCGGUUCAAUAACCGUCGUACCAGUUCAAUAACCGUCGUACCAGUUUAAUAACCGUCGUACCAGUUCAAUGUGGUUUAUCGAUUUUGUUAUUUAAAACGCAAUUGGUUUAUCCAAUUAUAGCUGGUUUGCAAUAUAAUUUUAAAACUGUCUGGUUUAGUUUAUUCGACGUAUUAAGUCUGCAUAUUAAGUCUGCUUAAGAAGUCUGCCUAAGAAGUCUGCAUAUUAAGUCUGGUUAAGAAGUCUGCCUAAGAAGUCUGCAUAUUAAGUCUGUUUAAUAAGUCUCCAACGAAGUCUGCCUAAGGGCAUCCUCAGUGCAGAUACCCUCAUGGGUCUCCAAAUGUGUUUUUAUUAAUAUCAUAUGAAAAGUAGUUUUAGAGAUUGUAUGUAGAGACCCUUAACUCAUGGGCCUGCAUACGUACACAAUACACAUAGUGCACAUAGCUUCCGCAGUAUACGGAGAAUGUAUAUGCAACAGUCAACACCAACAUUAAUCACCAUAGAAGUCAUAUACAUAUGUUUUAUCCCCUCUAGUCUACUUAAUGGUUACACAAGUCUCUUGGUCCUCUAUUCUACAUCCCAACGCAUGAUAACACAAGAGAUUACUGCGAAAAUAACUAAAAAAACACACAGUAGGAUGUCACAACCUCGACUAGCAAGUGCUCUUUCACUCCAGCAAUUUCACUCUGAAUGAACCCUAUGACUCCUCGAUCUCGCUAAUGGUCUUCUCGGUGCAGCAAGGCGAUCCUCCAAUGCAUACAGCCGAUUCUCAUAUGAUUGCAGAAGGGCUGUUCGGUUGUCACGGAACAUGCUUUCGCUCUGCUUGUCAAUUCGUAUUUGAAGAAUGGUCAGCUGCUCUUCAAUGGCUUCAUCCCACCAUUUGGAGAUGUGACCCGGUUUAUCCUACACAUAUGACAAACGAAAACUUCAGUUAUACUCGAUGAAUAACAUUAAAACUAUACACAUAUUGAGAAAAACCUCAUUAAAACUAUACACAUUCGCCUAAUAUUUCAGGGCAACUAUAGAACUUCCUGCCAAACGUCUCUGGAGCUGUAGACUCUUCCAAUCUACAUCGAAGGCCGCAAUAGCAUCGUUCAGGUAUCCCAAAGUCUCCAUCAGCUUUGGCACACCCGCUGUCAUAGCUUGCUUUGGAAGAUGAGCUGUUGGUGUAGCUUAUCGGCAUUACUCUGUAGAGAUCAAGCAAACAAACUUGGCAGUUAACAAACAAAAAACUAAAACAGAUACGACCACAUAAUAACUUUGCAGCUAAAAACAAAACAACAAAAACAAACUUUUCAAACAAAUAUUUCUUACUCGCUAAACAACAAAAUAACAAAAAAGGUACAUCUUGAAAUAAAGAAAAAAUCGAAAUAUUUUUACUUACUUGCUCACGGAAUCUGUGAAAAAAGUAUUUUUACUUAGAUCUGUUAAAAAAACAGUAAAGCAAAAGGACAAAAGAACAAAAGAACAAUUUUAAAGGACAAACCAGUAAACAAUAAGAUACAGACUAAACAGAGAAUGUAAUGGCGAAUAACUCACAGAUCUGGAGAGAUAACUAAGAACGAUGAAGACGCCGGCUGAGAUCUGCAGCAACAAUAUAUGUAGUGAUAUAUAUAUGAAACAACAUAUGCAUCAGAAACAGAAAAGAAGAGAUGGGGAGCGCCGGGAAAGGCUUACUGCGAGAGAGAGUCGCGGCGAGAGAGACUAGAGUGCAGCGCCGUUUUACAGUGAUCUAGGGUUUUUAUUUAUGGUAACGACUGGUAAGUUUCUUUAUAUACUAUGUUAAAAAAAAAAUUCCGGUUAGGUUAAUUAUUCUGGUUUGACAAGACUUCGAUCCGUAGUCUGCUGAGCAGACUGAUAAAGAAGUCUGCAGCCCUAGUUUAAAACUUUUCACUUUUUAUGUUUAUCUUAGAUGGUUAAAAAUGAUUCAUAUUUAUUAAAUUAUAAUUUUUAUAGAUCAUACUUGUUGACAUUUGAUUUAUAGAAACAAAUUUCAGUUUACAUUAUUUUUAUAUAAUUUUAAAAUUUAAAACUAAGAUUUAUUAAUAUAGUAGACUUCUUUAUCAGUCUUCUGAGCAGACUGAUAAAGAAGUCUGCAGCCCUAGUUUAAAACUUUUCACUUUUUAUGUUUAUCUUAGAUGGUUAAAAAUGAUUCAUUUUUAUGAAAUUAUAAUUUUUAUAGAUCAUACUUGUUGACAUUUGAUUUAUAGAAACAAAUUUCAGUUUACAUUAUUUUUAUAUAAGUUUAAAAUUUAAAAAUAAUAUUUAAUAAUAUAGUAGACUUCUUUAUCAGUCUGCUGAGAAGACUUCAUUAGUAUUUGCAGACUUCGCAGGGUUAUAAUCGUAAUUGAGACAUUCGUUUUAUUGUUUACUCAUGUACGAGAUAAUGGUAAUUUCUCUACCCCUCUGACCUAUUUUUGCAAUAGGUUGAAUUUGGAGUAUAUUUUUGCAUUUGGAAUCAAAUUGUGGCCUAUUUUUAUCAAUUUCCCAAGCUUUUUACAUAUACAAGUGUAGUUUUCAAAAAAAAUAAUCUAUUAUAUAAUGAGAGAGUUUUCUCUCCAUCUAGACUAUCCACAUCAGCAAAUUCAUAAAGCUUAACAUUUAAGUAUAUUUAAAGUAUGCAUUUAAUAAAUAUAUUAAUGUUUGUUAUUAAUAAAUUUAGUAUAAAUUAAAUUAAAUUAAAAAAAUUAUAGUAUAAAUAAAAAAUAAGUGAUAAUUAGAUAUUAAUAAUUAAAAACAUUGUAAUACUAACUGGAUUAAAUAUAUAUAUAUUUUUAAAAAUGAUAAAUUAUUAAAUUGAAAAAAUGUUUUAAAAUGAUGAUAAUUAAAAAAAAGAAAAAAUAAUGAAAAAUAAUAAGAAAAAUAGAAGGAAGAAGAAAAAUCAAAAUACAAAAACAGAAGAUAUUAAAAAGAUGAAAAAUAAUAGAAAUUAAAGACCAUGAAGAGGAAUAUGGAUAAUAAAAAAAAGAACACAAAGCUGAUGAAAAAGAAUUUUGAAAAAUAUGAAAACAAAGAAAGAGAACAGAAGAUAAAGAUAUCAAAAUAUGAAAAUAUAAAAAUGGAGAAGAAGAAAAAAAUUAACAAAAAUGGAUAAAUAUGAUGUUUAAAUUUCAAAAAAAGGUAAAAAUAAAUGAUUAAAAAUUAUUACUGCGCAACGUGUAGAGCAUUAACAAAAAAAAAUAAUUUUAAUACUGUAAUAAAAAUCACACAAUAGUGACAGACAAAAUAUAAAAGUACAUGAAAUAAAAAAAAUUAACAGAAAUUAAUAACAUAAUUAAGAAAAUUUGUUAUUAUAUACAAACACUAAUAAGGAUUGUACAAUGCAAAUAUAGAAAAAAACUAUUAAACUAUAAAAAAUUUAUCCAACAGAUUAUUUUUUUUUAAAAAACACAUAAAAAUAUAAAACACAUAAAAAUAUAAAAUAAAAUCCGCGCGAAGCGCGGACUCAACCCUAGUAAUAAUAAUGACAGUGUAUUUUUCAAACUCAAAAUCCAAAAUAGUGUAAUUUGCCAAUUAUCCCUGUAAAUUUCCAUAUGUUGGAUUUAUUACCCAAAUGAUGAUGAACUGUGUCGGGUUCUGUUUGUUUUGAUGUGAUCAAUCGGACUUCGAGUCCUAUUCUAACUCUCUAAUUAUUUCCAUCUGAUAUACACGAAACGUGUUCUGUCUCAGAAAGCGUUUUUCGUGUGCAAAUUAUUGGCUUAGUCAUUGUGUCUUUGUUGUAGAAGAGUGCUCUUUUUAUUAAGCAAAAGUACAGAAACAAUAUUUGAUGGAACGACAGGUGGCAACCCGAAAUCCAUAUCUGCAGUUCAUAAACCAAAAAGUCAGAAUAAGACCGCACGACUAAAUAUUUGUUUAUAGCAAAACUAUAAAACCUAUAUAAGGAUAAGUAGUUACUUAUAUAUGAAUUUUUUUUUUGGCAGUGAUGUUCGUUUGCAGGUUUUUAAGCGACAAAACGAAUAUUUGUAAGGAUAAGUAGGAGAAGAAGAUGAAGAAUUUGUAGAGGAAAAAGAAGACAAAAGGAUUAAAAUGGGAAAAUAAUGAAGAAGACAAAUUAAAAAUGAAAAAAAAAGAAUAAAAAAAUACAAAGAAGAAAAAACCGAAAAGAAAAGAAUAAGAAGAGAGUAGAACAAAGCAGAAGAGAAAUAAGAAAUAGAAGUCAAAGACAAUGAAGCAGAGGAAAGAAAGAACGAGGAAUAAGAAAUUUGAAAGACAAAUAAGUGGAAAAAAAGGGAGAAGAAGACGAAGCCGAAGACAGUGAAAAAGAAAAGAAAUAAUGGACGAGAAAGAAGAAAAUUAAAAGUCAAUUAAGAGGGAGAAGAUGAGGAUGAAGAAAAUGAAUGAAGAAGACCAAAAGAAAAAAUAAUAAUCAGAAUAAGGAGUAAGAGAAUCGAAAAAUGUAUAAGAUGAAGUAGAAGUCGGAGACGAUGAGGAAGAAAGAAAAGAUGUAGAAAGGAAGAAGAAGAUGUGACAAAAAAAAACCGUAAAAAUAAGAAGUAAAAGAAAACAUUAGAAUGAUAAAGGAGGAGGAGAAGAAGAAAAAACAGAAGGCAACCAAAAAACAGGAAAAAGAUGUGAGAAAAAAAUGGGGAGAUUAAAAAGAAUACAAAAAGAUAAUAAAAAAAAUAAAAAAAAAAUCAAAGAAGAGGAAAAAUGAAGAAAAAAAUUGCAUUUGUUUUAGUUUAUUUGAUUUAUGGGUUUUAUAUUUUUUUUCAUUGGUUUCAUAUACUUAAUUUGUUGCUUUUUGGAUUUUUAAUUAUGAAUGAUGUAUACUUUUUAGGUUAAUUUUAUUUUAAUUAGGUAUAUCUCAAAUGAUUGUUUUAAUUUUCUUUCGUUUAUAACAUAAGAUUUUGUUUUCUAUUUAUGAAACUUUUCCGCCUGCACAAAACCUGUUUUUUUUGUAAAUAUGAAAUCAUCUAAUCACUUUUUUUGACCAGUUGAAAUGAUUGUUAUCAUAAAAAAAAUCUGAUGAAUAAGCUACACUGUCAAAAUUAGUCAGCUAGUAAAAGUUCAGAUCAUUUGGUAUCAAAUCAUAAACAGAAGCUCUGAAUGGGAUAUGGGAAAAAAGCAGAGCAUCUGUCAAAAAGGAUGAAUUGCAAAUAUGUAACCACAUGACAUAAAAAGACUACAAAAGAAAAAUAAUAUUUUAAUUCUUAACUGCAUGCAGAUCAUUUUUCCGUAGAAAAGAAAGGCAUGCACGGACUGCACAACUUUCCCACCAGUCCGCCUGAUCUGCAACAAUUUUCUAAUUUUUAUUUUAUUUUAUUUUUCCAAUUUCAGUAUAAUAAAUCACUUCUUUCAUGCACAACUUACCAUUACCACCAUUUCCUUAUAAUUCUUUCACACUGAAGUAAAAAGGUACGUUCCUUGUAUUUGAUAUUUCUUUGUUUUUUGUUGUCAAUUACAAAUGUUUAAAUAAAUAAUUGUCCUACAUAUUGUUUCAUAAACAUGUUCUAAUAUGUAUGUAUAAUUUGAUAUACAUGUCCAAUAGUUUAUGGUAAAUAUUUUAAUUAUUUUUCUUUGUAAACACAAAAAAAAUAAUUCAAAAUUUUUACUAUAGACAUAUAUAUAUAAAAUUAUUAAUACCUGCUUAAAAAAAUAAUUCUUAUUAUGAAAUAUAGAUAUUCAUAUAAAUUAUUAUAAUAAAUUCAUGCAUGCAUGUUAUAUAUAUAUUGUUUAUAAAAUUGAUAUAUAUAUAUAUAUAUAUAUAUAUAUAUAUAUAUUUGUCCUAGGCACAUAUUCAAAUACAUGCAUGUGGUUCUUAUCUUUUUGAAGUUAGAUUUUUAAAAAUACAAUUUUCAAGUUUCCUUAAAAACAAAAUCAAAAGAAAAAAAAUAAUUAUGAUAUGUACACAUUUAUAUAAAUUGUAAAAUUAGUAUAAUAAUUUAUGCAUGUAAUUUGAAAUUAUUCUAUACACUACGAAUGUCACUAGAUUGUUUUAUGACAUUGUGUGGUGAACUGGAAACUAGUUAUGGUUUAAAACCAACAUUAAAUGUAAGCAUUGAAGAGAGUGUAGCCAUAUUUCUGGGGAUAUGUGGGCACAACAAGGUCCAAAGAAGUGUGGGAUUGCGUUUUGGACGAACACAAGAGACAGUGAAUAGAAAUUUUUUUGAAGUGCUUAGAGCAGUUGAGUUACUUGAUUGUGAUUAUAUUAGGACUCCUACGAGGCAAGAACUAAGCCGGAUUCCCGAACGACGGCUGAUGAAACGAAAAUAUUGGCCAUAUUUUAGUGGGUUUGUUGGAGCCAUGGAUGGAGUUCACGUAUGCGUCAAAGUGAAGCCUGAAAUGCGAGGAAUGUAUUAGAGCCGUCACAAUUAUACAUCAUUUAAUAUAAUGGCUAUAUGUGAUCUGAAUAUGUUAUUCACCUAUGUUUGGAAUGGAGCACCAGAUUCAUGUCAUGAUACAUCAGUUCUCACUAUGGCGCAAGACAAUGAUUCCGAAUUUCCUUUGCCUCCGGAAGAUAAGUUUUAUUUAGUUGAUUCUGGCAAUACAAAUAAACAAGGUUUUUUGGCACCUUUUAGAUCUUCACGAAACAUGGUGGUCAGGUAUCAUAUGUCACAAUUCGAGAAUGGUCCUCCUCCUAGAAAUAAACAAGAAUUGUUUAAUCGAUACCAUACAUCUUUACGCUCGGUUAUUGAGAGGACUUUUGGCGUUUGGAAAAAAAAAUGGAGGAUUCUUUAUGAAUUUCCUAGAUAUGAUAUUCAUGUUCAGAAAAUAGUUGUAAUGGCUACAAUAGGACUACAUAAUUUUAUUAGAAUCUCAAACGUUUCAGAUGAAGAUUUUGUCGAAAUAAUGAGACGAAGAGCGAAUAACAUCAAGACCGAAGAAAAUGCUACAGAAGCCGCAGAAGAAGAAAAUAUUAUGACACACAUUAGGGAAAAUAUUGCAAAUUUGUAUGGGAAGAUCAAAAUACCCCAUAUUAGUUUAGUUUUUUCUAUUUUGUUUGAUGAUGUAUUUGCAUUUUUUUUUAUUUGUAUUAUUUUUAUAUUUUUGUAUUAUUCAAUUAAACAUUUUAAAUUAUUAAAUUUAUAUGAUUUGUAAUUAUUCUGCCCAUGAAUUGCAUUUGAUCUACGUGAUCUGUAUGAUCUGCAUUUUUUUUGUCGGCGUCACCAUUCGAAGCCAGAAUUUAUUCUCUUCUCAUUAGCUAGCUAAUGGGCCUUGUUCGGUUUACAAAUGUCGGGGGUGUGUUGAAUACAUUUUGAAAGCAAUGGGGUGUUAAAGUGUAAUAAAAAAGUCAAUGAGUAGGAUAAUGAUAUCCGAGCUUCCAAACAACGCUUCUCUGCUGUUUUCUUCCCCGAUCGCUCCUUCAAAUUCAACUUCAUCCUUCUCUAGUAUCUUUCCCUCUCUGAGAUUCAAUUCCUCCGCCAUGGACAGGACACAAUUGAUCUUGUUGGGAUUGCCGAUUUUCUUGUUUUGUUCUGAUCUCUUCAAUCUCUUCACUCCGCCACCGCCGAAAUCUCAGAACCACCCACCACCGCCUAUCUCUCAUCCGCAGCGUCCGGCGACUUUUGUCCCAGAAACCCUAGAUUUCCCAUCUCAGGUGAAUUCAUCGCUAGUUUCUCUUUUAUCCUUACUAAUCUCUCUCUCACGUUUCCGUUCUAAUCGUUCCUCUUUAUUUGUUAGAGUAGCAGUCAAGUGGUCUUGGAGGAAUUGGAUAUGGAAAUACCGUAGAGAUCAAAUUCUGCGUCUCCUGCUCUUACAAGUAUCUUACGAUUUCUUUCUAAGUUUUGGGUUUGAUCUUAUAAGUCGAUUUGGUUCAUUAGCUUUAGUCUUGUUCCUAAUUUCAACAUCUGCAUCAUCUUCACUAUUGUUUAGAGCUGAAAUGUUUUUGAAUUUAUCAGAUAUUUCGAUUUCCCAUGAAUGAAUGCUACAAGUUUAAUUCUUGAUAAUCCUUAUUGGACCUAGCUGCAUUUUGAAGUUUUCGGAAAUGAAAUUUAUUCGUGAUUUGAUAUGUUGGGUGCUACAUUUAUGUAUAAAUUGUAGAUUUUUGACACUUCCUAUUGAAUGACUGUUAAAAGCUGUGACCUUUUGAAUUAGCAUAAGUUGGUAUACUGAUGUGUAUUACUGCAGGAUUUGCACAUUCUUAGAGUUUCUUGUUUUGAUUUGCAGGGGAACUGCAGUAACAAUGAAGAAGAUGCUAGAGACGGCUUUUCCUGGAUUAGAAGUAGUGCUCGCAAACUACCCACCACCAGCGCCUAAACGGCUUCUAGCUAAGGUUGUGCCAGUUGCUCAGAUGGGAGUAAUUGGUCUCAUAAUGGGAGGUGAGCAUAUCUUUCCCAUGAUCGGGAUUGCACAGCCUCCUGCUUGGUACCACUCUCUGAGGGCAAAUAGGUUCGGAUCCAUGGCUUCUACUUGGCUUCUCGGUAACUUCCUGCAGUCUUUCCUGCAAAGUUCAGGCGCUUUUGAAGUUAGCUGCAAUGGACAAAUGGUCAGUUUUUUUUUAGUGUCUCUCUCUUACAGUAUCAGAUCACUUUCUGCGAUAAGCUUUAUAUAGAAAACAGACUUGUGCUGCUAUUGUGCCAAAUGUAUCAGUGUUAGUAUUAGUAAAGCUAAUCCGAUCUAAUGGUUGGUCUUUGCAGGUGUUUUCUAAAUUGAAAGAAGGUAGAUUUCCGGGGGAGAUUGAGUUGAGAGAUGUCAUCAGCAGAGCCCUGACGAAACCAUUCGUCACAGGCAGCUACUGAUUAAUCUCUCCGGCUAGAAGGUUCUGAAACCCUAACCCGAAGCUCCAUGGUAUAGACACAAGAUAAUGUGUUUAUGUCAAAAGCUAAUGUGCCAAAAUGUCCAUGUUUUUUUGUCUUAGCAACAACACCAUGUCUUGAUCUCCACAAAUUGUCUGAUUGAUAUACAUAGUUUACAUGGUUUUCUUAAAGAUUUUUGCUUUGCUACUCAGAUGAAUGGGAAUUCAACAAGCUCAAAACAGUUUUUUAUUACAUAUUUAUUCAUACUAAAAUAAGUAAAAGUCAAAGAGUUUUAAGGUGUUGUGUCAGCCUUUGCAUCGGUUGGAAAGCUGGGAUCGUGUCUGGUGUUAGCAGAUGGAUCACCAUAAUCCUCGAUGUUCACCAUCAACGAUUUCCUUGCAAUCCUUGUCUUUCCAAAUUCUAACAAAUAAAAACCAGUUCAAUUUUGGGUAAACCCAUAAACAGAAUCAGAACAUCACAUAUUUCUAUCAGUGUUCAAAAAAUCCGCCUAGCCGCCGAGACGACUAGGCGGCUAGUCGGGGUUAACCGACCUAAUUUUCAUAAAAUCAGUGAAGUAAAUCCGGUUUAGUAAAAAACCGGAUCAAGUCGGAGAAAAUCGGAAAAAUCAGACCAAAUCGGUAAAAUCGGCCAAAUCAGACUAAUUAUUUUUAUCAUUUUUUCAGUCAAAUUUUAAGGUUUUGGAUAGUAAACCAAUAUCGGUUUACAGAGAGAGAAAAAAAAUUUGAAAUAUGAAUUAGGGUUAAUAACUUAAUAUAAUCAUCCUUGUUUCUCCCUGCUACUUCACUUUCAUAAGCUACAAGAGGCGAUCAUUAUUCUCUAUUUAUGAACUUUACAAGUUUGUUUAAUCUUCUCUUUAUCUAUCUGUACAUAUUAUAUAACUAUAUUGUAUUCUUUUAAUUUGUCUUUUCAUCUUUGUUUACUUUGUUUUUGUUUGUGCUCUGUUUUAAGUUUCAACUUUCAAUUUUAACGAUGAACCUAGAAGAGAUAUUGAUUCCGACGAUGAAAAUGAUACAGCUAUUGAUUUUGAAUUUGAGUCUAAAAAUGAGCAGGUGGUGGAUAUAUAUGGAUGUGUUUAAAGAAUAAGUUAGAUAUAUUUCUCUUUGCUUUAUAUCUUUAAAGUUUUUAGAUUAAAACUUAUUUUAGUUUGAAGAAUUUGAUGAUUUUUAGUUUGAUUUUUUUGUUAAACUUUAUUCUAUAAUUUUAUUUAUUAAAUUUUCUUACUUUUUCAUUCAAACAUAAAUUUUGAUAAAAUAAUUUUUAAGAAAACAAUUAAAGUUUUUUUAAAAAUAUGAUAUAUAGAUAGAAAAUUUAUAAAAAUUAACAAAAUUUUUGCUAACGCCUACGCUCUGCCUAAUCUCCGACUAAUCCGCCUAAGCGCUAGUCUCCUAUUACCUGCCUAGCCACCGCCUAGCGAUUUUUUGAACAUUGAUUUCUAUAAGUCAAAACAUGAAGUUGAAGAAGAAGAAGGAAUUGAAAGAGAUGAGACCUGAAACAGAGAGAGUGUUGCGUGCAGAAGAUGUAACAAGUGGAAGGGUUAGUAUGAGGAACAAAAGAAGACGAAUUCCAAAACUCAUCUCAGUUUUGCUUUAGAGGUAUAUGUGUGUGUCGUAUAUUUUAUAGAUACGGCGAUACCAAAAUCAAAUCUGCUGUGUUUAUCCAAAUGCCAUCUGUUUUUUUUUUUCACGUGAACAAGAGACUAAAUAUUAAAGCCUACUUCUUGCGUGUGUGUUACAGAACAGAGUUAGUUUGGGAGAUGAAAUAUUAAUGGUCAGAAGAUGACCAAGGAAAUAAGAACACCUGGUUUAGCAUUGUCGUCACACUAGGCACAUCAGCUUCUUCGAUGGUUACGAUUUACGAAGUUGCGCCUUGCAUUUUAUUCACUCUUGUUCCCUCUGUUUCUUGCCCUUAAGGCUUAGAUCCAAUUUCAUAUACUCUCUAGAAGAGAACUUAUACACUCAAAGCUACCACUUCUCUCUCUCUCUCACACAGACACCACCGAAAAGCUCAGUUAUUUGCAGAAUACUUUUCAGACUGACUUUUUGGCCUGUAUAGCUUUAACGGACUUAAUCCUGAUUUUCUGAUAUACUUUGUUGUAACAGUACUAACAGAUCAAUAGUGCAAAAUGUAAUUUGGUUAAUGCGUUCUAUAUAAUCUGAUAUCCUCUUCUAAUGUGUAGCUAGUUGUUAAACUAAAUUAGGUUAAAAUGUGAAGUUAUUUAUAAAGAUUACCAAAAAUUAAAAAAAAAAGUUAUCUAUAGGGUAUCAGUUUCAUGGGAAGUUGACUUAAACUUAAAGAGUUAUGGUGAAAAGAAUCUCCAAGUUUUAAAACAAUCUCGAAUUACAUAUAUGGAUUUGCAGGACAAUGAGAGGAGAGUUUUGGAAGUGAAACCCCAAGUAUAGUUGUACACUUGGAGCUAUCCUUUCUUAAAAAUGUCAGUCCCCAAUGCAAAAUCAAAUAAGUAGAUAAAAAAAAAAAAGCAAAAUACAACAAUGGAAAGAAAGAAGCUGGUUAGUUAAUUGGUCGAGAACCUGAAACGCAUGAGCAGCAUUGUCGAGCUGCAUCGCUCUCCUUUUUCAUCAUAAAGUGGAACAGCUCGAAUCCCUUCUUUUAGUUCAGAAACUGGUAGACAUGUCUGACCUCCAAAUCCAUCUGCAGCUAUUUCGUGGUCGUAGACUUGGAUAUUAAGCAAAGCAAGGUCAGGAUAGGUCAAAGGGAAUGUGAAUUCUUCUCCCCAAGUAGGUAUCCAUUCUCUGUUCUUUUUUUCUGUUUUCUCUUUCUUUGACAUCGGCCAUUCGUUGCUCUUCACCGUCGUUCUUUUAAUCUUCUCAUCAUGGGGUACACCGGCAAUACUGAUCUGUGCAUUUUCGACAAAUUAAAUGAACCAAAAUCAAACUCACUUCAAAUAAAAAAAGAGAGUUAAUUAUGACCAACCAAAUAGAUUUUACCAAAACAUAUAACUCUGGCUUAGUCAGUCGACCAAGCUUCUUGAAGUCCUUGCUCCAUCCAUCUCCCAUGUAGACUUUGACCUGCAAGAUAUAAUGUCAUAUCUUGAGUGAGAAAAUGGAAGCAUGGGACAAAGAAUUGUUGUAGCAUGACAAACCUUUAACGUCUUCUUCACCUCAGGAUUUACUGUUGGAUAGAAAACUCCACCAGGACUUGCAUUCAAAAGAAAAUCUGGUUUCUUGACAUAACCGCACCCUCCAUUCGCUCUAAACAUCCCUUGCAUCAGCCAAAGUUUUUCUUUGUCCUCCUGUAAUUACGUGGUAAAAGCACGUUUGUACUCGUGACAUGGACUCCAAAUAGGUCCGAAACAGACAAAUAACCUAUUUAUAAGCUUCACUGCUUUAGCGAACACAUGGUUGACUCCACAUAGCGCACACAUGCUCAUGCAAUAACCACUAUACAUUCAAUAGUAAGAGAGACCAGAAAAAAGAUUGGAGGCACACCUGCCUGCUUAGUGCAAUCAUUUGAGCACCAUGCAUCCAAGCUCUCUGGGGUUUAUAGGGGGCAUUCAUAAUUAAUUUUCCUUUUUUUGGACGUGUCCGCAAGAAUCUCUUUUGGGUGAAGCUGUUUAUUGCCAAAUCUUUUUAAUCAGAUAACAUUUCAGUACUCGCAACCCAACUACUGUCACCCUGUUGAGAUUCAGUUGUAAAGGUUUUGGUAUAUUAGACAUACAUUUAUUUUGCUCCACAGUACCUUAUAACAUCUGUCUCGUACCAUCCUGGCCGUUGGAUCACCUUGUCUGUUGUUAAUGCUUGUAGUAGCAUGCCGCUUGGCUCCACAGCAUGAAAGGCAACAAGACUCUGGUAAUUCUGAUCUGCCGCUUCCUGCUGUGUCUCAUUCCCAUUCUGGACGACAACCGUUUGGUCAUCAUCAUUGGCAAAUAACAACUCUUUUGGGGGUCUUCUGGAUAUUAGUAUUUUAUUACGCAGGUCUGAUGGUGAAGGAAACUCCCCUAACCUAUGAGGAUCAUGGUAAUAUACCAUAUUACCAAAUAUCUCAUUUAUCAUCUACAUACACAAAAUACGAAUUCAUACCCAUGUCAAUAUAAUCAUACAUACAAAUGUGACCAGAAAUUUAGAAUAUGUAGCAAUAAUCAUUGAGGAAAAUGGGGAGAAGAAGAAGAUUCUAAACCUGAGUAGCUUUGGACUGAAGAUCCUGUGUCAAGCCGUCCUUGAAAGUAAUUAUCACAGGAUAACUUCUUCCGGGGGUAAAGGCAUGAUCUUUAAUAGAAUCCAAACACGUUUCCAAUUUCAGAGGAUUCUUCGAGUUCCUAUCAAGUUCAUAAUGAAAACAAAAGCUCAGAGCAAGAUCAAUCAAGAAUGGACAAAUGGGUCUGCACAAAUUCAUGAAUUAAGUAAAAUAGGAGAAACCCAAUACCAGCGAUGACCGCUAACGCAGAUGCCGUCUUUACCACACGGCCUCAGAUCUAGUUCAACCACCCUCACACCCUGUUUAAGCGCAUCAAUGAUAGGCUCAUUGCUGUAUCUCUCCAAGAAUUGGCUCCCGGUAAAGUAGGAUUUGAGGCUGGUGUGAAUGAAGUAAUGCGAUAACGGAGCAUUCAUGUCAUGAUGGACCUGAAAAAAACAGAGUCAUACUUCUUACAAAGUGUGUCCUUAUUUUCAAGCAGGAAACUCACAAAGAACCAAAACAGAGUCAACUCGCAGGCUUCCUUCAAGCCCAUAUUAACAUCACUAUUUAGGGUGAAACACAACGCUAAGGUUCGAUAUAUGGCAGAAACUGGCAAACCCAACGGUUUUAUUCAUAUUUAGAGUAAUAAAAACUUCACCUGGUCACCGAUCGGCGGAUUGUGCUCCGUAGAAAACAGAUACUGGUUCAAUUGGGCAAGCCCGAGACGAUUGUCCGUGUCGUUGAACACGCUGAAAUCGGGAAUAUCAUCUCGUCUGAGUUUCAACUCCGCCGCGAUUUUCUUUGCCGCCUUCUCUCCGGCAUCGUCUUCAUCCUUUUCAGUACCCAGCAAUGUCAUGAACCUCUGCAGCUUCUCGGGCAUAUCUUUUUUGUAGCCGCCGAAGUUAUUCGUGAAACACAUUUGGAUGAGCUCCUUCUGAGGAGUAGUGCUCUUCGACAAAAUCACCAUAUGAAGGUGGGGAAACCAAACCAAACCAAACUUAUCCCUCGUUUUGUCUAUUUGUUCAUUCUUUAUAAAUUCUGUAGCAUCCGAUCAAAACUGUGAGACAUAAGAAAAAAAUCGAGUAAAGACUUCUAAUGGAUAUAAGAAAUGUUAAUGCAAGUCCGACACUACAUGGAUCGGUUCUGUUAGGACUUAGGAGAGAUGAUCGAAUUGAAGACAAUAACAUGAAAAUGAUUGUAUUAUUCAUUCCAAGUCAAAAGUCGUUACAUACAUCUCCUUGUAUGAGGCAGAUGGUUCUGGUAAAGACAACCGAACAAAAUUACAUGUGGUUAACACUAAUCGGUUCUCUUAAUCUCAAUAUCUAAUAGGUUCGAUUCAAUAAAGCCUGAUACAAUUUCAUUAACAUUUUUUUUUUUUUUGACAAAGUCAUUAACAUGAAGUCAAGAAAACGGAGACAAUAAUUAAAAGUAAAUAAAUAGAUGUAGUUGAUUAGUCCUGCAUGUGAGAGAUUCCUUUUCAAACCGAACUUCGCUUUGUUUGACUUUCUGUAAGCUUAUCUCAAACUCCUUACCAAACGGAAAUCUAAUUUUAAAUCGAAACGUCUACCUCCAAACAGUCAUAUAACGAACUCCAUCUUUUCUACUAAAACAAAAGCAUGUUUUAUGUACAAACAUAUUUUAUUUAGUUUUAUACUAUUUUACUUCUAGAUAUUUACUAUUUUUAUUAUCAAACAAAAAUUUUAAUUUUAUUUAUCUAUUUUUUAUUUCCAAAAACUAAUAAAAUAAUAUACUUAAAUUUUAUCUUUAAAAUUAAUUUCGAAAUUUUCUAAACUUUAAUUCAAUUAGUUUAAAUUUUCUUAGAUAAAGUUAGAAUUAAUCAUCAAAUUUACAAAAAUAAGUUGUUAUUAUUUUUACAAAAUAGUAAAUAAGAUAUUAACUUAUUUUUUUUUAAAUAUCCAAAUUUAAAUAAUAUUCUUAUAAUGAUAACGAUAAUAAAAAUAUAUUAUUAUAUAAUUUUUCAUAAUUAAUUAUUUUAAAAUUUUAGAUAUUUAAAAUUAAAAAAUUAUAUAUAUAUAUAUUAUAUGGUAAUAUGAACAGAUAAUAUAAAAUUAUGUUGUUAUGUUUAUAGUUUUUUUCGGAUUAAUCGAAUGAAUAGAUUAAAAUUAUGUUUUUAUAAUCAUGAUCAAAUUUAUUAGAAAAAAUAAAAUUUUAAAAAAUAAUUUUUAUUUAAAUAUAAGAAUAAAUUGUAUUAUUUAUUAGAAAAAUAUUAUAUCUAUAAAAAUAUGCAAAUUAUAUUAUAAAAUUAAUUAAAAAAACAAAAUUUUCUGUGUGAACGCACGGGAUAGAAUCUAGUUAGUUUUCUAAAAAAAAAAGAUUAGGAUCACGGAGAAAAUAUAAAGAUGAGUAUUUGCACGCUGUAACGCAAAUUAACACCGUAUUGAAAACAUAACCUAUCAUUGUAUUCGACACUCUGCCUUUUUCAUAUAUACGAGAAAGCCGUUGAACCUUGCUAUACUCUAGCUGUUAGUAGGUGCGAUAAGAGUCACCCUACGUUUGUAGAUGUAAUGAUGUAUAUUUCAAAUUUCAAAUUUCAAAUUAUUUUGGAUGAAAGAGUGGUUUUCUCCCGAAAAUCAGAGUUUAAUUAUUGUUCAGGAAUCAUUUUGGAGAACACCCAUUCUAAUAUAUCUAUCAUCAAAAUCUUACAGUAGAAUACAAUUCCGCAGGUGUUUUUUAGUCAGGGAACACAGAUUUCAGAUCAAAUUGGUGAAAGAGGUCAGAAUUUUUAUUUUCUGCGUCCAUUUUAAUAAUAUCCUGUUUGAACUUUCUCUAUUCUAAUUCUGAACCGUCGCAUUUAGGUAUGGCUACUCCUGAAUUUUCUUCUAGAAUUUUUGCAGCCGGCGACGAACCGUCCAGUGAAAGAGUCAACUCAUACCACAAAGCCAAAACGAUCAGUAAUAUUCUAGAUGUAAUAGACGAAGAAGAGAGAAGUUAUCUUCGUAACUCGCCUUUCAGGAAGCUCAUCGCCACGGCGAAGAAACUGGCGUUCUCCAGGAGUUUUGAUCACUACAUCAUUACCCGACUGCUCAAAGUCAACAAAAAGCACGAAAUUUGGAUCUUGUUUGCUUGUCGGCCUAUUAGGGUUUCACUCCGGGAGUUUGCAAUAGUGACCGGUCUUCCCUGCGGCAGGUAUCCCAAGAGAUCGAAGAAGAAAAAAGGAAUCCGGUCAAGGAGAAACCAAAUUGGCCUGAUCUGUUCGGAAAUCUCAAAGUAUGCAGCGUCGAUUUGGCCACGAAGAUGCUAAAAAAGAGAACUAUUGUGGAUAGAACUACACGACUGAAGUACACCUGCCUUGCCAUAACCGGUGGCGUUCUGUGUCCCACCAACCAUCGUUAUAAAAUAAUGUAUGAUCAUAUCGAGUUAAUCAGGGAUCUAGGUGAGUUCUUUCUUUACGCUUGGGGUCGGCUUGGCUUCGAGAUGCUUAUGGAGAAGUUUCUCCGCCGUGGCGAUUAGGGAGAAGAAAGAAAAUGAGAAGUUAAUGGAGUCAGUUUCUGGCAUGACGGCUGCAGACAAAGGGACUGCUGGAUAUUCCAGCGUGCCAGAGGAUUUCUCAUAUAAUGGCUUCAAGGACCAGUUGGCAACUAUUGAGACCUCACUUGCUGAAGAGCUGCUGAAAAUUGGAGUCCUUGACAAGGUAGUUUGUGGGUUUGAAGAAAACCUUAAGACCUCACUAGACCAGAAAUUUACAAAAAUGUAGGAAGAGCUCGUCUCCAACAUCCUUGGGUUCUUAGAUAAAUUACUUUCUGCUGGGGGAAAACAGAUGUAGGGAAGCAGAAGGCAAAUCCAACCAAAUCAGGGACCAAUUUAAAUCCCACCGGAGCAUCUUGAUCUGUGAGUGCUAGCCCAUGUCUGCUUAACGCCAACAAAGAUGCUGAUGAGGCGAUUGCUGGUGCCAUCGUAAUGGUGAAUGCUCUCUCGCAAAUGGUGAGUGCCUUGUUUGCUUGAGGUAUAAUUUUUGUUGUAUUCUUAUUUGGUUGAGGUGUGUCUUACAGUGCAAUUCUAGGUCGAUGGGGUACACGACAAGAAUCCAGCCGGUGGUGAAUGUAAUUCACAUGAAACAGCAGUGGUGGGGAGCAAGUAUACGUUGCAGGCGGGUUCAAAAGUUGGAGACAGCAACGAUGUGCUAGAGAAGAACCAGGUAAUUCUCUUUUGAUAAUGUUAUUUUUAAUGUCAGAACUAUUAUUUUAUUAUAUUGUUUUGGCUGCAACUGUAUAGUUUGCGGAUACUAUAGUUAAUUGCAAACCAACCAAAUUGUUACCCGAGCUCUGCACUAAGCGUUUGCGUUUAACGGGGGUACAAUGAAAAUGUUAGAAAACUAUUUAAUUUGUUACCGAUUGGAUGGUAUAGUUACAGAUCUAUCUAUGCUAUUAGAUAUCUAUAUAAUUCAUCUAAGUAAAAUAUUAAAAAUGCAGGGUAAUCACGCGGCCAAACAAUGUGGAGAGUUUGUUGAGACUAACAAGGUAUCAUAUAAUCAUAUAGCGGUACGUUUUCGUAGAUAUCCUGGCAUUGUAAAGUUAAUAUAUUAAUUAUAAACUAUUCACAGGAAGCAAGUGAUGCAGAUGGUGGGGAUGAUUUCAUUGAUGAUGUAGCGAAUGCUAAUGUCGGCCUCCGAAGAGAGAAAAAACCAAGGAUUCAGAAUACUGCUUUUACCGGUUACCAGGUCGAUACAAAGAUGUUGGCGUCCACCAUGGAGACGCACCCAUUUUUAUGCACUCCCGGUCAGCAGAGACUAUAUUUCGAGAAGUUUGCCCGGCUACAUUUAACGGUGAAAGCUCAAUGGUAAGUAACACAUUCAUCUCAGUUACCAGUUUCGGCAGUUUUUUUAUAAAUGCUACCCUAUCGCAAGGUAAUCAGCCUUGGGGAUGGAUCGUCUGUUAGUGGGAGGGAUGUGGUAGAUAUUGCAGAGAGGACCAAGUUCAUGGCGCCUAAGAUAACACCUCUUGUUCAGAAAUUUAACUUUGGCAUGGACGACCCUUCUCACAAGCUAACUUCCUAAAUGCAGAUGAUGGAUGCUCUACUCCUAUAUGUGCGGGCAGUUUUCAACAUGAUUUAUCCGAACCCAUCUUACAAUAAAACUGAGUUUAUGGAUACAAAAUUUGUUUCUUAGCUGAUGAAGUCCUGGGGUAAGUUUUCCAAGCUAGCUCCCAAAGACAGACAGAGGUUUGCCUUUGGAGAUGCCGUGAUGGAACAUCUCGAAACUGAAACACCGGAAUAACCAACCACCAUACAGUUAAUAAGAUAUCGUUAACUAUAUUGUUAAUUUAUCAUACAGGUGUUAGUGGACUAAUAGGUCAGUUAUCAUGUAUGGGUACAAGGUAAUAAUAAAGUUGUUGGUUAACUAUAAUGUUAACAGAACCACCUCUGAUUAGCAGACUAAUAGACUAGUUAACGAUGAGAAAUGAAAAGGAAAUAGUACUCAUUAACUGGAAACAAACACAGAGGGGACAUUUUGACAUUGCCCGAAAUAUAUUACAUCCAACUCUUUCAGAAGUCAUUAUGGGGUCCUGGAAUUAGAUAAUAUUACACAACAUAGUUCGGAAAUUUAAAAAGCCCCAUCAACAAAGAAGCAUAAAAAAAACAAACUUUCUUGCUUCAUCUACUUGUCCCCUCCGUUCCAGGCUUCCUAUAUAGGCACCUUACAUGUGGCGCGAUUGUGGCCGAAGCCACCACAGCGACUACAAACACGGAAUAGACUUGUCUGGCCUCCCUGAAACAAUAUUAUAAAGUCAAUUUAAUAGAUAAUUGUUUUUUAGCUCUCCAAUGCAAACAUGUCAAGGAUAACGGUUGUUUACCCCAAAUUUGCCGCUGGAGCGGAUAUGUGUUUUGCGAGGCCUCCUUGGGGGGUGUCUAGUACGAGGUGGUAGCAAGUUCAAGCUAGAGAAGUCGCCAAUCGCGACAGUAGGAGUAUCGGCGGUGACCGGAUAUAUACUGCACUCAUACGCCUUUUCUAGUAGCUGGUGCUGAACUCUGGGGCCACCAACAUGUCUACCCUAGUUCCGAAACAAAUAGCAGAAACUACCGCGUGUGGGCAAGGUAGACAUAACAUCCAUAACUCAUUAUUAACUCAAAUGGCACUUGGUUUUUAGAUUGACGAGGAACGGGACACCUUCUUUGUUUCUCACCUCAAAUUCGUCGUUAUUAACUCUAUGGAACGAGAAACCCGUAGACAUCUCAAAGUUGGUCGCAAGAAUCUCCUCAACCUUCGGUGUUAGUGUUGUACCACAAUCAUUAGCAGCUAAUAGACGGGUUGUAAACCAUUCCUUCAGUUUUGCGCGUAUGCAGUCCACCAGAGGGACGAUGGGGUAAUCACGGGCAUUGACAAGCACAUUGUUCAAAGAUUCGGCGACGUUGCUUGUCAUGAGAUUGUAACAGACGCCUGGAAAGUGUGACCUUUUCCAGUGGUGAUACCCUAUAGCAGUUAGGUUGCUUGCGCAUCCAUUAUCAAUUGAACGUAUCUUCUCAAAAUACUCAUAGAACUCAGAAAGGAGAAAUGUUCUUACUGCUUUUGAAACUAGGUAACUGAGUUGUCUUUUCUUGAAAAUAGCUUGGACGUUUCGCUGUAGGUGAACCACGCAUGCACAAUGGAAGGACUUUGGGUACACCUACAGACAAGUUUAAUAUGACAUAGUUACAAUAUAAUCGUUAUCCAUAAUGAUAUAUGUUAAUAACCAUACAGGUAAAGGAUAUCGUUAACUAUAUUGUUAAUUGAUUGUACAAGUGUUAGCGAACUAGUAAUUCAUCUGUUAUGUUGUGGGAAAAGGUAAUAAUAAAGUUGUUAAUUACCCUAUACGAUUGCAAAUAUAUGGGUAACAACCAUUGUAUAUCGCUAACAUGUAGUUUAGACUAUAACUAAACGAAUAGUGCAUAACGGUCGAAUUAGAGAUUGGAGAAUUUGAUUUACCUUUCGCAGUGCUGCAUAAAUGGAGUUAUACCUGUCAGAAAUGAAGACCAACCCCUCGCCGGAAGUAUGGUGGUUGUCUGCUUACAGCUAGUUGUCAAGAUGGCAACUACCAACUGUUUCCAUUACCUUUUGGCAUAGUAGACAGUGAAAACGAUAAGGCGUGGACAUGGUUUUUCCGUAAGUUGGUAGAAGUGAUACUAGAUGAGCUCCAUCAACCACUAUCACCUGUUGCAUGUAUGGAUACCCGUUGAGGCAUGAUCCUAGUGCAAAAAAAAAAAUACUUAAACUGUUGACUGAUGUCGAUUUUGUUGUCUGUUUCCAAAGAAACGGUGCUUCCCGGGUUGGAGAGAACGAGCCGCUGCAGGAAUGCGGGGAGCACCCGGUAUGAUGAACCACCUGUCCUUAGACUUCCAUCUCUGGCUAACUCCCGAGACCUCCACGCCUUCCAGUAUGAGAUCGGGAGAUCGUGUUCAUCACGCAUCAUGUCACGAAGCUCAUUUAGCCUUGGACCAACCAGACCCCCAGCGUAUCUGCUCCUCACCAUAUCUCCAAUGACUGCGGUAGUUGUUUGGGGGUGGUAUAGUCCACGUUCAUCAACGGUGCACCAAUGAUCCAGCGAAGCCCUUCUUAUCUGGAACCAUUCGAUGCCGUCCAUCCUCACUGCAUAAAUGUACCAUGGAAAAUUCUAUCCCACACAUUCCAACACCAUAAGAUUUGGUGUGCAUCGACGGUGGUGGUAGUGGAACUUUUUGGAUAUGGCGUAAAGCGACAUGUGCAGCUUGAAAGCGUUCUGGUUCUUAAUACCAUACCCACGUACAGUAAUCCGGGCUUGUUAACCACAUCACCUGAGAAAGGAAUUGUAAUAAAGAUUAUUAAGAUCUAACAAAGUUGUUAGCAUGUCCAUAAAGAAAGUUACACGAUAAUACCAUACAUCACACAUAACAGUUACAAUAGCAUAACAACGCAAGAAGUAGUUUUCAAUAAAUAUCUACUCACAGAUGUAGUCGCCGUCUUCAUCGGAUAAUUUCUCCUCCUCCACCAUUACCGGCGGUGGCGGCUGGUUGCUACCUUCACCGGCGCAAAUCAUAGUCAAUCCGAGGAAAGAUCCGUCAUCAUCGUCUGUCUGCAUUGUUUUCGCUUUAUCAGCGUUGGUGGGGAUGUAGUCUUUUUCAGCGCUUGUUGAACCUGACGACAUCGCCGAUCAAUGAAUCAGUGCACCAAGGAAAUUGUAUUUUAGUUUAACAUUUUUGUUUAUAACUUUUAGUUCAGUUUUUUUUACCUUCAGCCAUUGUUGUCCUCAACAAGAGUUUUGCGACUGCUGGAGUUACAGUGUUCGGUUGCAAAACUGUGGUGGGGUCACCAUUUAUUACCUCGAGGUUUGAGUUCUCUAAGCCCGUUUCUGGGAGGAGAAGGUCGAACUCUUCUGAGGAGGACUUUGUUGAUCCGCCAUCAUCUCUGGCCGCCGGUCGACGAGAAGCCUCCAGUUGAAUGAGUGCAUCAUGGACUUUCAGGAUGACACACGUCUUGUCUUCCGUAAAGAUCUCGUGGAAGACACUUUCAGCAAUCUGCACCGUCGGUCCGCCCAGGAGCCCUUCCCAAAAUUUUUUAACAUCGUCAAUAUCACCACAAGUUUUAUCAGCUAAAUGUCUGAUUUCUACGCUAUUUAAAGUUUUAUCAAUGUAACUAGAGAGGUUACCCGAUAACGCCAGAUAUUUACGGUUAAAUCCGGGAGACGCACCGAUAACUUGACCAGUAGUCCUUUUGAUGGAACGAUACCGCUCAACAUUCUCUUCUCCUAUGGUCACAAAUAUUGUGAGAGUCUCCACCUCCACGUGCAAAGCCAUGAAGAGAUCAACAUCGCUAUUGUUGAUGAUGUAGAAAGGAACUGUCUUUCACCCUAGAGGUACAGACAUGCUUAAUGGGAACUGAUAGGUCAUUGCCAUCAUUGUGUGUGGACUGAGACUGUACUGGGCUCUCAUCAUUCUGUCGAGUGACUCGAAAGUUUCUCGCUCAGUCGUCACUUUCCUCUCUCGGUGGUGUCUGUCUCAAAAUCCCACUCACCAUUUGGAGAUCGGUUCCACACACCUCGGGAAUAUUUCACCAUGAAACCAUUAAAUAGAAACAUAACGAAGCCCUAGUCAUAUAUCCAUAUUCAAAUCUCUGCAAUAUUAAAAUUAAUGCAACGUAGCAUUUAAUUAUGUCAGAGGUAUUAAAAUUUAAGUGCAUUUAAAGCUACAUAUUUGCGGUCAAGAACAAAAGCAAAAGAGACAAACACAUAAAAACAUAAACAAGCUAGAUUCAGUAGUCCUACCUUGUUUUGUUGCAUGGAACUUGACUUCUGUUUUUUUUUUUUCUGUUAUUGUUGGGAAAAAUCUAGUCAUUUGGGCUUGGCCCAAUAUGAUUAAAGUCCAGAAAUAACUAAGACGGUCUGCGAGAUACGCAUCAAGGGAUGGCCGUAAAAAUCGCACGCAGCGAUAAAAUUCAACAAAAAAGAGAAUAUUCCUAAGAGGAAAAGGAUAAGGCUGCUAAUUCCUACACGAACGAGGAAUAGGAAAACCUAAACGCGAACCCUAUAAAUAACAGGGAGAAAGAACCCAACAGACACAUUGAAAGAGUUUACAACAGAGAGAAGUUCCAGCAAUUCAAAGCGAGAACCCUAGCAGCAGCGACCAACUUCCUUAAACCCUAGACCUCUAAGAUCUUGACCGCUCAUUCUCUUAGCUGUUGUAAACGAAACAUACUAAUAAAAGAUCUUCGAUUGCUUGGUCUACUUUCUCUUUGUGCAUUUCGUAGGCUUGUUAAACGAAUCACAUAUUUUACCCCGAACAGUUUGGCGCUAGAGGGAGGGUUCAAAAGUUUUAACUACGUGAGACAUGACUGACGAAGGUAACCAAGCAAAUCCUACUGACAGCAGCCCUGCUAAUUACGAUGCUCAACUGGAGGCACUCACCACCCAGAUGAGGCAUAAUGAAGAACGACUAGCACAACUUGAAGCAGAAAACGCUUCAUUGAAAGAAGCGAAUGCCGCCUUGAAUGGUGACACCGACGUAGAUCCUCGCACCAGGUUUCGGACACGAGUUCCUCCAAUGUUACCAUUGGAUGGCAUUGUUCGAAUAACGGAUAACAGAUCCAUACAGCAACAUGAUAACGGCACGCAAGAAACUGAUGGAGCUCAUCCAACAGAAGACGUCCAGCUAAAUCACAUGAUUUCGAAGCGACUUGAUGCUAUGGAAGCCUUAAUCGGACGGCUUCCAGGAGUAGCUCCCCCAAUCACGAAAAGUGCUCCUAACUCUUACGUUGAUACACCGUUCACUGAUGCAAUCGUGCUGGUGGAGAUGCCAAGGAAGUUUACACUUCCCACAAUGAAGAUGUACAACGGAAUCACAGAUCCGGAUAACCACAUAGCACAAUACAAGCAGAGAAUGUUUACAAUAGCCAUUGCAAAAGAACUUCGUGAAGCUACCAUGUGCAAAGGAUUCGGUUUGAGUCUCACAGGAGCAGCUCUUCAAUGGUUUACAAACUUACCAAACGCUUCGAUCGACUCCUUUGCGUCACUAACAGACCGUUUCGUUGAGCAGUUUGCAAGCAGCAGAAAUCUGGAAAAAACGGCUGAUGAUCUUUACGAAGUCAUACAUAGAAAAGGAGAGUCGUUGCGCAGUUAUGUGGGACGAUUCAAUAAGGAAAAAAUGUCUAUACCAUCGUGUGUGAUGUCUACGACAAUCUCAGCUUUCAAAAGAAACUUGCUACAAAAUGGCGAUCUGUACAAGGACCUAAAGAAGUACCAAUGCAGAACAAUGGAGGACAUGCUAUCUAGAGCGUGGGCACAAAUUAGGUGGGAAGAAGAUCCUGCCUACGAUCAACGACACUCACCUCGUUCUGACUCGCGCGUGAUGAGAAACGAAAUGACAGCUAAGGACCAUAUCAAAUCGUAGAGGUACGUGAAUCAGGAGCAUAUAAGCUGCAAGAUAGGGAGGACAAGAUCCCCCCUAACAGCUGGAAUGCACUGCAUCUAAAAACCUAUUACUUUUAUAUGUUAUUUUUCUUUGAUUAGGCUUUAAAGCUUUGAUAGGCUGUUCAAUUAGGACUUUAUGGUUUUUCUACGCGCAGUCCAAAGUUUUAGUUUUGGUUUUCUACUGUCUUUUUAGUUUUUCCGCAUGAUCACGCAGAAUGUUUUAAUAAAGGUGAUUUUCAAAGAAAAUCAUGAUGAAAUAGAAAUUUUGCAGGCUGCAAAACAGCUACGCAAAGUUAAAAUCUCAGACUGUUAUAAUAGCAUAUCGAUCCAAUAGGCUGCAGAAAACAGCAUCCAGAAAUUUUGCAGGCUGCCAAACAGCUGCACAAAUUUCAAUUUCAGGCUGCUAUAGCAGCGUAUCAAUCCAAUAGAGUGCAAAAAGCAGCACCUAGAAAUUUUGCAGGCUGCCAAACAGCUGCGCAAAAUUUUAAUUUCAGAUUGCUACGGCAACACAUCAAUUUAAUAGACUGCAACAUAGCAGUAUACAAAAUUUUACAGGCUGUCAAACAGCUGCACAAAAUUUCAAACUGCUACGGUAAAUUAAUAGACCGCAUCAAACCCAAGAUUAUAUAGACUGCAAAAGCAGCAUGACAAUUAAAUAGGCUGCAAAAAGCAGCGUACAAUUUUAAAAGACUGCACACAUUUCGUAGGCUGCUUGAACGGUAUGCUAAUUUUUCAGACAGCUUAAGCAUCUAAUUAAUUGUUCGGAUUGCUUAUAAAGCAUGUUGGUUUUACGAACUAUUAAAGCAGCAUGUUAUUUUUUUCUGAUUGCUAAAACGCAUGCUAAUUUUUAGACUGCUUGAGUAUGCGGAAUUUUUCGGACUGCGUACAGCAGCUGAUGUACAUCUUUCAUGUAAGAGUUAGUUACGUGAGGUAUCAAAACGCCCAUGCAAAACUUAAUUCCACUAGUUGUUCGGGGCAACCCACAAGAAGAGGAUCUUGCGAAUUACUCAAGCAUCCAUAUACGGAUAAAAAAGUGCGUUGAUCUUUCUAUAUUGAAUGCAGCAGAAAACAUCACGUUCAAAAGGCGUGUAGGAUGCUAACUGCGGUGUGAAAUGGCAAUUGGUUAAAGCUGCAUGAGUGACUUGACAGGAUGUUAAACUCUGGCUUGCAUGCAAAUCAAGCAGUGAGUCCAUGGGCUCCACGCGGAAAGCUAAAACAGCAUGAGAAAUGAACCAUCAAUGCAAUUCAUGAUCGUCAUGGUAAAACAACAUGAAUUACCUCAUCUAAAGCUAAUGGCAAAGGUGGAAAUAAUGGCAAUAAUAAGAGAAGUAACCACAACAUGCCAAGAACGUCCCCGACAAAUUCAGAAUAACGACAAAAAAUAACAUCUCCGAUAAAGUCACGGGGCGAUCAUGAGUGGAGUUUACUAGCAAGAGCGUUCAUCAUGCGUUUAGCUCACAAAAAGUCAUAACAUUUAGAUAUAAUAUUAAUGGGGUUAAAUUGAACUUCAUUCCCAUAAAAAGUUCACGAGAAUGCCGAGGUACGUGGUUAUCCCGACCCGAAUGAUUAUGGUUUGCUACUCUCUAAUUUAUAUUAAUAUAAAUUAGAGAGUUGGGGGGGGGGGGCAAGUUGUUGGGAAAAAUCUAGUCAUUUGGGCUUGGUCCAAUAUGAUUAAAGUCCAGAAAUAACUAAGACGGUCUGCGAGAUACACAUUGAGGGCUGGCCGUAAAAAUCGCACGCAGCAAUAACAUUCAACAAAAAAGAGAAUAUUCCUAAGAGGAAAAGGAUAAAGAUGCUAAUUCCUACACGAAGGAGGAAUAGGAAAACCUAAACGCGAGCCCUAUAAAUAACAAGGAGGAAGAACCCAACAGACACAUUGAAAGAGUUUACAACAGAGAGAAGUUCCAGCAAUUCAAAGCGAGAACCCUAGCAGCAGCGACCAACGUCCUUAAACCCUAGACUUCUAAGAUCUUGACCGCUCAUUCUCUUAGCCGUUUUAAAGAAACAUACUAAUAAAAGAUCUUCAAUUGCUUGGUCUACUUUCUCUUUGUGCAUUCCGUAGGCUUGUUAAACGAAUCACAUAUUUUACCCCGAACAGUUAUCAUACAAAUUUUUUUUUUUUCUGUUUGCAGGUCUAACAAUGGCGUGUUCUGGGCUCCACCUGCUAAUACAUUAUAAAGCGGAGCAACUAAGCAGUAUAACCUAUACAUACGGAAAUCUAUCGAUAUGGCGCGGGGUCAAUGAAAUCUAUCACAUAUCUCAGCAUUAAAUGUUCUCUUCGGCGGGAAAUAACGAGUGGUUUACAUUGCAUCUCGCAGGAUAUCACCAGAUAUUUUCCCAUCUACUGCUCAGCUAAGCCACCCUAUUAAAAUCAUUAUGUCCCUAUUAGUAGCCAAAUGUGUAACAUGGCAGAGGUUAGCAGGGGCUUCGACAUAGUUUGUGGCAACCUCCAUAAUAGUAUUCCUAGAAAGUUAUUGGUCUUUAGUUAAGUCCUCAAUUUACACUCCUUCAAUGAAUAUUAGACUUAUUUACUCUUAAAAAGAUAUAUACUAUAAAAUCAAUAAACUGCUUAGUCCAAUUUAAUUAGAUUCAUAAAUUUAGUUAUCCAAAAAUUAUGCUUUAUAAACUGCAAUUAAAAAUCUAUAUAAUCGGAGAACUGGUGACAAACACCAUCAAAACUUAUGUUUUAUGCAAUUAUCCAAAAUAAAAAUUAAAAAAAUUGUAUUUCAAAAGAAAAAAUGGAGAGGUAAGUAAUCGGAAUAAGAUAAUUUUGUUAGGAACACUUGAAUAUAAGACUAGCUGUAUGUUAUUUGAUCAUACUCCUUCGACGAGUGUAGAGUUUUAAUCCGGUUCUUUUGAUCUAUAAAUCUAUUUCGCAGGUGUUUGUAAAACAGAAAUUGAAGAAGACAACACAAGAUUAGUCACCCAGAGUUAUUAAUAAGGCUAUGUCUCUGGGAGGGAAUGUGAUCCCUUAACUGCAUCCACUAUCGACUUCAAUUACAAAGUGCUUAAAACUUUGUUACAGAAAUCAAGCAUACUCAGGAAUCAAGAGGAAGACGAUAAUCGGACCGGAAUCUCUCACCGACAACCGCCUACUCUGACAUAAGUUCUGAUCACUCUCUCUCUCUCACUAUCUUUUCUCUUGCUUUCUCUCUCUAUAACAAAUUUCUCUCUCUUACUUUGUAAUCAUCUCGCGGGGAAGAAGAAGAAGACCUGGGUCAACUCAUCUUCUGACUUGGGCUGUUACAAUCACCGAGGCCCAAUAAUGGAGUUGGUACGCGGUUUGGGCCUUGAACCUCACAAACUCCACCUUUCAGACACAAUACCAACGACUCCGCUGAACCUUAAUACUCUCUGACCUUUCGAUAGUGACUCUCUGAUCGCGAUGACAAACAUCAGCCACAACUCCGCCGGUUGAUACAUCAACUCUGACACCUGAAUCUGACUAGAGGUAACCAGUGAAACUAAAAAAAAACACUCUUUAGUUUAGAGUUUUCUUACCUUCGAUUCAACUUCCUGCAACGACUAACACCUCUUUGUUGUCUUGCACGUUCGUGCAGCUUCUCCGACGAACAGAUCCUUUUCUUCUGCUGCUUAUACGAGCCAAAGUAAUUAUUUUACCUCCAGACUCGUACCUUCUCACACCUUUCAGCCUGUUUUAGAAAACCUAGAACAGCUUCUGCUGACUUCGACUUUCCUUUAUAGAUGCUCCACCUGUAACUGAAGAGUCCUUCAAUCUUCGUCCCUAUACUCACAGAUAAAUCUCUUCUCCUUCAAAUCUUUAAUUACUUCUCUCCUUAUACCAAUCAGAGCCAUACAAAACACAAGUUACUGACUUACCUGUGUUUCUUAUGCGUGCGAGAUCCUCUGACUGGUAGAGUUACUCGGAGUCGUCACCUCAUCAGAUGACGUUCACCAAAUCGCAGCAGAGCUGAAACUUAGGCCCAUGUAAGGCUUUAGUUAAGAAGUCUGCUGGAUUUUUGCUAGUGUGAAUCUUGUAGAGAACAACAUCACCAUCUGCUACUAUAUCCUGAAUGAAAUGAUACUUCGUAGCAAUGUGUGUAGUACGCUCGUGAUGCACAGAGUUCUUUGCAAGCCAAAGCACUCUAUGAGUCACAUUGUAUCUUCACACCCGUUGUUUUAAACCCCAACUCACCACAAAUACCCUUUAACCAAAUAGAUUUUCUCACAGCUGAUGAGAGGGCCAUAUAUUCUGCCUCUAUAGUUGAUAACGCCAUGACUGACUGUAGAUUAGAUCUCCAACUGAUUGAAUUUUUGCAAACUUUAAACAUGAACCCUGUCACUGAUCUUCUCUUGUCGAGGUCGGUGGCAUAAUCUGAGUCACAGAACCCAUAAAUACUGAAACUUGAACUCUUUAAGAAAGUAAGACACAGUUUAGAUGCACUUGAAAGAUAUCGAAGAUUCCCUGCUUAGACUUGUCAUAAAUUUACUAACCACACCUACAACAUAUGCUAAAUCGGGUCUCAAACCAAUCAUAGCAUACAUAAGACUCCUAACAGCACUAGCAUAAGGAACGUUCUCCAUAUGCACAGCCUCUGGCCGCCUUUCUUUCUUUGACAAGCUUUUCAAUUUGAAAUGAGAUGCCAAUGGGAUUGUCACCAAUUUUGCCUCUUUCAUUCCAAAAGCCUUUAGAACCUUCUCGUGACAAAACCAGAGUUCCCUUAUCUCUAUCUAGGAUAAUAUCCAUUCCCAAAAUACGAGAAGCCUUUCCCAAAUCUUUCAUUUCAAAUUCUCUUUUCAAGCUUUCUUUUACCUUUCUGAUCUCUGACAUGUCUCCUGAAGCAACCAACAUAUCAUCCACAUAUAACAAAAGAUAAAUUGCUUGAUCUGUCUGUGUGUUCCUCAUGUAUACACAAGAGUCAUAGCUGCUCUUCUGAAAUUUUUCCUUAUUCAUGAAACUAUCAAACCUCAAAUUCCACUGCCUCGAGGAUUGAUUCAACCAUAUAGUGACUUCCUCAGAAGACAUACCUUAUUCCCACCCUCCUUCUUAAUGAAACCCUCUGGUUGAUUCAUCAGAAUCCUUUCUUCCAAAUUACCAUUCAAGAACGCAGUUUUGACAUCCAGUUGCUCAAGUUCAUAGUCCCUGUUAACCAUUACUGACAACAUUAUCCUUAUAGACACAUGCUUAACCACCGGUAAGAAAAUUCAUUAUAAUCCACACCUUCCUUUUAUGAGAAUCCCUUAGCAACGAGUCUAGCCUUGUACCUUGGUUUCUCAACCCUUGGAAUCCCUGGCUUGAGCUUAAAAAUCCACUUGCAGCCGACUAACUUCUGUUUGUCUGGUUUGUCAAUGAGAUCCCACGUGUGAUUCCUUUUAAGUGAGUCCAUCUCUUCAUUAGUCCCAUUAUUUUUAUACUUCCAUUUCUUACUCAUCUUGGCUUCUGCAAGAAACCUUGGCUCUUCUGUUUCUAAAUCCUCAGCAGCAGACAAGGCGUAUGCAACAAAAUCCGAAUCCUCAUAUCUUGAAGGAGCUCUCACAUUCUCCUUUCUAUUCCUGUCUCUAGCUAGAAGAUAAUCAUCUAGAGACUAAUUUCCUUGACCUUCUGAAUCCUCUUCUGAAAAUGUUAACCCUUCUAUCUCACUGUCUGAACCUUCCGAGCUGUCUAAACUGUCUGUGCCUUCUGAGCCAGACAAAAUAUCAGAAGCUCCACCUUGAGACGAUGUCUCACCAAGCUCAAAACCUGAUGGUGAAGGUCCCUAAUCAAGUCACUACUGAAUGUCACCUUCUUAUCAUACUUUUUCCCUUUCUGUCUUUUUUCCUCUUAUGGUUCCUCAAUCUUGCUUUCCUGAAGAGUUUCCUUGAAUUCUUGAUCUUCAUUAAACACUAAAUUCCUGCUCGUAGUGCAUUUCCCAUCUUCUGAAAUCCAGACACGAUAACCUUUAACUCCAAACGUAUACCCCAUUAGAAUUCCCUUCAGUGCUCUUGGUUUUGUCUUCUCCUGAAACGUAUGAACAUAACUGAUGCAUCCAAACCUUAGAAGAUAUGAUAGGUCUUGUUUGUGACCUGUCCACACUUCUUCUAGCAUCUUCAAUUCAAUUGUAGAUUUUGGAGUUCUGUUUAUCAAUUAAACCGUUGUUGAAGCCGCUUCAGCCCAAAAUUCCUGACCCAACCCUGUCUCAGCUAACAUGCUCCUCACCUUAUCCAUAAUCGUCCUGUUCAUUCUUUCGGAUACACCAUUCUGUUGUGGUGUAUACGUACACGUCCUGUGCCUCUUAACGCCUGACCUUAUACUUCUUCUCAGUAUGCUUUUCAACUGCUUCUUUCCACCCCUUGAACUUAGAAAAUGCCUGAUCUUUAGUUCUAAGGAAAUAAACCCAAACUUUCUUCGAGUAAUCAUCCAUGAAGCUUAUGAAAUACUUGCAUCCUUCUAGACUUUCUAGAGUUGAUGGUUAUUCCCAUAAGUCUGAGUGCACAUACUCCAAUAUGUCAUUUGUUGUGUGCUUUGCCUUCGAAAAACUCUGUUUGUGAGAUUUACCUAACUAACAUCCCUCACAAAAGCUUAAAUCUCCAACUUCGUCCUUUGACAAGAACCCUUUCUUUACCAAAACCUCCAUCUUCUUCGAACUCAUAUGACCUAGUCUUGAAUGCCACAGACUCGUCAUAUCCUUCUUCGAUGUGGUAAGAUUUGCUUCAACAUUGGUCACCUGACAUUGGAGAUAUUACAAUCCUUCAUUGUAUUUCCCAGUGAUCACCUUUUGACCAUCCUUGUAGAAGGCAACCUCAUAAUCUUUUCCUUCAUACUUGCAUCCUGCCUUUUCAAGCAUACCAUAUGAGAUUAAGUUUCUGCUCAUGUUAGGCAUGUACCGUACAUCAGUUAAGAUCACCGCGGUACCAUCUGGAUUCUUAAUUCAAAUUUUACGAAUUCCUUAUACUUUGCUGUAAGUAUUAUUGGCCAUUAACACUUUUCCACCAUUGAUUUCUUUCAGAUCAAACAACACUUCCUUGUUUGGCAUGAUAUGAAAAGUGCAUCCAGAAUCCAUCACCCAUGCAUUUUUGGAAUCCUGCAUACUCACCGUGAUAACCAGAGGUUGUUUCUCUUCUGUUGCAAUUUUGGCGGAGGAGUCUCCACUCUUCUUUUGGCCUUUAUUCGAACUUUCUCUCUUCCAAUGCCCCUCCUUCCCACAGAUGAAACAGGUAGUACCUUUGUACUUGUUUUGGGACUUUGAUCUGCCAUUCUUGGACUUUGAUCUUCUUUCCACCUUUGUUAUCUGAUCAUUUUUCAGAUCUCACUCUGGAUUCAGUGUAUAGCCCUUCUGAUGAAGACUUUCCCUUGCUUAGAAGUCCUUUUUGUCUUAGCUCAGCUUCUUUGGAGUGAGCUGCAGCAAUUACCACUUCCUCCACGGUAAGAGUUUCCUUACACUUGCAAUACUGAAGAGUGUGAAUUAGAGGUUCAUAAGCAGCAGGUAAGCCAGACAAGAGUUGGAUAACCUGAUCCUCGUUUGAGAUAGUAACUUUUAAAAUUUCCAGAUCAGCUAUCAACUUUAAGAAUAUGUCAACAUUUUUGUCUAUUGACUUGUUCUCCUCCAUCUUUUAACAUGAAAACUGUUUCUUCAGGUAGAUUUGGUUUGGAAGAGACUUUGUUUGAUAAAUCCUCUCAAGUGCGUUCCACUGUCCUAGAGCAAUGGUCUCGUGCAUUAUCUUCCUCAGGAUUUGGUCACUCAGGCAAGUCCCCAGUAAACUCCUCACUCUUCGAUCAUUUGCUUCCUUCUUUUAAUCUACUGUAAACUCUGCUAGAUCCAAUAGAACUUCACCUUUGUUCUUUGGUUCAUCUUUCUUUGGUUCCUGUGUAGUAUAGAUCAUGAUGCCUUCUUCUAUCACAGGUAGAAAACCUUGGAUAUCGAGUUGCCCCAUCAUCUUGUACUUCCACAUCCCGAAAUCUCCCUUUCCAUCAAACUUGUCCAUCUCAAAUUGCCUUUAGUUGGCUCCAUACUUAUCGGAGUUUUCUUUUCUCGCAGGUAUACCUCGUGUGUCUUGGAACGAGUUCUUCGACAACACGCAGCAACAGAUCAGGAUAAAACUUCUACACCAAAAAAUUCCUGAUCUCACCUUAUCCGAAGAACAAGAUAAGUUCCAAUAAACUGUCCCUAGAUUCAAUAGAUCUCUUCCGCUAUCUAACUUGGAUAGCUCUGAUACCAGUUGUAGAGUUUUAGUCCGGUUCUUCUGAUCUAUGAAUCUAUUUCGCAGCUGUUUGUAAAACAAAAUUGAAGAAGACAACACAAGAUUGGUCACCCAGAGUUCACCAGUAUGGCUACAUCUCUGGGGAGAGAACAUGAUCCCUCAACUGCAUCCACUAUCGACUUCAAUUACUGAGUUACACACGAAGUGCUUACAACUUUGUUACAGAAAUAAAGCACACUCAGGAAUCAAAGGAAGACGAUGAUCGGACCGGAAUCUCCCACCAACGACCGCCUCCGAUCACUCUCUCUCUCUCUAUCUUUUCUCUUGCUUUUUCUCUCUACAACAACCUUCUCUCUCUUACUCUGUAAUCAGCUCGCAGGGAAGAAAAAGAAGACCUGGGUCAACUCACUUUGGCCGUUACAAUCACCUAGGCCCUAUAAUGGAGUUGGUACGCGGUUUGGGCGUUGAACCCAUUUGAGUGUUUGACUGAACCAGCUGACCUCACAACGAGAUUUCACAUCUUUAAUCUACAUAAGUUAACAUUGGAGUGAUUGAGAUUUUAGAUCACACUUCAGCAUGCGGAUUUGAAUUCAGGAUACUUGCUAAAUUUGUGUCUAAGUACAUGGUGCAAUCUAAAUGUCGAUACAAUUAUAAGUAGCUUACAUAAAUAUGAUCAACACUAUGUCUAAGAGAUAUGUAGGUUAUUACGAUUUGUUUCCUUCCUUAGUAUUUUUCUUUUUUGUUCAAGGAAGAACAGUUAUCUAAAUCUGAAGAAGUUGAGAUACUUGUAUUUUAUUUUUAAAAGAUUUUCAUAGGGUUUUAGUUAUUUUAAUGUGUUUUUAGUGUUUUUGUAGCUUUUUUUAUUGUCAAAUUAUUUGGACAACAAUAUAUAAAAUGGCACAAAUUUGGCAAUUAUAGCAUUAAGCAGUUUCUAAGGUUUUUUCGGUAGCCAAAUCGUCUAUCAACGCUCACAAAACUCGAUGACAUUUUUCCAAUGAAUGAGUUCAUAUCAACCGUCUGUAGAUUACAAAAAUCGGUGAGCAAUAACAUAUUUAUAGUUUGAGUUUAUAAAUGGAUAGUUAAGAAGUUACCUACGGUCUUAAUAAUAAUGUAGUUAGCCAUUAUGUUAGCCAAUUGUUUUCCAUAUUAAUGACAUGACAACUAGACAUUGAAUGCUGAAUGCUCUGUUAGACGGACCUCGUUUUAACGAUCAUGGCAAAUUGAUAUGUUUAUUAUUUAUAAAAUUAUAACCAGCCUCCGCAAAAUCACCAAGGAAAUAUUAAAUUCUUAAUUAUUUUAAAAUUUAUAAGUAAAUAUACAUAUAACAAUAUAUGUGAUGAUAUUUAAACGUGAAUAUCCAAAUUUUUGAAGAAAUAAUACUAUUAUAAAAAAUAAAUAAAUAUAACUUCCAACAAUAAAUAAAGCCAUACAAACUAAUUUACACACACUUCUACAUGAGUUCAUAGUUUAGAACUAAUGUAACAAUGUAUAAAUCAACAUAUAAAAUACAACUAUACAAUAAACAUUGAGAAAAAGUUAUCCAACGAUUAUAACAAACAUGAUUAAUUUUAUCGAUAGAAUUCAACCGUUGAUAUAUAGAUAUAUUUUACAAUAAAAAGUUGUUAAAAGCAUUAUCCUGAUAUGAAAUGUUAAAAUCUCCAAAUAAAGAGAAUAAAUUUAUAGCGCAAAAUUGCAUAAGAAUAAAAUUCAAAAUUGUCAUUAUCUGUAAAACAUUUAGAAAAUAUUGGAUUUCAAACCAUUAGAAAUAGUUUUGAUAUAUUUUAAGUCAGUAUUAUCUUUUACAACCUAAAAUUAUCUUGAAUUUUGUAACAUUAUGUAGCAUUGGGCUACACAAAAUCUCUUGUAAGAUAAGAUAAUGUUGGGUUAACAUUAUCUUAUUAAGCCUUAGGUUACACGAAAUCCCUUGUAGGAUAAAACAAUCAAAAUUUCUUUUUUGUCAUAGGCUAACAUGCAAGAGAUACAAUAGAAUUUUAUGUGCUUUGUUAUUCUGUUAUUUUUUUCUGGUUGUUUUUUGCAUUUACAUGCUCUUAUCUUUUUUCUAUCCAAAGAUUUCUUAACCUUUAAUAGAAUUACAAGGGAUACAAAAGAAUAAUUGUAAUGGUUUAGAAUAAACAUAAUCCCAACAAUUGCAAUGGUUUAAUAACCAUAAACUCAAAAGGUAUGAUGAUUGGUAAAAUAACAAUAAACUCAAGAGUUGCAUUGUUUAGUGAAUAACCAUAAACUCAAGAGUUGCAAUGGUUGGUAAAAUAACUAUAAUCUCAAGAAUUGCAAUAAUUUGUAAAAUUACCAUAAACUCAAGAGUUGCAAUAGUUUACUAAAAUAAUUGUAAUACUUAAAUCUCCAACAUUCAUUUUCUAUUAAAAUAUAUUCAUAUAUUCACUAAAUAAACAACACAUAUACCAAAAAUAAACAAAAAGACAACAUGCAAUAAUAAUAUUUCAUAAAAAUAGCAGUUAUACAUGAAAAAAAAUUAUUAAACGGAAAGACACAACAGUUCCGUUGUAAUUUUUCAUAGAAAGGUAUAAGUUAAAAAUAUUAAAUAAAAAUACACAACCAUACAAUAAUAAUUUUUAAAAAAAAUUAGUAGUUAUACACGCAAAGAUAUAACUAAAAAAUAAUAUUAAACAGAAAGACAUAAUAAUUCAUUCGUUGUUUUUUAUAUUGUUAUUUGCAAUAUAAUAGAAAAAGUUGUGGUUGAACCCAGAUCUUAAUAAGUUAUGAACUUGGAUAAUAAAUGAAUCUUGCACAAAACACUCUCGUUAAAACGUAUUUCGACCUUUAUCAAGUGUUGGGUUACACAAAAUCUCUUGUAUGAUAAGACAAUCAAAGUUUUCCUUUUGUUCUAGGUUAAGAUACAAAAAAAUACAUAUAAAGUUUUAUGUGCUUUGUUAUUCCAACAGAUACAAAGAAAUAGUUGCAAUAGUUUAGAAUAAGAAUAAUCCCAACAGUUGCAGUAGUUUAAUUACCAUAAACUCAAGAGGUGCAAUAGUUGGUAAAAUAACCAUAAAGUCAAAAAAAAAAAUUACAUCAUUUAGUAAAUAACCAUAAAAUCAAGAGUUGCAAUGGUUGGUAAAUAAUCAUAAUCUUAAGAAUUGCAAUGUUUAGAAAACCUUAAAUUCAAGAGUUGCAAUGAUUUACAAAAAUAACUGGGAAAAUUGGAUUUUUUCAACCUGAACUAUGAAAAAAUCAGGAAAGGCCUAGCCAAUAUAAAACAAAUAAGCCCUUGCAAAAGGGGACCUCGACAUGAUGAAGGUUAGCUAGAGGAGAUAAGGAUCACCACUACGCACCCCACUCUGAAGGUAAAGCUAAAAAUAGGUGAUAGGUAGGUGGAGCAAGUCUUGGUAGAACAUACAUGUCACGUCAACCGUAUCGGACAACCUACCUUUGAGAAGAUCAGAGGAUCUUUGGAAAUCCUCAUAUCAACGAAAACAAUCCUAAUUAGGCAUGACGGGAAGGUCAUUCUAGCGAAAGGGGAGGUAACGCUCCUGGUCACCACGGACUGAGUCAAAAAAUUAAACAACUAUAUUCACAGUAUUCAACAGCGCGUCCUUAUACCCUGCAUUGUUAGACUAGCCGUGGAUGCAUGAAAUGAAAGCUACGGUGUUCGGGUACCUGCGGACGAUCGAGUUUCUUAUCAGGCUAAGAGUAGGAAGACUUCAGGAGCAAGCCAGGAGGAACACAUGCGAUAUACUAAAAAAGGAAAAAAUGAUCCGCCAGACGAGCCACAACACCGACUAAUGCCGGACUCACAAAUGAAAAACAAGGAAGAGACCGCUAAAAAACAAAGCAGGUUUUGAGAGCAGAACACAGUGUUUCCUCCUAACGACUCACAGUCUGCAAGAGACUAAGAGCAUCUCGACGAGAAGAAGAGGAAAGGACACCUCACAUGAGAAGAAAAACAAAGAGAUGGAUAAAGAGAUGGCGGCAGAAAAAAUAUGGGUUCAUAAAACAAAACUUGGCGGAGACUACAAAAUUAUACAUUUACAAAACGCAAGCCCAGGAAAACCAGGUUAUAAUCAAAUUAUCCAAGAAAACAGCAAAGUACAAACAAACAAAAAAAGAAGAAAAAAAAAAUUAAAGAAAAAAAAGCCUAUAGAAUGACGAACGACCUCUAAAAAAGACUCCUCAAUAUAAGUCUGCUGAAUUCACCUCCUCUGAGCCAUCAGACGAAUAGGUCAAUGGGGGCAGGAGAGUGGUGCCUCCUCUCGAUGUACUCCUCGAAGAUUCUUCGAGCUUCUUUUAGCCUUUGAAUGGAACCAUGAGGUUGAAAAGCCUGACUAGGAGAAUCCAUCGAUGACAUCCUCACAAUCCGAUGAUACAGAAGAAAGAUCGAGUCGCACAACCUCUCGAGGAGCUGGAAGAGGGGAGCCGGGAAAGGACUGUGAGGAUUAUGAUAAUCUCCAGUCCUGCGAAGCUGGCCCGUGAUGCCCAGAUGUAUUUCUCUGAGAGAAAAAUAGUGGUUGAAGACGGCGUCGCAUGAGAAGAGAUGAUUAGAUGUGGCUAUGGAUGCGAAAGGGAAAUGUCUAGUAAAAAAAAAUUCUGCGAGAUAAUAAAACUGAAGCGGAAAAAGAUGAAGAAGAAUGAAGGGAGGAAGAGGCAGAUAGUAGAAUAAAUAGAAGGAUCUGAAGAAGGGCAAGUGAAACAUCAAAAGUCACCAGUCCUUGAAGAAAGCAACGCAUGGUAAAAUCAGAAAGGUCUGCAAAAUUUGAACAUAUAAAAUGACGAAAACAAAACUGGGUAGAAGCAGCGGCUAGACUAUGUACAACAGGUUGGACAUAUGUCGGAAUGAUCGAGAGACUCGCGAGAACCAACACUCAAGAUACCGUCAAAAGAAACAACAUAAAUUGUAAAGAGACAUCUAACAGAUAUCACACGGAUAUAACAUGUGUCAAAAGAGACGUACAGGAGACGCAUAAACUGUCUUCAAGGAAAAGCCAGUCAAAUGCAGCACAUGUUGAAGAACGAAAAUAGAGGCAUAAAAAGGAUGCGAAAGCCUCCUUUGAUGAGAAGCCAUACAUCAUGAGGUGCACGCGCAGUAGAGUGGACCCUAAGAAAGAUUAUUCGGCGUAGAAGCCCAAUGACGAGCCCAGUAAGCGACCCAAAGAGGAUCAUGGUGGGCUUGAAAAAGUCGCAGAGUCUAACCAGGCGAGGAACUAAAAAAUGAGCCAGAAAUGAAGAGAAGACCCAAGAUCAUACGUGGUGUUUAUCCCGACAAGGUCAGCCCAGUCAAGGCUUAGUCUGCCCGUUGAUGCCAUGUCGCAAGAAUGGUCUUCUUUAAUCGGAUCAUCCUGGGGCAUGCUGCUCUGCGCACAGCCUAACUAUCUUUUGGAAAUUUUAAUUGUGUAACACAGUCUUGGACUGACAUCCUCUGCGGAUCAGUCUGCCAACUUAUAGUAAGUUCUGUGGUGGACGACUUUCCCUUAGAGAACUGAAUAUCUCUAAAGGAUCGGCCAUGGAAUAUUACUAAGCGGGCAGGACACCUCCUCUGGAACCAAUAUGACGGUCAGACAUUGUGCUCUUCACUUUUUGAGCCCAUGGCUACAGGUCACUUUGCUUACGGCGGGUGAUUCAGGCAUCGCGUCUUUUGUAGCCCACGGUCCUUGGUCAUUUCAGCUAUGAUGUUUGAUUUAGUUAACGCGUCUUUCACUACAGACUCAUGGCCCCAGAUCAUACUGUCCACGGUAGAUGACUCAGGCAUUGUGUCCUUCAUCGAAAAGGCGUCAUGCGCCUCAGAUCGACAAAGUAGAUUCAGGUGAUUACACCGUAUUAUGACCACUUUUAUGGAUCAUUUUGAAAUACUUUUUUUAUGUUUUUAAUUGCUUUCAAGUAAUUUUAUUAUAUUUUUCUAAUAUUUGUAGUUCCAAGACUCUUUUCAGGAAAUUUAGGGAAAAGCUUAAGAAAAUGGAUAGAAGACCGGAUUUUCAGCUUAGAGUCAAACCGUAAGAAGUUCACCCCCGAUUGAAGGCCUUCUCACCGUCCGAUCCAGCUCAAAUUUGGAGAUCUCAAAGAUGGAUGUAUCAGCUUUCCAGCACACUUUACAGCUUGGCAAUCCAACGGUUCAAUAAAAAGAUACGCGAAGAGCAAGAUGUCCCGUAAACCAGCUGGCAAGCAUUUCCACCCGCGGCCAACAACCCAUUCCCCGCGGUCACAACCUUCCCGACUGCGGCCAGCCAUCCAUUCCCCGCGGUCACGCACUUCCCAACCGCGACCAGGCAACUCCGAGUUCGAAGGCCCAUUUCUGAAGCCCAUAUCAUUUUUCCAGCCUCAAUUCCGGAACCCUAGACACCAGAGAGUAUUAGAGACUAUAAAUACAUAUCAUUUAGGUCGUUUUUUGGAGAGAAGAAGAGAGACAAAAUACUUUACAGAAAUUUUACUUUAAGCUUUGUUUUUAGGUUUUAGGGAGAGAGAGAUCUAUCUCUUGAACCAUUGUUCUUUCUUUUUCAAUUUCGGUUUCUGUACUACUUUUUAAUAUUAUGUUUUUGAUUUCGUUCAUCAUGUCUGAGUAGUUUUAUUGUUGGGUACAAGGGAUUUUCGAUGGGGAUACUUAUGUUCGAUGAGGAUUCCAUGAGCUAUUGAGCCGAAUCUUAGAACUUUUUCUUCUGAAUUCGUUUUUACUGCAUGAGAGUAGCAUCAUGAACUACAAUCUGAUCCAGAUGCUUGCUGGUUCAUCCGGUGUCAGAUCUAGUUUGGGAGAGCAAAACAAAUAUAGGAGUGGAAACCUACCUAUGGGCGAUUUGUGAAUGCUGACGAGUCUUAAACAUAAUGCAUCUCAUCUUUUCCAGGGCCAAAGUGGAAACCUAAUUGUCAGGGUUGAGAGAGAUAGUUGUCUAUGAUCACGACAGUGGCAUAUUCAUACGUCCGUGACUCCAGUUCAAAAAGUUUAAGCUAAGAUCUUAUCAAAUUUACUCUCUAGCAAUGUUUUGAAUCGUUCAUACCCCUGAGAAAACUUCCCUGAACCCCAGCGCUUUCUUUCCUAUAGAUUUACACCGAUUUUUAUAUAAGCUUUAGUAUAGUAUCUUAACUCUUUCAAUCGAUUUUCAUAUAGCAAUUAGGUUUAGCCGUUUUUCUCGUUUUUAGUCGUUUUCGUUAAGUUUAGUUAUUAGGUCAUUUUAAUUCCCGUAUGUUCUCUUUAAGAUUCGUUUGCACAUAGCGUCCAUGGUUUUUUUGUAGGUAUGGCCCCUCGGGCCAAAUUAGAUUUUGUAUUUGGCUUACGGUCCAAUACAACCUAAGCAUAUAGCACCGAGUCUCGAAUCCAUCGGAUUUGGGAGAUCCGGCAUAAAAGCCAACUGUUCUCGGAUUCCUCGUAACUGAUAGUGCAGACCACGCUUUCAGACACAAGAAAGUCAGGAACUGAGUAGUCAGGAGGAGGAGAGGUUGACUUCUUUACUUCAUAGACCUAAGCUCACUGAUCUGGAAGGAUCGGGAUAUAAAGAAGGAUAAUUCGUACAGAUACCCGGAGAGAAAAAACAGCAAGCGAGAAAAUCCUGAUAGCUCAAUCCUAGUAUCAAUAAAUCUAGGCUAGGUCUGAAUAUUUUCUUAAGCGGGAAAAACUAUUCAAAUUUUCAUUCUCUUGAUAAUUGGAAUAUGAGUUUUACUGAUUCGAUUGCACAUACCCUUGUAAAUCCAUGCGAUCAACAUUUAAUGCUUAAUGCUUACACAUCUGGUGAUAGUGACCACUCACAUAAUACAGAGAAAAAUAGAGGCUUAGGAAAGAUCAUAUGCGUUUGAACCGCCGAACCCCAACUCGUAUGCUGAGAGUGAAAGAGACACGCCAAGGGCUAGUGUCAUAGUUGGCAGAAGACGCCGAAGAAAGUUGAUGAGACCAUCACAAGAAUGAUGCAAAUAUCAAGAUUCAGAUCCAAUUGUGUUGGAUCCCAGAUCAACCCGCAAAACCGACAACGUAAGGUUCGAUCCUGUAAACUAGUUCGGGUCAGGUAAAAUUUUAUAAAUAUUUAACACUUUCUAACGAAAAAGCGGUUCAAUAUUUUUGCUACCUUUGAGUUUAUGGUAUCUCUCCAGAUACUAGUAACUCAAAAGGCAUAACACUCUCAAUUUUCGAUCAUCAUUCUGACCACUUCUACUUUACUUCACUGUUGUUCUUAAACUAUGGAGCAUUUUUACCCCCAAAUUUAUACACUUCUUUUUUUUGUUCACCUUAAAGAACCCACUAAACUCAGGCUUAUGUAGAUCCUAAGAGUUCACACCCUGCUUUUACUUUCUGUUUUUCCUUCUCUAAUUUGUCGCUAAGUGAUUUAUUCUUUUAUUGUUUUCUGACUUUAGUAUUGGAGUGCCAUCGAAAAACACCUUAUCAUCAUAUUUUGAGAUAUUUUCUAAACCUUCAUGCUUUCUCCUAUUUUAUAGAGAAGAUUUGCUCCAAAAGAAAUUAAUUAAAAAUCCCGUAAACAAUAACUAAACAAGUGUUUGACUUUAAAAUCAAAUUAUAAGAAGGGAGUAAUCAAUUUUUCUUUUUCAUUCACCUAUCACCGAGUACCUAAUCUAGUUUUAACAAUAUAUUAAGAUCCAUAUAAUAUUUGAUUUUUGAUGAUUAUUUGAAUCAAAUAAAAUAUAAAUGCUAAUUUUAUAUUAAAAAUUUAUAUAUUAUUUUUAAAAAAAUUUACAAAUGUGAAUCUCAAACUAUAUAUAACCUCAAAGUAAAGUUACCUUAAACCUAUAGUAUAUAGCAAAACAGAAAUAAAAAAAAUAUUCCUACACAUGAAAUGAUCGUGUAUAUUUUCUAAGAUCUCAUUUAAGUUGGAGGCUUGGAGCAUGCAAAUCCCAAAUAUCUUACUCAAAACUAAUUUUUGAAAAAAAACUUACAACAAGUGAUUUAGCUGAAGAACAAAACACUAUAUCCUGUUCUAGUGUUCUUUGACUUCCACGACAUGGAAAUUAUUUUGCUAUCUAUCUUAUAUUAUUAUUAUUAUUAAUUUCAUCAUAUAUGUAGUUAUUUACUAAAUACCCGUAGAAAAGAACAAUGAGAAAGAAACGACUUUUUAAUUGAUCCGGACUUUGGUUACACGUUUCUCCCUCGCCUCUCUGAGAGUCAAGAGAGCAGUACUCAGGGUUCAACUAAUCCAACUCCUCACAGUAAGAUCUUCGCUUUCUUCUCCAAUCAAGAUCUCGAUUUAUAUUUUAAAUUUAAAGGCGAUCUUGUCUCUUAACAGAGGAAAGCAGGAUCCAAGUAGAACUGAAUCAUGGCAAACAAGACGAAAACAACUUCAUCAUCUUCGCACAGUUCAGGGGUUAUAUAUAGCAAAGAUGAGGAUGCUAUCUUAACUUAUAUCAAAGAACAGUCUAAGAAAGAGUUAGAUCCACUGCUUCUCAAGGAAUCAGCUGGUAAAGAAUCUUGUUGCAUCUUCAGAAUUCCUGAACGCCUUGCAGAAGUGAACCCCGAAGCCUACAAGCCCAAAGUUGUUUCAAUUGGUCCUUACCAUUACGGAGAAAAGCACCUCCAAAUGAUUCAAGAGCACAAGCCUCGGUUUCGGAAGCUUUUCCUAGAUAAGGCAAGAGAAAAGAACGUGGAAGAAAACGUCUUGUUUAAGGCCGUAAUGGAUUUGAAAGAAACUAUUACGACUUCUUAUUCUGAGGAACUUCGGAAAACUUCAUCGGAACUAGUGCAUAUGAUGAUUCUGGAUGGGUGCUUCAUUCUCAUGUUGUUGCUUAUCGAGUCAAGAGUUAUUGACUUUGAUAAGAAAGAGGAUCCAAUUUUCACGAUCCCGUGGAUUCUCCCGUCUAUUAAGAGUGAUCUUCUCUUCUUGGAAAAUCAGGUUCCUUUCAGUGUUCUUAAAACUCUUUUGGAAAUAUCAAAGAUAGAUAUCUCUGGUGAUGUAAACAGGAUGGUGUAUCCUUUCUUUAACUCCUCAAUAGAUAUACCAGAAAGGAAUCGUGUGAGCCAAACAAACUUCGAGGCAAAACAUCUUCUUGAUCUCAUUCGUAAGACCUUCAUACCUACUAUGGGAGAAUCUGAAACAACGUCAACGUCAGCGACGUCAGGUGUUGAACCUAAAACAACAUCAUCCUCAUCAAAAGAAUUCAUUUUAUCGGCCAAAAGACUUCGCCUCCGUGGGAUAAAGUUCAGGAUUAGGAGUGAUGCAGAUUCGGUAUUGGAUAUAAGACUACAGAAGAACAGGCUUCAAAUACCACUGUUAAGAUUCGAUGAGUUCAUCAGCCCAAUCUUCCUCAACUGUGUCGCCUAUGAACAGUUUUAUACAAAGAGUACCAACCACAUAACAAGCUACGUAGUUUUCAUGGGAUGCCUUCUAAAAGGCGAGGAAGAUGCGGCUUUCUUGAGCAACGACAAGGAGAUCAUAGAGAACUACUUUGGCAGCGAGAAUGAGGUAUCCCAGUUUUUUAAAAAUAUAAGUAAAGAUGUUGUAUUUGACAUAAGUAAAAGUUACUUACGGAAUGAGUUUGAGGGAGUUAACAAGUACACAUCAAAAUGGUACAAUAGAGUAUGGGCAGGCUUUAGGCACACACAUUUUGAGUCCCCGUGGACUUGUCUGUCAUCGUUUGCUGUUAUUUUCGUUAUUCUUCUUACCAUGCUACAGUCCACUGUUGCGAUUCUUUCCUACCUCAACGACAAAAAGGAUGAUGGAAAUGCACCUCCUCCAUUACGUUCUCCUUAGGGCAAGAGAGCAACGGACGCUCUAAAAUGGUUUCCACGUCUUUAUGAUUUAUUAUUAGUUUGUUCUAUGUUGUGUUAUUGCUAUUUAUGCGGUGAUGACUUUAUCCUAUAUGCUUUUGUAUUUGUUACUCUGCACUAAAUAAAAUUAAUUUUACUUUCCUUAUGAAUUUAUACUGAUUUGCUUCGAUGUUUUUUCUUGUCACUUGUUUCCUUAUGAACUCCAUUCCAGUCUAUACUUACUCACGACGCCAAAGAAGUUUGGAGGUUAUUUUAUGACUACCAAUCCAACUACAUCAUGUGGAUAAAGCUUUGUUGGAAUAAUCCUUAUGAAGGUUGAAGAACAUCAUAUCCAGCUUUCAAAGAUAUUCUAGCAUGCAAACCACUAUACGGAAAAAUGGCUAAUUCCUACCCGAACUAUAAAAUUUGGUACGGAUUCAUACCUAAAAAAUUUAAGUGUGUAAUUUCAUACCCAAACUUCUAAAACUCGGAAAAUACAUACCUGAACUAAUUUUUUGUUGGUGAAUAUCAACAUAGACUAAUUACCCGUUAGUCAAUCUUCUUAUUUUGGUAACGGAAAGAUGUCCUGUGCCAUGUUGGCUGUCCCUUGUCAUGGGAACCUUAAACAACAUUGUUUUGGAUAAUUGGGCCCUAAAGCGACGUUGUUUUGGGUAAGGUUCAUGUGACAAUGGGGCAGCCAAUGUGGCAAGGGCAUCUCUCCGUUAAUAGAAUAAGAGGGUUGACUGACGGGUACUUGGUCAAUAUUAACAUUCACCGCGAAAAGAUUAGUCUGGAUAUAUAUUUUCCAAGUUUUAGGAAUUCAUGUAUGGAAUUGUACACUUAAAUUUCUCAGGUAUGAAUUGUACCAAAUUUCAUAGUUUAGAUAUGGAUUAGUCGUUUUCAACUAUUAUAAAGAGUGUCCAUAGCCUACAACAAGGCAUUAAAGCUGAGUACGGGUGAAAUCCAUAGCCUACAACAAGGCAUUAAAGCUUAGUACGGGUGAAACUUCAUUUUUUUAAUGAAUAUAAAUUUUGUUGUUUUUUGGUGACAAAUACAGCUAAAUGGGUUUUGCUAGAGCGAAUUGAGAAAUGGAACGGGUCAAAGUCUCAUACUCUACGGUUUUUUUAUUGGACUUGGUAAAAAAAAAAAUCUUUAUCGAGUGGAAUUAAAUAUCGGGUUUUGGAGAUUAUAAAUAUAAGAUUUAGGGUUUGUGAUAAUUCAUUUACACAAUCAAUAAGAAAUUCUAAACAGAUGUUUGCCUUAAUUUACCCUUUUUUUUGGUUAUUUGUUUUCUUUUAAGUUUGUUUUGUGCUUAUUCACAAUAAAAUUUAAUAAAAGUGAAACCGCAUUGUACAAAAAAAAACAUGUUAAGCUUUUUUGCUGAAAAUGUGAAUAAAAUCGAGAGUACAUUCUUAAAAAAUUAUUUAGUUUAAGAAUCCACAUCAAAAGUUUAAAGGAACUGUCAUUAAUAUAUAAAAGAUUUUGGCCACUUAUUGUCUAUUAAUUUUGAAUUAAAAACUUAACAUAGUUUCAGAGUAGUUUGUUGACCCAAGUAAAAUUGUCCAACCGAGCUUAAUGCGUUCGUUAAUGACCGAAUCACGGUGAACAUGUUCCACCAACAAAUCCGUCCCCGACAAUAACUUAUUAAAUUUAUAUUUUAAUAAAUUUCAAGUUCGCGCAGGGAAAAUUAGUACAAAUGGCGUUAAAGAAAACACCUACUGUCUUAAUAAUAUGAGUCUAGUCGUACGGUACCUAACAUAGUAUAAUAUGGUAUUAUCGUUUAGUCAAUUGAUUCCUGUGUUAAUGACAUGACAACUAAACUAUCGGAGCUCUAUAAUAUACUAUUAACGGAUCGUGCGUUGGACGAUCAUGGCAAAUUGUUUACGUUUAAUUAAACAAUAAUUCUUGUGAAUCUCAAUGUCAUUGAACUUGUAGUUUGAAUUUGAUAUUUUUUCGCAUAAAACUGAUUUAAAUGAUAUAGUAUGAUAAUUUGUUUUGGUUUUAAUACUGAAAAAUAUGAAUAUAUCUCUCAUUACAAGUAUGAUUUACAUAAAGUCAUUACGAUCCUUGAUGACGGACCCUUGACAAUAAGUAUAAGUAAAGGGCCGUUCAUACAUAAAGGUUUGUAAGUUUAACUAAUUAGAUCAUCAUAAUAAAUGGGUUUUAAUUUGAUUAAUAACUUAAAUUAAAAUUAAGAUGGUGGUUAAGGUAUUUUUUUGGUCUUCUAGCAAAAAGGUUUCCUACAACUCAAAGUUAGAUACUAAAAAUUUUAGGAAAUAUUAUUCCAAAAAGUUAGAAAAGAUUUUGACUAAUAUAUAGAAACAUGAACCAAUCCAUAUUAUUAUCAAUUGGUUUUGAGUUGAAAAUUUAAGUAAAUUAACAUGAUAUCAGUGUUUGAUUCGUACUGUCCAACUCGAUUAUCAACCCCAUCCAAAGUUGGUCACAUCAAUACAUGUUUGAACAUACCAAGAUCAACAACGAAAGAAUAAUCAUCUUGAGGAACGUAUUAAAAAAUAUUAAUUCAUAUCAGAAAUUAUAAGAGAUUUUAAUUAAUAUAUAAGAGAUAUAAGCCAAUUUACUCAUUGCUAAUUAGUUUUAAAUUGAACGCCCAUAUAACUUAGCAAUAUGGUAUAUAACAUAAUAUAAUAUAGUAUUACUGUUUAGUCAACUGAUUGUGUUAAUGACAUGACUACUAAUCUAUCGAAGCUCAAUAACAUAUUAUUAACGGAUCGUGCGUUGGACGUUCAUGGCAAAUUGUUUACAUUUAAUUUAACGAUAAUUCUUGUUAAUCUCAAUGUCAUUGAACUUGUAGUUUGAAUUUGAUAUUUUUUCGCACUAGUUAGAACUGAUUUAAAUAAUAUAGUAUGAUUACUUGUUUUGGUUCUAUUAGUACUGACAAAAAUAUGAAUAUAUCUCUCAUUACUAUGAUUUACAUAAAGUCAUUACGAUCCUUGAUGACAGACCCUUGACUAUAAGUACAAGUUAGUGGCCGUUCAUACAUAAAGGUUUGUAAGUUUAACUAAUUAGAACAGCAUAAUAAAUGGGUUUUAACUUGAUGAAUAAGUUAAAUGAAAGUUAAGAUGGUGGUUAAGGGAUUUUUUCGUCCUCUAGCAGAAAACUUUCCUACAACACAAAGCUAGAUACUAAAAAUUGGAUCCAGUAGGAGUGUAUUUAAAGAGAUUACCUAACUCGGGCUAGGAUACCGGCUCUAGCACUUGGUACUCGGUGGAAUAUGGAUCCACCAGUUCAACCCUAUACGAUGCACUGGAGUUGUUUUUCACAUAUGUUUCUUGUCUUGUUUGCUAGCUGAUCGACGACUGUAUAUAUGGUUCAGAACGAUCCAGACUGCAUAGUUUGUAUUGGUUGCUACAAAAUAUAUAUGUAGCUACUGCUACAGUUGAAGAUAUUUUUUUGGGAUGAAGAUUGUGAAGAUGUCUUACAGAACCGAAUGAAUGAUCAGUUUUUAAUUGAUUGUGUUGAUUGUUUUGUUGAGAAAGAAUUGCUUAUAAAAGUGACAAAUGAAGUAGUGAUGAAAAUGUUUCAAAAUACGAAGCCUUAUAGGAUAACUUUGUAGGUUUUUUGUAAUUUAAAAUAUUUUAUAUAAAUUAUUUUUGUUAUUUAAAAUAUUAUGCUCCCGAUUAAAAAAAGUUCUAGAUCGCCACUGGUCGGAAAUGCAAUCUGAAAGAUCUUUUAGGUUUUCUGGGUACAGAACGUUUUUUCAGAAGUAAAAGUAUUGUGUAUUUUGGCAAAGAAUAUUUGUCCUCUUUUCUCCACGGAGAGAAGGGUUUAAUUAUAAAAAAUACAUGUCGAAUGCGGUAAUCAGGGUCGUAUAUCCAUAUGUCGGGUCAAGUUUUUAGGGGAAAGUGUUUCUCUUGUUUGUAUGCUACUGUCCUUAACAAUGUUGAUGACGGGCUGCUCAUACACUCCAUUGCGAGGCUUGCAAUUUAAUUUAAACUAUAUUUUCUGAAUUUUAUAUAUGUUUACAUAAUUACUAGAGUAUCUCCAACAUAUCUUUAUUUUUGAUUCUAUAUAUAUUUUUUUUUAAAAUCGUUUUUAACCCACCUCUAUUUCCACCUCUAAAAAUAGCAUUUCUCUAUUUUUCAUUUAUAUUCAGUAAUCUUAUUUUUACUUUAAAAAUAGAGUUAAUUUUUUAUUUAUAAAAUGGUCUUUUAAGUUUCAAUAUUUUUUAUGUAAAACUAAAACAAACAAUAUAAAUAAUAUAAAUUCAAAUUUAUACAAUAAAAGUUAACAAAGUUAAUUUCACAUGUAUUAGUCAAAGAAAAAGUCAAAUUUGAUAUAUACUCUUAUUCAUUUUGGCACAAAAAAGACUAAUAACUUAAUACAUUAGUGACACGAUAAAAAUAUAGCAAUAUUAAUUUUAAAUCAAAAUAUACUAUGUUUUUUAGUUUUUAUUUGAUGUAAUAUAAUUUUAUUUAUCAAAUAGAUAUUUAAUUUAAAUAAUAUCAUAAUUUAUAAAGGUUUUGUAAAGAAUAAAACAACUAGAGUUAAACUCUGUUUUUUUACAAAUAGAGAAUAUUAAUAAUAAAAAAAUAGAAUAUACUGAAAAUAUAUUUAGUUUAGAAUUAAAAAAUACAAUGGAAGGAAAUCCGCCUUUUUUAUAGAGUUCCUCUAUUUUAGAGUUAAAAAUAGAAGAAUACAUUUGAGAUGGUCUUAUAAAGAACUAAUUUAUUUAUUUAAACCUUUCGCAAUAGACAAAAAUCUAAACUUAAAUUUAACCGUUUUAACUUUUAUUUUGAUAUAUCUUAUUCUAUAAAGAAAGAUGAUUCGAACUUCGUAACUUGUCUGAUCGAUUGACUUAUCAUGACACCUGUUAAGUCAAUCGAUCAGGUUUUAACACAUGUAAAUGAUAUUAAACAAAAAAUAGCAAUUAAAAAUUUAAAACAAAAACAAAAAAAAAGAAGUAAAAGCUAAAUUUUUUUCCUCGCUAAAUUUUAUUAAAAACACCAUAUUUCAGUUCAGAAUAAAAAAUAAAAGAAUAGUUUACAAUACUAAAAAUUAAAUUUAAAAAAGGAAAAACCAAUUAGUAUUUAUAUUUAAAUUAAGGAAAAAUCAAAAUUAAUUACAAUCCUAAAAGAAAAGGAAUUUUAAUUCUCUACCCUAUAUAACCAAAUUGAUAGCUUCUCAAUUUCAUAACCAAAUAAACUUCUCCAAACUUUAAGCUGUAUGUAAUUUUUUACAUGGUUACAUAAGAAAAAAGUACCUAUAUUAUUUUGUUAAUAUAUCUAUUAUUUUACAGAAAUAAUUAGAGAGAAACAUUGGAUGUUGAAAUUUAAAUAACAAAAAGGAUUAUCUAACAUCGUGUCAAAAAGUACUUAUAUUGUUGUACUGUAGAAAUUCUAAAUGAAAUUACACACCCAAAUGUUAAAUUAUAAUAAUUGUAUCAAAACCUAUUUUUUGCUGCUUCACCAAUUUUUUUGUUCAAGAUAUAUAUUUAUUUCAUCAUUAUACAAAUAUUAAAUUACAAAUUCAUAUAUUAAAGAUAUUUAGGGGAUUUUUAGUUCUCUGCGGAGGCAAGUCUCUUGCAAAAACCAGAAAACACCUGAUGGCCUAGAAAACACGAUGGAGAUGUGUUUUCUGAAGGCUCUCUUACGCUCAAGUCAGAAAACACGAAACAGACAAGAAGUGGCUAAUCGGAGAGAGGAAAGAGAUCGGAAAAUAAGAGAAUGAAAGUAGGCUGAGUGUUCCUUAAAAAGAUGGAAUCAACUCUGGCCUUUAAGUGGUGAUGAGUUUUUUGAGGUGAAAAGAAAAAAAAUGAAAGAAUUUGUAGGUGGAAAUGCUCCACGGUUUAAGAACCGCCGGGGAGAGGAAUUGAAGAGUUGGUCGGAGUGAUGACCGAAAAGUAGUAUAUGCUAAAACUCAAGUAUCACAAGUAUCUAGAGAGAUAAUAUGAGCCUUAAGAUAGCGAAAAAAGUGAACCAUUUUCUCGUUGGAAGGAACAAAGUAUUUAUAUGAUUUUACCUAACUCGAGUUAGUAUAUCAGGUCGGUCCUUGGGUCAUGAGUUGGGCGGGUCGGUCUUUGAUCCGUCUUGAGUGGAUCCGAAUUGUGUGCUUACGUCACGCCUCUGACGGUUUAACCAACUUUCUUUGGUGUGUUCUGUCUACUGCGAGACCGCUCCUUGGCGCUUUUUUUUCAUCCCAAUGUAUGAGUCGAGUCAGCGGUUCAGACACGGUAUGACAUUUGCUGAACCACUGCUUUUCCUCUGGCUUCUGCGAAGGGUCAUUGUCACGUGACACGUGUAAGAACUAUACAUUAAAUGUCAAUUUUGUGGGUUUGAAAAGGUAAAGGUAAUUUAAAUCAGACCAAGGCAUAUUUUCACUGUCGAAUAAAGAAAAAAUUGAACAGUGUUUUCCGCUCAUAGGAUUAUUCAUAUCUGGCCUAGAUCCCUCAAUACUGAGACCAGGCUGUCGGGAUUGCCUCCAUGGGCGACUCCAUUUUCCGGGUACCUGUAAAGGUCACACUCCUUAUAUCUUGACUCUUUCAGAUUCCCGAGUUUAGGCCUAAGACAUAAGAAAUGUGACAUAUCCUCCUCCCGACCAAUCAGUUCUGAUUUCCUUGUCUCUGACAGUGUGGCCUGCAGUGGCAGAUACGAAGAACCCAUGAACAGUGGUCUAUCAUGCCGGAUCUCCCGAAUCUAAAUGGAUUCGAAGCCUAGUGUUAUAAGUUUAGGUCACAUUGCGCCGUAAUCCCAAUAUGAAUCCUAAUUUGGUCCAAGAGACCGUACCUGCAAAAAAAUUAUGAACGCCACGUACAAUCACGCGAUUCAUCCAUAUAGGAAUGAUCGAAUUUAUCCUCAUCAUGAGAUACUUAUCUAGUAUUAAAAAAAAAUAUAAAUCAUAGUAAAAAUAUUGCAAGAUUUUAAAAAAUAUUUUUCCUUCUAUUUGAACAACCAAUCAAGAAUUCAUUUUUAAUUGAAAGUGUGGUUGGGAAAGAAAAAACUACAACUAUUACCAAUUUACUUACCCAUAGAAAAAGAGCUUACAAGAAACUAAGAAAAAGACUUUAAAUUUCUGUGGACUCUACCUAAGCUCUCUGAAGAGAAGUGUCAAGAGAGCAGAACUCAGGGUUCAAAACUAAUCCAUCCCUCACAGUAAGAUUUUCUCUUUCUUUUCCAAUCAAGAUCUCGAUAUGUAUUUUAAAUUUUGGAUGCGAUCUUGUCUCUUGACAGAGGAAAGCAGGAUCCAAGUGGAGCUGAAUCAUGGCAGCCAUAGUGGAAACAAUUUCAUCACCUUCGCCCACUUCGCCCACUUCAGGGGGUUUUUCAUUACAGCUUGAUGAUUUAGACUUAAAUCCACGGCUUCUCAAGGAGUCAGCUGGUAAAGAAUCUUGUUGCAUCUUCAGAGUCCCUGAACGCUUCGCAGAAGUCAACCCCGAAGCCUACAAGCCCAAAGUUGUUUCAAUUGGUCCUUACCAUUACGGAGAAAAGCACCUCCAAAUGAUUCAAGAGCACAAGCCUCGGUUCCUGAAGCUUUUCCUAGAUAAGGCAAGAGGGAAGGGAGUGGAAAAAAACGUCUUGUUUAAGGCCGUAAUGGAUUUGAAAGAAACUAUUACGAGUUCUUAUUCCGAGGAUCUUCGGCAUAUUUCAUCGGAACUAGUGCAUAUAAUGAUUCUGGAUGGGUGCUUCAUUCUCAUGUUGUUGCUUAUCGAGUCAAGAGUUAUUGACUUUGAUAAGAAAGAGGAUCCAAUUUUCACGAUCCCGUGGAUUCUCCCGUCUAUUAAGAGUGAUCUUCUCUUCUUGGAAAAUCAGGUUCCUUUCACUGUUCUUAAAACUCUAUUAGAAAGAUCAAAGAUAGAUAUCUCUGGUGACGUAAACAGGAUGGUGUAUCCUUUCUUCAACUCCUCAAUAGAUAUACCAGAAAAGAAGCGUUUGAGCCAAACAAUCUUCGAGGCAAAACAUCUUCUUGACCUCAUUCGUAUGACCUUCGUACCUACUAGAGGAUCUAAGGGUAAAUUUGAAGAUUUUAAACUCAAGAAGGAUGGAUCUCCAAUUAAAUCAUCCUCAGAAUUUUCUAUGAUAUUGUCGGCUACCGUACUUUACCGCCAACGGAUAACGUUCAGCCUAAAGAGAGAUGCAGAUUCGGUAUUAGAUAUAAGUUUAAAGAAGAACAGACUUCAGAUACCAUUGCUAAGAUUGGAUGGAUUCAUAAGCGCACUCUUCCUCAACUGUGUCGCCUAUGAACAGUUUUACACAAAGGGUACAAACGACAUAACAAGCUACGUGAUUUUCAUGGGAUGCCUUCUAAAACGCGAGGAAGAUGCAGUUUUGUUGAGCGACGACAACCGGAUCAUAGAGAACUACUUUGGCAGCGACAAUGAGGUAUCCCAGUUCUUCAAAAAUAUCUGUAAAGAUGUUGUAUUUGACAUAAGUCGAAGUUAUUUACGGGAUGUGUUUGAGGGAGUUAACAAGUACACCUCAACAUGGUACUCACGGUAUAUGGCACAAGUGGUUUACUCUCAUCCCCUUUCGUUUGUGUGUUAUUUCUAACCUUCUUCAGCUCAUUGCUGCGACUGUUUACUUCUUUGGCAACUAACAGAAGUCACAGAAUCGUUUGGACUUCAGGCAAAGCAAAUAUGCUCGAGCUUACGUAGAAACAAUGAAGACAACGGACAGUCUUCCUUAUCUUAUUCAAACCUCGUCGUUUCUGUGUCAUAUGUUUUAUUAUCAGUUUUGAGUUCCAUUUGUUUACGGUUAUGUGUGUUAUUGGUUUUAUGUUGUCUUAUUGCUACCUAUUUGGUUUUAUUACAUUAUUAUCCUAUAUGUUUUUGUAUCUGUUACUCUUGUCACUUUGCAUGAAGUAAAGAUACAUUUACUUUCGUUUAACCAAAUUUACCUGACUUUGCUUUGUCUUGUCGAUUUCCUUGGUCCCAUAACAUAUCACAAAAAAAAAAAAAAUGGGAUUGGUCACUCGCUAUGGGCAGUCGCUAUGGGCGGUCGCUAUGGGCAGUCGAAAGUUCUUGUAGGUGUCUUGAACAGUUGAACUUGUCAUGCAGCUGCCAUGACACCUGCGCCAGCGCAGGGAUUAGUGAUACGAUAUAAAAACUUUCGGGUUGAUAUAUAUGAACCAAAUUUCAUAUAACGAUAAAAAGAAUUUAUCAACCCAAAAUUUAUUAAUGAUACAAAAAUAUGAACCAUAUAUAUCAACUCAAAACUAAACCAAAUUUCAUAUAAUGAUAAUAAAUAAAAUAAAAUAAACGGCUACACAUACGAUAACAAACCAAACCCAAAAUUUGUUCAACAAAAAAAAUAUAUAUAUACAAACCAGAAAUUGUUAAUAUCUUUUGUUAAAAGACCCCAAUGCAUGCUUAUUUAUUCAAAGAGUAACUAGAAUCGAAUCUAGAAGGAGAUAAUGAUUUUUUUUUCAUAAACUCACUAGAUAUGUUAAGAAAAAAAACUAUCUAAGUGAUAGCAAAUGAUGCUUUGUUUUAUUCACAAACUUGUUUUACAUAUAAGGAAGAAGUCUUAAAAGAAAAUUAAUUUAAUGAAAUAUGAAGGAUAAGAGUCCGGUUGUAUUAACUUAAAAUCUAUAUUAUAUGUUUAAAGAAGUAAGACCUUUUGCAACGCGCGUAUUUACCAGCGUCUCUAAUAUAUUUUUUGAUUAAAAAAUGCAGAAGAGAAAAAGGGCUGAAACGUCCCUUAAUUAAGGACAGAAAGAAAUGUUUCUUACAGCUACCUGUUACGUUUCUAUUUAUCAUAGUUGAGAACAAAAUCUGUUUAAUUUUUUUUCCAAGUGUUACCCACUUGAAGCAGUUUUGAUGAAGAAAGAAGAAACCUUCCAUUGGGCCAUACAAAAGCAAUGAGUCUUUUAACUAAAUCUUUUAUCCAAUUUUAAUGUUAAAAAAUAAAUAAAAAAAAACUCAUAUGGAUUUAUGCAUUGCAGAUGCUCUAAGAUACCAUAUUACAAAACCUAAAAGUUAGAAAAUUGAAGUUUGCGAUCGUUGUAAAUAGAGAACAUGGACGACGACGUGGAAACAACGUGUCCAAGUAUAUGAAAAGAAAUGUUAAUAACAGAGAAUUUCUCUAGAUACUUCAGUUAUAUUAAUCUAAAGCGUUAGUUAUGCAGAAAAUGACGUAAAUUUAAUUUCUAGAAUCUGAUUCCAAAAUCUACAUAUAAAACACGCAUUCAUAAAAAAAAUACUAAAAAAAUUUGUAAGAAAAUAGUCACACAAUCAGAGAGACAUAUUUGAUAUGAAAUAACCAAAGACUUCUGCAACGAAUAAGUGAAGUAUGAAGCACCCAAAGUUAUAAAAAGAAUAAGAGAAUGAAAUUGAUAUAAUUUUUAACUUUUAGGUAUGUUGGAAAUAGAGAAAUGACGAUAAUGUAUGUAUACUUUGUCAAAUUAAAAUUUGAGUAUCAACUGAAACGAGUAUAUUGAUGCAAAGAUAUAUCAAUAACAUUGAAAAGACAUAUAUGUUAAAAAUGCAACUUUUAAUAAAAUAAAUUGUUAUUUGUGUCUGACGUUAAUUUCGGAUAAUAUUUUUAUUGUCUAAGGAGAUGUUCUAUAGAUUAGGGACCAAUAAAUCAUGUAAAGAUAAAAAUAUGACAAUUAAGAUGGAUAUAAGUAAAGUUUAUGAUAGAGUUGGAUUGUUUUUUAUAGACAAUUUUUAAGAAAAUUAUAUUUUGCGGAGAGAUAGAUAAAUUAGAUGAUGAGAUGUAUAUCGUCAGUACAAUAUAAAGUUCUGCUAAAUGGACAACCUAAAGGACAAAUAAAUCGGAGAGAGGGUUUCGUCAAGGUGACCUCCUAUCACCAUAUUUAUUUAUUUUAUGCACUAAAGUUCUAAUAACCAACAUAAGCAAAGCAGAGAUGGAAAAAAUAUUAAUGGGUCUUAAGAUAGCGAGAACUAGUCCAACAGUUUUACAUUUACUUUUCACGGAUGAUACUUUAUUUUUUUAGAAAGCAAAUUUGGAAAAGUGCCAAAAGAUUCUACAAAUACUACAACAAUAUGAAAGUGUUUCAGGUCAACAAAUUAACUUUGAAAAAUCAUCGGUUCAAUUUUGUCAUACGGUCCUGAUCUGCCCAAAGUUUAAUCCCUAGAGCUACUCUGCAAGAGCACAAAUAUGCCAUUGUAGUAUGCAGGGGUCGAACCACAGACACGAGAAAUUCGUACAAUAAAAUAUCUAGGCUUGAAUUACGCUAAGCAAACACAAUGAAAUUAAAAGCAACAAUGUAGGCAAAACGGUUGGACUCGAUGGGAAAAAGAUAAAUACAUGGUGUUUCUCUGGAAAUCAGAGUAUGCAGAUUAAUCGAUAAAUCAGGAUUCAGGUUUAAGUGCAGUUCUUGAACUCAAAUAACGAAAUUAUAAUUAACCAACUGUCGUUGCGAGAAUUAUCUAAGUCUAAAUCCUAGAAUCCCAAAUUUUUUUGCAAAUCCUAAAGACAUAAACCAGCUUUAAGCUCAAGUUUGAUAUGUUCACAAAGUGUCUAAACAAAUUUUUUUUGCGGAUAGCUACUUUGCUCACCCUAGGUUCUUUCCAGUUAUUCAAUUACACUUUUGUGUCAAUCAGUUAACCUAUGGUGAAGAACUAAUAGAUUAUGAACCCUAACUAAUCAAUUUAUCUAACAUCCAAUGAAAUUAUUUGUGAGAACCCUAAACCUAACAAACAAACUACUCAGACAUGGAUAUUGAAGUAAUAAAUAUGAUUGAAUAGAUUGCAAAUAAGAAUAAUGAGUUUAAGAAAUAGGGGUUCGAAAUCUUCUCUCAGAGUCUCAGACUUGUCUCCCCAAAAGCUCUCUCAAAUCUCCUCUCCAAGUAUGAAAAAUAUAAUAAAGCCUAAGCCAAAACAGGUGACUGAAAACCCUAAUAAAUACUAAAAACACGUGUUGGACUUCCUUGUAAAUAUUGGAGAUUUCUGGGUUCAAGAGAUUCUUCAAAACUAGGACAAAAUCACGUUUUUCCUUUAUUCACGAAACCGGUGUCGAGCGACACCAAACACACAUAUUUUCACCCUUCAUGAAUUUGAUCCCUGCUUAGCUUCAAAAUGCUCCAAAAUCUCCAAUUAAGCUCCAAACGUACCUAAGACCUGAAAAGACUCCAAAAGACGCGAAAAACACUAAAAUUACUCUAUUAAUAAGGCCUAUAUCAUGGUCAAAAACCAUGAUAUAUCAGGUCCCAGAGAAAGUACAAAGUGGAGUGAAAGCAUGGGUGGUGCCAAAACUAGAAACUACGAGAAAUGGUGGAGCGUGAUCUUAUUUUGGCAUCCCUGAAAGCAUGGGUGGUGCCGAAACCAAGAUUUUCAAUUAUGUAGCAGAUAGACAACAUGAUCAGAUUAAUAGCUGGAUGAUAAUACCUGAUUUUGACCACUUUUCACCAUUGAUUUCAAAUGUUUUUUCAAAGGUUUUAAUCAGUUUUAGAAACUUUUAUUAUGAUUUCCAUGUAUUUGUAGUUUCAAGGCUCUUUUCAGGAAAUUUAGGGAAUAUGAUGGCAAAAUAGAAGAAAUCCACAUUUUUAGCUCAGAGUCAGACCGUCAGAAGUUCAGCCUCAAAUGAAGACUUUCUCACCGUCUGAUCCAGCUCAAAUUUGGAGACAAUCAAGAGGAAGCAACCAUCUUUCUAUAGCACUUUACAUCACAAAUAUCCAACGGUGCAAUCAAAAGAUACAUGGAGAACAAGUUGACCCAGUUCACCAGUCCCGGAAGACUCUCACCCGCGGGAAACACAUGCUUUACAUGCCCUGGAAGACUCUCACCCCCGGUGGAUCUUAGGACGAGCCACAAGACCCAACAUCAAAGCCCACUGCACCAUUUCUCUUCAGAGAAGCCCUAAAUGAGACCUGGAAGACCUUAGGACCUAUAAAUACAUUGUUUAGCAGCCCUAAACGGGUGUGUGCUUUUGUAAUGAGAUUUUGAGCCACCAAACUCUGUUUUUCUAGGGUUAGGCGAUGGAGAUGGGUAUUCUUCCCCAGAUCCAUUGUUCUUUCUCCUUUUUAUCUAUUUAACUUUUCUGUUUCAUUUUUUGCAUUCUUCUAUGUCUUUUAUCAUUCAUUGCAUCACGUAGAUUAGUCACAGAGAGUCAAGUCGUUUGAAGAUAUCAACAAGCAUAUAUAUCGAUUAAGAUUUCUAUUGUUCUUAGCCAUAUUCUGUAUAUCAUCUCUUCUAAGUUGUUCAUAAAUCAUGAGAGUAGAUUCAUGACCUAUUAUCUGAGCCUAGGAUCAAUCAGAGCCACAAGAGUGCUGUAUCAGAUCAUCCGUACCUAGCUUCAAAAUAACAUAGUCGCUAUAGGAGUCGAGAGCUACCUAUAGAGAAGAUGUGAGUAGACGAAUUCAAUGUCUAAUGCAUGAUCUUAAGUUUAGCAUAAGAUCGAGAGUUAAUUGCUAGAUCUAAGAGAUUAGUUGAUUAAGGUGACGACAGUUGGUUAAUCAUACAUAUGUCUAUUCCAGGUCAAUGCAGAUUCCCAGAAACAGAUGAAGAAGUCAAGAUCCAUCCGUCGCAGGGGAAAGUGGAUCAACAAUCGCCCGGAAGCUAAUUGGAAAUGCCAUCAUACAUCGAUUAGAGUAAAGCCGAGACGUCUAAAUCGCCACCUAUGAGUUUAAGAGUCUUUAGUUUGAGUUGAUAUGCUUUAGAUGUUUCUUUUAACAAUUCAUCCUGCAUUGCAUUUCUUGUGAAUAUUAGAUUAGGUUUAGUUUAGGAUCUUAACCAAAACCCCAAAACUUUUAUUGGUUUAUGAGUUUGCUUACUUCCCAGUUUGUUGUUUCUCGCAGAUUAGACAUCCUCCCUGUGAUCGACACCCUAAGUCCUACAACGUACAUCUGUCCACUUGCAGACACUAGAGUUUUAUAAAUUUUAAACUUUUGGAGGACCAACGGGCUUAUUAAAAAACAAUCCUAGGCCUGCAAGCCCAUCAUGUUUUUGGCACCGUUGCCGGGGAGGAUUUUAGUCUCUGGAGGUCUAAACCCUAACCCCGAGCAAAGGUCCUGCAACCUGUGUGAAGCUCCCUGCGCAUGUGAAUCACCCUCCAGGCGUGAUUUUGAUCAUUAUCUUCGGAACCCUAAUCCAAACCACCACCAUGGAGACUCGCAACCUCCACAUCACCAAGAUGAGCCCUGUUCGCCACACCUGGUGAACCGUCGACCAUCUCAUCCUCUCCCUCAUCAGAUUCUGCACCAGAACUAUGAGAACAAUCGACUUAACAUCCUGAUUAAUCGAUUGGAAGCCAAGCUGAAUCAGUUCCUCGCCUCCCAAGCCCUCAUCGAUGCUGCCCUGCGAACGAAGAUAGAUGACAUGACCAUCGGCCUCAACAAAUGGUUUGAUGAACUCUCUGAGCAUGUGAAGACAGUGGAGGAACAGAGAACCAAAGAUAAUGACAUGUUAGAUCAGAGAAUAGAGUCUGUCAAGGAAGAACAAGACAAAAACAAGUUCAGCAUUCGGCAAAACGAAAGGAAGCUGCAGACCCUGACCUUCAAGAUCGAUAAGUUGGAUAAGGAGCUGAAUGAGAGCAAAAACUAGACCUACGACUACACAUUGGAGCUGUGGCAAGGCGUAGCAAAGGUUGAAAACAAGACAGAAGAGCUUGAUGCUAUUUUAGACAAAGUUGUCUAUGCUUUUGAUGAAGUAGAAGAGAAAGUUGAAAAAAUUUCUAAAGAUCAUAAGAAGUAUGAUCUGAACUCUGGAAUCAAUGAUUUGGAUACCCAAGAUGUGCCUGACAACCACUGGAAGCAAGAGAACAACAAUGGAGAAAAAAAGAUUGAAGAAGCAAGCAUGGAGAGCCGGAGGAAGCUAACCGUGGCUGCAAGCACCUCACCCGUGGCCAGAGCCACUUCCACUGCAGCUCCGAGCUCCUCAACCAUGGUGGAGCACGACUUCUCAGACUGGGAGAGCUUUCAACCUCUUUCUACCAUGGGUUCGACGACGUCUGGAAGCAAGGCUGCCUUCAAGUUUUCUUCAGAUACAGCAAGGAGACUAAGGAGAACAUCUCUACAUAUUUCAGAAGAGCCAGGUAUCUUUCUUUUCCUAGAUCAUCAUCUGAUGCAGCUGUUUACAGGAUCCAUCUCAAAGAUCCCCAAGAAGCCAGUGAUUAUACAAACAAGAUCAGCAAAGAAGCACUUGAAGAGUUCAACCAAGUAGUUCAGACCUGCCAGAAGGAAUUUCGUUUGCCAAAGAAUGUAGAGACUACAUGGUAGACCACUUCUUUUGUGACAGCAAAGAGUCAAUCUAAGAGAUGAAAGACUUGUUCACACACGCCAAGAAGGUAGACCAGUUUGAACUCUGCACAAAGUUCAAGACAAAUGUCAAUUUCUUAUCUCUUGUGACAUUAGAGGUGAAAGAUUCCUCAAUAUUCUUUGUGAUUCUGGAGCUUGCAUUAACAUGAUAUCCAAAGCAACUGCUUUGAGACUUGGCAUUAAGCACAUCUCAAGUACCAGGAAAAAGAUUAGCUUAGCAGAUGAUUCAAGUGCAACACCAAGAAGGAUAGCCCGAGACAUUCCUCUAAGGAUUGGAGAUUGCAUUGCACCUGUCGAUCUAUACAUAGUGAAGACCAAAGAUGACUCUUAUCCAGUUAUUCUUGGAUGGCCUUUCUUAGCAACUGCUGGAGCCAUCAUGGAUUGGUCCAACAGGGGAUAGCAUAAUCGACAAGGACAUCUUCUAUGAGGCUGCACCACUUAAGAGCAAAAGAGGAGAGCAUAAAGCAGGCAUUUGAACCAGAAGAACUCUGGAGUGAUGAAAAACCUGCAAGACAGAAUAGGAGGAUUUCGAAGAGGACUUGUCUUAGGACAAGAUCCUAUUUGAACUAAGUCUUUUUCUUUGCAAAGUCUAGCUAAUGACUAUAAACCAAAGCGCUUAAUGGGAGGCAACCCAUUUUAGGUACUUAUUUGUUUUUGGUUUAGCUUUCUUUUUCUAUUAAAGUUUUGUUUCUUUUAUUUUAGACAGGUCUUAGUAUGCUAUAAAAAAAAAGAAGAAGAAGAAGAAAAGGAGCAGGCCGCAGCCAAUGGAGAUUCAGCCGCGGCCAGCAGGCGUUUUACUGCGGCCAAGAAGGUCUAACCCGCGGCCGGCACGCAUCCCACCGCGGCCGCGAUGCUUUGACCGGCAGCAGCACAGACGGCCACCUUGGCCACUUCCAUUUCACCUUGGACACUUCCAUUCCACCCUUGGCCACUUCCACCACCACCUUGUUCAAAUCUGUUUUGGAUCCCUAGCAUCCAAGUUUGAUCAAGCAUCACCACCACAACCACCCCACAAUCCAUCACCAACACCAGGUAAGUUUUCUCUUCCCCAAUCUUUUUAAUUUUUACAUACUUUAUUUCUCAUCCCUUUCUAACCACUUUUUCUUGCAUGAGCCUUUGCAUUCUGCAUUAUUUUUAAAAAAUUUCAUUUUUUUCGAUUUUUAAAAAAACUUUUCAAAAGUCUUUUGAGUUUCAAAAAGUGUUUUCAAAGGUCAAAUAUAUUUUGAGGGAAUAAUGACAAAAUCAAUGAUGAUAACCAACCUGUUUGCUUCUACACCAAUCACUCAUGAAAGCUCUUUCAAGGUUUAGUACUAGACUAGGAGGUAACUAGAGUAUUUACACUACGAAAUUCCGCCAGAAGACUUCUAUUCAUGGAGAUAGUUUCUGACAGGAUAUACUAGCUCAUUUUACUUGGACUUAAUCUUGACAUCUAAUUUUUUCAUCAAUGGUUUUAAAAAGGCAUCAUGAUAUACAUCUAGGACAUCUUUACCUAAUUGUUACCACUCUUUGUUGUCCUAGAUGGCCAAUUCAUCUUUAGCUGGUACCACACCCUUAACCCAAACCUUCAUGUUCAAAGCUCAUGCAUUCUCUCUUAAGUUUAUAUCGACAUAUAUGUGCAAAAACGCCGGAGAGGGAGGAACAACAUCGUUUUCAGUCACUCAAGAGAAAGACUGAAAGAGACAAGAAGGAAGUGUGCCAGAAAUCUUAUGAUGCCUCAGAAAAGCUCAUUCUUAAAGGUAAUUUUUGUGCUCCCUAAGACUCCAAGUCAAAAGGCAGUUUUCCCUUUCAAAAAAGAAAAAACGAAAAAAGAGAAAAAAGAAAGAAAAGAAAGGAAACCAAGAGCCUAAAGAGUCUUAGAAGUCGAAAUCACUUGAGCCAAGGCAAUAGGUAUUCACUUAAGGAGUUAUGGAUUCACAACCUGGACAAAAAUCCAAGUCUGGAGGAACUAUAAGGAGAACCUGAAGAAAGGAGAUCAGAAAUCUUGAAGCAAGAAGAAUGUGAUUGAAACGUGGGGGCAUUUACAGUUCCAUUCUCUCUUGCUGUUUUGCAUAAUGUCCUGUCUCUCCAGAAAAAAGUAACCCUAAACACCUCAGCCUUACCAUUAAAAAGCCUUUUUGAUACCUAACCUUGAAUGCCUUGUUUAAUAUCUUUUUGAUGAGAACCACUGAAACCUUUAAUGAAUGUUAAGAGCUAGUUGACUGGAAGUUUGUUCUAAGUGUGUGGAUUUUCGCAUGACGGAUUAACGGACUAGUUAUGUUUGUAUUUUGGUGAAAAUUUUCUAGACCUGAUCUGAUUGAUGCAUUGUCCAUAAUUAAGGUCUAGAAGUAUGGUUGCUGAUAUUUUUGAGUUCCCUGUCAUUUUUGUUGAAUGAUAUUUUUCCAGAUUUGAUCUUGUUUUGUUUGAGGACAAACAAAGUCUUAAGUCUAAGGUAGUUGAUAACACCUGAUUUUGACCAUUUUUCACCAUUGAUUUCAAAUGUUUUAAUCCGUUUUAGGAACUUUUAUUAUGAUUUCUAUGUAUUUGUAGUUUCAAGGCUCUUUUCAGAAAACUUAGGGAAUAUGAUGGCAAAAUAGAAGAAAUCCACAUUUUUAGCUCAGAGUCAGACUGUCAGAAGUUCAGCCUUACAUGAAGACUUUCUCACCGUCCGAUCCAGCUCAUAUUUAGAGACAGUCAAGAGGAGGCAACCAGCUUUCCAUAGCACUUUACAUCACAAAGAUCCAACGGUGCAAUCAAUAGAUACAUAGAGAAUAAGUUGACCCAGUUCACCAGUCCCGGAAGACUCUCACUCGCGGGAAACACAUGUUUUACCUGUCCUGGAAGACUCUCACCCCCGGUGGACCUUAGGACGAGCCACAAGGCCCAACAUCAAAUCUCACUUCGCCAUUUCUCUUCAGAGAAGCCUAAAUGAGACCUCGAAGACCUUAGGACCGAUAAAUACAUUGUUUAGCAGUCCUAAACGGGUGUGUGCUCCUGUAAUGAGAUUUUGAGCCACCAAACUCUGUUUUUCUAGGGUUAGGCGAUGGAGAUGGGGAUUCUUCCCCAGAUCCAUUGUUCUUUCUCCUUUUAAUCUAUUUAACUUUUCUGUUUCAUUCUUUUGCAUUCUUCUAUGUCUUUUAUCAUUCAUUGCAUCAUGUAGAUUAGUCCCAGAGAGUCAAGUUGUUUGAAGAUAUCGACAAGCAUAUAUAUCGAUUAGGAUUUCUAUUGUUCUUAGCCAUAUUCUGGAUCUCAUCUCUUCUAAGUUGUUCAUAAAGCAUGAGAGUAGAUUCAUGACCUAUUCUCUGAGCCUAGGAUUGAUCAGAGCCACGAGAGUGCUGUAUCAAAUCAUUCAUACCUAGCUUCAGAAGAACACAGUCACUAUCGAGAACUACCUAUAGAGAAGAUGUGAGCAGACGAAUUCAAUGUCUAAUGCAUGAUCUUAAGUUUAGCAUGAGAGCGAGAGUUAAUUGCUAGAUCUAAGAGAUUAGUUGAUAAAGGUGACGACAGUUGGUUAAUCAUACAUAUGUCUAUUCCAGUUCAAUGCAGAUUCCCAGAAACAGAUGAAGAUAAAUCGCUCGAAAGCUAAUUGGAAAUGCCAUCAUACAUCGAUUAGAGUAAACCGGAGAAGUCUAAAUCGCCACCUAUAAGUUUAAGAGUCUUUAGUUUGAGUCGAUAUGCUUUAAAUGUUUCUUUUAACAAUUCAUCCUCCAUUGCAUUUCUUGUGAAUAUUAGAUCAGGUUUAGUUUAGGAUCUCAACCAAAACUCCAAAACUUUUAUUAGUUUAUGAGUUUGCUUACUUCCCAGUUUGUUGUUUUUCGCAGAUUAGACAUCCUCCCUGUAGAUCGACACCAUAAGUCCUAUAACGUACAUCUGUGCACUUGCAGAUACUAGGGUUUUAUAAAUUUAAAAUUUUUGGAGGACCAACGGGCUUGUUGAAAAACAACCCUAGGCCUGCAAGCCCAUCACUGGACUUUGAGGUUAUUAUGGAAAGAGGGCAAAUAAGUUUUAAUUAAAUCAGUGGCAUCCACAAUGCCCACUUUUGUCAUGUCAUGUUUUCGGUUACCAAAAUCCACAACGGCCAGACUUACUAGUGUAGCGGCACGGUAUUGGUGGAGCUCUGAUGGGCAACAAAGAGGUAUGCACUGGAUAACAUGGAAGAAAAUGGAUAAAGAUAAGACGGAAGGGGGAAUGGGUUAACGAGAGGUGCUUUAUUGGCAAAACAAUUAUGACGGCUGAUUGAUAGACCUGAUUCACUGUUUGCACGGGUUUUUAAGGGAUGAUACUUUCGAAACACAAGUCCCUUGGACCCAGUACAAUCAUACUCUCCAUCCUAUGGUUGGCAGAGCAUAAUCUUGGCUAGAUAUCUGGUUAAUAAAUGACUAAUCAAAAGAGUAGAUUCGAGAUGUUCUAUUUCAGUUUGGAAUGAUCCUUGGAUACCUUCUUCUCGUCCGAGAUAAGCCACUUGUAAGGGAAUCAAUUAUUACUUGAAUCUUAUGGUUAAUCAUCUGAUUGACCCAGUGACAAAGAAGUGGAAUUUAGAAUUGAUUAAGGCAAUUAUUGAACCAACUGAUGUGGAAAUUAUCCGUGGAAUUCUCAUUAGUAUCUCUUAUAAGCCAGAUUAAUUGGGAUGACAUUUCACAAAAUCGGGAAGAUAUACAGUUAAAUCAAGAUACAAAAUUGAGCACCAAUCAUCAUAUGGAAUUUCAGAUGAGUUAUAUGGACCAGAUAUGAAGGCACUCCAGACAUAUGCUUAGAAAUUAAAAUGCUCUCCAAAAUUACACAUUUUUUUCACUUUCCUGCCGAAGAGUAAGGAGUCACAUUUUAUCUGCAAGAAAUAUCUGGAUGUCUUUCAGUGUCAGAUAGAUUACGCCCUCAGGAAUACAAUGCAAUACAUUAUGUGCACAAUGUGGAACGGAGAAUGAAACCAUAAAUCAUGUUCUUUCGAAUGCUCCCUUGUUUUACAAACUUGGGCAUUAUCUCAGAUACCAACACCACAUGGUGUUUUUCCAAUGACUUCGGUUUAUUCAAAUUUUGAUAAUCUUUUCUAGAGACUUACUAAAGCGAUGAAAAAUACUUAAUUUCCAUGGAUAGCAUGGUAUAUUUGGAAGACACGAAAUAAGAAAGUGUAUUUGGAUGUAGACCCACAAAUUACAUUAAAGAUAGCAGAAACAGAGGAAAUAUUAUGGGAAGAUACUCAAGGGUCUGAACAAGUUUCAACCCACACAACUUUGGGUAUUUCUACGGUCUACUCAAUACCUCCGUGAUACGAAGGUUGGUGGUGUUAUAUUGAUGGCUCUUGAAAAGAUACAGAUUUAUUCGCGGGAUUAGGAUGGUACUAUUUUCAAGAAGGUACUAUAGACCAAAUUAUGGGCAUGAUGAACAAAGGGUCGAUAUCAGUCUCGGAUUGGCGGCAAAUCGGUAUGCAAUACGAUGGUUUAGUAAACAUUAUACCUUUGGUUCGGGUGACAAUGCCAUUUCUCUGUGUUUUAUUGCCGGCGCCAAAGGUGGAUACAGGGAUGAGCGGUGGCGUUCGAGUGCUGCUAACGCUUCCUAGGGAUGCAAUGGCCAAGUUCAAGGAAGAGAUGAUUAAUUUCUAACCAUUGUUUUGGUGUUCUGUUUUUCUUUUUCUUUCUGUUGUUGAAUUUUGUUUUUCAAUGUUUAAAUCUAUCAUCAAUGACAGUUUUGGCUUGUUAUAAUUUCGCAUUACCCUUCAGCGAAAUAGAAACAAAAUCAGAGAACUCGACUUUUCCCACUUACAUCCAUCUAUUUACCUCAUGGAAACAAGAAUGCAUGAAAUAAAAAAGAAUGCAUGGGAAAAAAAAGAAUGCAUGGAAAGCAUGUUGGACAGUUGGACAAAAAAUUGGUACAAAAUAAUAUAGCGAUUUAAUCGCAAAUAUUGAAGUAAAUGUUAUAAGAAAGGAGAAUUUAAAACCGAUAAAAAACAAUUACAUAAACGAAUUAAUGAAGGCGAGAUAACUUUCUUUCUUUCCGUAACUUAAAAGAAUUACCCGUAGUGCAGUGAGAAAUAUCGAUUUAAGAGCCGCAGGAUACAAACGUUGAAUCUAUUAUCGCGUCACUCGAUAACAGAUCUAUCGAACUAAAAACUACGAUACUCUCGAAGACUUACUUUUAGCAAUAGAAAAUUCAAGAAACUUUUGCUUUAAGUUUUUUGGGUGUGAGUAUAUGCCUUUCUCUCAAGAGACGCGAGUCUAUUUAUAGUGAAGGAGAGAGUUAGGGUUUGGCUUUGUUGAUCAAGUUUCACCGACUUGCCACAACAAGGUUAGGCUGCGUCGGGGGCGCGCGUGUGGUCUUUUCUCUUCUCCAUCUCACUUUUAACAAUGAUAUAACUUAGUCCUUGUUUAUAUCAUUACAAAAUUUUCCAAACUACCAAUGUGGGACAAAUGACAUGUCUCCUCAUUUAAGGUAGCCAAUUCAUAAAGCUUUCAUUUAGUCCAAAGGCUUCAUUUCAAUUCACAUAUACAUUUGUAUAAAGCCCACAAACUUUACAAAAAUUGUUCCAACAAAGCAUAAGGAGUGUAAUCACACGAUUUGAAUCUUAAAAUCUGAUCAUAAAAUAAAUGCUCAUACGAUUGUAGCAGUUCAUCUAUGAUAUGGGAGCUACGUCCAUUUUGUUUUUCAUUUUCUUGUUCAAAAAUCAAACAAAACGGCAAUAAAGAAUAACUAAUAAAAAUUCUUUUAAAACAAACGAAUACAUGCCGAUCAGCUUCUCAACUUAAUACCUGAAAUACUUUUAGUGAUGGAAUCCUUAUCAUCAUUUUUUAAAACAAAGCUCUGGAAAACAAAGGAAUCCUUAUCAUCAUUUUUUUUCAAGUCGAUCAGCUUCUCAACUUAAUGUUCUUAAACCACCUCCAACAUGGGUUCGAGAGAGGUUCUUGGCCGAAAAACAUAGGCAAACUGGUACUAACAAAAAAAGAAAAAAACCCAUUUUGUUAAGAACAGUUCUUUAAAUAAGGAUUCUAAGGAUCAGUUCUAAAGGUCACGUGUCCGCAUUUGAUUAGCCAUAUGUUUAUUUUUGUGGAAACUCUCUCUCCUCUCGACCACUUUCUUUUGACCAUUUUUCUUUUUGGCCGAUGAUUUUUUUUUAGGGUUUGAAAGAGUGGAUUUGCGAUUCCUGAAGAGAAGAAUUAGUGGAGAGAAGAGUUGUGAUUCCAGAAGAAAAGAUCAACCAAUUUCGACUUCCUUUAUUCCUGGUUAGUGAUAUUUUACGAAUUUUUAAAUAUCAAUUGUGAAUUUGAAAUUUUUAAUAGAGAUUUUGAAAUUGGGAAUUUAGUUGCGAUUGUAGUUGCUUAGUUGAUUCUCUUCAUCAUUUCUUUCAUAGUUCAGUUUGGUUUGAUUCUCGUCAUCCUUUCAUUGUGGUCGCGAUUGUAGUUUUUGUCGAAUUGUAAUGUGAAUGAGUUAUGAGUUUAGUGUGAUUGAAGGAGUUUUGUUUGAUAAAGAUUUGAUUAUGGACAGAUAAUGCGGAUUAGCUACAGCGAGACAUUAUCUGAAGGACCAGAAUGGACUUGUGGUGGGCAUAUGCGGAUGCAAAUUUUGGCAUUCCUGAGAAAUGUUUCUGUGGUCGGCAGAUGAAGCUUGAAUCGUCGACAGGUGAAGAGAUAGAGACUCCUGACCGCAAGUACUAUACCCGUCCUGACUGGUUUAAAGAGGUAAGUUGAACCCAUUAUUGUCGAUGACUGAAGGUUUUUUUUUGUUUGAAAUUGUUUGAUAAAACUAACCUAUGUAUGUAGGCGAGUGGAGAGCAUAUAUGGAAAUGGUGGGAUGAGGGUGUGAUAGAACAAUUCUCAAUCGUGCAGAGAAAGCUUGAAGAGCAAAGGGAGAAGCUGCUUAGGCUUGACAGACUUCAAGCAUUUGAUCCCACCAUUGGAGAAAUAAAGGAAGAGGUAAGACUGCUUCAAGGAGAAGUUUCAAGGCUGAAGGAGCAAAAUGCUAACCAAGGUGAAGGCUAUUUGCUGCUGUGUUUUCUUUUUAUUUUUGCAGCCAUUUCAUAUAUGUUUAAGUAGAAGAAAUGAGUUGCAGCUAUUCUAUAUGUUUUAGUAAUGUUCCUUAUGAAGUUAUGUACUAAGACAAAAAUGUUUUAGGUUUUUUUUAGUCUAUGUUAUGAAGUUAUGUACUCUUUGUUUUCCAUCAGUAUUAAAGCUAAUGAAAACGUUGCCAUUGUUGUGCCUUUAUAAUAUGGAUUAGGACUUGAAUAUUUUGGGAACAGUUUGCAGGAAAUGCAUAGAGGAAAUGUUAUGAUCUUGGUGUUGCUCCUCUUGAUAGACUCCAAUAUAUAUUAUACUCACCAUUUCAAGUCUUUAGUUUCAGAAUGUGUCUUCUCUUCUUUUAGCAUUUUGCAUCUAUGUUUGUACCAUUGUCUAUGUAUGUCUUAUGUUCAUGCAUAUAUACCAAAAACCGGAAUAUGGAAUAUGUAACAGAGCUAUGUAAACGCAGGACGGAUAACACUUGGGAUGAUUUGAGGUUAAAUGUCUUCAAACCCUGAUGCUCCAUUGGAAACUGAGAAGCUUGCUGAGGAAACAUAAGCUGUUCCUCAGUUCUAGAGCUCGUCUAGACUAGUUUCAAACUUCCGGAAGCGUCCACGGAAAAAUCCAAGGGCUCAAAAAGAACGAGACCCAAUUGGAACAAGAACAGCCUCAUAAGGAAAGUGAAAACGGUUUCAAGAUUCUUUUCAACAUUGAACAAGAAAAUGGUUUGGUUAGUAAAAACUUAAUAAUGAGUGUUUUAAAAUGUUUUGCUUUGUUGUUUAAAAAUUUGUUUUGUUUUCUCUUUUUUUGUUAGGUAAAAUGGAGAAACAACGAACGAUGCUCAUACAAGAUCCCGCCGAUUACUUAAAAGCAAUGAAGCAAGGUAAUUCAUAUUCCUAACUAUUUGUUAGCUUACAUAGUUAGCUGAAUAGUUGGCUGUAAUGAUCUGUUAGAUAUGCUUUAUGAUAAAUGCUUGUUAGGUGUUUGUUAGGUGAAGACUCUUUGUUAUCAAUGCUUGGUAGUUUAGAGUAGGUUAAAUUGUUGAAGCUCUUUUGAUGAAUGCUGGUUAUUGAUUGCUAACAACACUUUAAUCAUAAUCGCUUAUAUAUCUUAUAUACUAAUAAAAGUUGAAGCUAAAUUUUUCUAAUAGUGUCCACAUGGGAUUUAAAAGUUCAAUUUUAUUGGUCCACAUCAACAUUCAAAAUCAAAAAAGUUUACAAAUUCUAAUAAAUUCUAAUAUUAUUACUGAAUAAAGAAAUUAAAAUCUUUACAAAUUCUAAUAUUAUUGUCUGAAUAAAGAAAUUAUAUAUAAUUUUUAUAUCACCUCAAAAUUGAAAAUUAAAAAGUUUCCAAAUUCUAUUAUUGUUUUUAAAAAUUUAUUAAAGAGAAAAAAUUAUAUAAAAUUAGUAAUAAGAAAAAAUAAAAUAAAACUAUUAAAAUAGGAAAUUUAAAAUUUAAAUUAGAUGUAUACACACAUAUUUAGAGACUCUUACAUUAGCAUCCAAAUUUUUCUCACAUAACUAUAUUAAAUUUUAAGUUUUUUUCUGUGUGUGCAACUAUUUUUUUUUAAGAAAAUAGAGUUAGGUUUCACUAAGGAAUUACAAAGUCUAGAGGUCGCUGGUUCGAAUGGCUCUUGGGAUGAAACUAAUAUUACUGUACAUGCUGUGGUUUCGAACCUGGAGGGAUUACGGGUUUCGGCCCAGAACCUCCUGGUAAUCCAAAAAAAAAAACCAACUUGACUAAACUAUAUAUUUAACUAUUAGUUAAAUUAUAAAUAAUAUAAUGAAAAGAGAUAUAAACGAGCCACUACAAGCCGCUUUAAUAUUGAAAAAAAAAUCAUAAAAUUUCCAGAGCUUGACCACUGAAUUUGAGAAGAAUGAUAGAUUCUAAGCAAUCUGAAAAACGAAGCACUGAAAAUAGAGAAAAAGAUUACAUCAUUAAGACAAAAGAGAUUAAGGUAUCCAAGAAAGAUUUUUGAAAUAACAUGGUAUCUAAUGGGGUUUUAACAACCCAACAUGAACCACAAAUGUAACAGUUAGCUGACCAAGCAACAUCCGAAUACAUUUGGCAAGCCUCAAAAUAAGAUGCAAUGGAUCUCGUGUGGGAUCUUCCAGAUUUAAUUUCUAAAUCUAUUACUAAUAAAAGUUAAAGCUAUAGGUCUAUAAGAAUGUCCACAUAUUAUUUAAAAUUUCAAAUAUAUUGGUCCACAUCAAUAUUUAAAAUUAAGAAAAUUUCCAAAUUUUAAAAUUAUAUUGUUAACGAAAAAUAGAUUUAUAGAAAAAUAAAAGUUGAAGCUAUAUGCUUCUAAGGACAUCCACAUAAGAUUUAUAAGGUCAAUUUUAUUAGUCCCCAUCAAUAAGUAAAAUUAAAAAAGUUUCUAAAUUAUUAAAUUACAUUGUUAAUACAAAACAAUAUAGAUUUUUUUUAAUUUAAACUUAUUCUAUUAUUAGUAUUAGUUAAAGCUAUAUUAUUUUCAAGGAAUUCAAAUCAGCAUUUAAAAAUUCAAUGUUAUUCAUAUAUAUCAAAAUUGUAAAUUAAAAAAAAGCUUCAUAAUUCUAAUAUUAUGGUUAAGAAAAUAAAUUAAAAAUUAAAGAAAUCUCUAUUAACAAAAAAAAAACCAAAAUGAUAUUAAAAUCUCCAUUAUCACUGUUUAAAUAACAAAAUAUUUUAACUCAAGUCCUCAGCUGGUUGGUCUGCAAGCUAGAGAGGUGAGUCACUGCAAGCAGCAGUGGGGGAGGUUAAUUGACAAGUUUUUUGGAUGCUAUGAGGCUGCAAUGAAGGAGCAAUCAAGCGGCCAGAAUGAGAAUGAUUUAAUGAAAGCAGCUCAUGAAAUCUUCUUCAAUGAUCACCUGGUUAAGCUCACACUUGAGCAUGCAUGGAGGGUGCCUUGCCAUGACCAGAAAUGGUGUUCAACGGCUUUGUUAAAGAUGGUGGAAAGGUUAAACGAAGAAAGGUUGAGGAGGGUUCAGCACAGUCUUGAGGCUCCCAACAAGAAAACCAUGGAGAGGAUGUUUCAUAUGCUCGUCCGCCUGGUAUUAAGGAAUCAAAGGCUGCUAAAGCUAGAAGGAAUGGAAUGCAUACAAAUACUGGUAAGAAGAAGGCAAGGCUCUGUUGGAGUUAAAGAGCAUGUGGGAAAUAAAAAAAGGACUUGGAAAUGAAAGAGAAGCUUUCUAAGAAUAAAUUGCUUGAGAGUGUCCUUGCAAAAACAGAACCACUUUCUGAUAUAGAAAUGGCUCUAAAGAACAAGCUAAUUAGUGACAUGUUGUCAUAAUUAGUCAUCUCUUUCUAGUGUUUUAUGUGUAAUAACUAUUAUUUGUUUUGUAUGAACUUUGAUGUAAGCUGUUUCUUGGUUAACUGAAUGAUGGAUUUAUGCUAUGAUAGUUUGGUUUAUAGAUACAUGAACAUUGAUCCUUUGAAGUUUGUUUGUUUGCUCUUGUUAAUGCUUUACCUCGGUCUUGGAUUUCCGAUAUGGGUUUUGGUUGUUCUUUGUCAGCUAGACCUCUCAACGAGCAACUCCAGAGAUGUGAAAUUGUUUCCUUCAACAAGAUAUAUAGGUAUUGUUUAUUUGGUCAGAGCUGUGACAUUGUUGCCUUCAAAAAGAUAUGUAAGUUAUGUUUAUUUGGUUCGUGUAUUUGGUUCCAUUUCUUAUAUAGGUUUUGUUGUGCUUUGCUUUGUGUCUUUAGUUCCAUUUCUUAGAUGGGUUUUGUUGUGCUUUGCUUCUUUGCUACUUUUUGAUAUGGGUUUCGUUGUUCUUUUUGUAUGAGCUAAUCAAGGACCAGCUGGAGGCACAAAAAAGGUCAAGGCCAAAUAUAGAAUACACAGAGCAAUACAGAUCACGAGUUUUCCAUUUUGGUUUUGUUUUGUUUUGUUUUUGGAGGUCAAAGGUAUUUGUUUGUUUUGUGGAGGGUCUAUUUUUGUUAUGUUUUGUAGAAUUGUAAACCACAAAAUUUUGAAGAUUGUACACCACAAAAAUUCUUGAGUAUUGUAAACCACAUAUGUGUUGUAAAGAUAUCGAUCAUUUAUUUUCUAUAUAUGUGUUUAGAAUGUGUUCUUUUAUUUCUCAAUAAAAAAAAACUCCAACACUUCUCUUCUUUUAUUUCUCCAUAAAAAAAGUGCACCUCUUCUCUUCUUUUAUUUCUCAACCAAACUCCAACUCUUCCCUUGUUUCUCAAUCAAACAAAAAUAAAUUCACAAAAAAUGGCAUCAUCUUCAAACAAUGUUUUCGACGGAUCACUUGAUGAAGGUUAGGUGCGCCUGUCGCCCACUAAAAAGUAAUGAGGCUAGUCUCCCCCUUGAAGUUUUGAUGAAGUCUUCGAUCAAAAAUUCGACAAUAUGUUCGAUGCCAUUCUUGAUGCAGCAACCAAGCCAAAGAAGAAAUGACCAUAUAUUGAAAGAGAACGCGAAGAAGGCCACAACCGCUUAUGGAGCGAUUAUUUCAGUGAAGAUGCAAUAUACCCUCCUAAUAUAUUUCGACGCGGUUUUAGAAUGAACAAGUCCUUGUUCAUGUGUAUUGUUGAUCAACUCUCCCAUGAUGUGCCCUUCUUUCCAAGAAUAAUAUAUGGUACGGGACGGUACAGUAGCUUUGGNNNNNNNNNNNNNNNNNNNNNNNNNNNNNNNNNNNNNNNNNNNNNNNNNNNNNNNNNNNNNNNNNNNNNNNNNNNNNNNNNNNNNNNNNNNNNNNNNNNNNNNNNNNNNNNNNNNNNNNNNNNNNNNNNNNNNNNNNNNNNNNNNNNNNNNNNNNNNNNNNNNNNNNNNNNNNNNNNNNNNNNNNNNNNNNNNNNNNNNNNNNNNNNNNNNNNNNNNNNNNNNNNNNNNNNNNNNNNNNNNNNNNNNNNNNNNNNNNNNNNNNNNNNNNNNNNNNNNNNNNNNNNNNNNNNNNNNNNNNNNNNNNNNNNNNNNNNNNNNNNNNNNNNNNNNNAAAUAGAUUUUGAUUCCUAUAGAAGAACUUCAAACGACUACUCGAUAUUGGAGAAAUACGCGGAUUUCCCGGGAUGAUAGAAAGCAUCGAUUGUAUGCAUGAGGGGUGGAAAAAUUGCCCCACUCUUCCACUCCCAAUGCAUACAAUCCAAGCGGUAGGGCACUUCUUCCACUCCCAAUGCAUACAAUCGAUGCUUCCUAUUAUCCCGGAAAAUCCACGUAUCUCUCCAAUAUCGAAUAGUCGUUGAAGAUCUUCUGGUGUGGGUCUUCUUAGAUACUUAUCUCCAAACAAAUUUAUUAUUCCUUCUACGAAAAUUUCCAAGCAAGAAAUUACUGGACUUUCACCGAGCUAGAGGUAUUCGUCAACCGUGUCAGCCGCACAACCAUAUGCCGUCAUACAAAUUGCUGCUGUACACUUUUGUAAUUCAGAGAGACUGAACCUUCCAGUAGCAUUUCUUCUUUGUUGAAAGAAUGGAACCUCAUGGGUGAGUCGAUCAACAAUACACAUGAACAAGAGUGUGUUCAUUCUAAAUAUAUUAGGAGGGUAUGUUGAAUCUUCACUGAAAUAGUCGUUCCAUAAGCGGUUGUGGCCUUGUUCGCGUUCUCUUUCAAUAUAUGCUCUUUUUCUGUUGCUGCAUCAAGAAUGGGAACAUAUUGUCGAAUUUUUGAUUGAAGACUUCAUCAAAACUUUCAUCAAGUGAUCCAUCGAAAGCAUUUUUGGAAGAUGAUGCCAUUUUUUUUGAAUUAAUUUUUGUUUGAUGGAGAAACAAGAAACAAGGGAAGAGUUAGAGUUUAGUAGAGAAAUAAAAGAAGAGAAGAGUUAGAGUUUUUAUAUUAAGAAAUAAAAGAACAUUUUCUAAACACAUAUAUAGAAAAUAAAUGAUCGAUAUCUUUACAACACAUAUGUGGUUUAAAAUACUCUCAAGAAAUUUUGUAGUUUACAAUCUUCAAAUUUUUUUGGUUUACAAUUCUACAAAACGUAACAAAAAUAGACCUCCACAAAACAAACAAAUACUCUAGACCUCCAAAAACAAAACAAAACAAAACUCUUUGGUAAGGGUGCGUAAGUGAAUUUGAUUUUGAGGAAAGUGCGUGAGAAGGGACAAAAAAAGAUGAGGUAAACAUAUUAGUUUGAAAAAUAGACUGUUAAAUCUCAAAGUGAGAGUCUGAGGGGGUAAUAAAUAUGUCUUAUUCAUCUAACGAAAUAACUUGGUAAAACUGAGAUGAUUAAUUUGCUGUGAAUUAUUUACUAGCUUUAUAAUUGUAAUCUCUUAACAAAAUAGAGAUGUGUUAUGUGAGUUAUUUACUAACUAAAAAAUUAUUUACGAACUAAAAUACAGAAUCAGAGAUGAACUAUUUUAAAGCUCUAUUAAUAUUCUUAUAUGCUAAUUAUAUAAUAAUGAUUAAACGUAACUAGUUGAAGUGAUUGAUAAACCUUUUGUAUUUUUUAAAGUUGAAAAUGUUACAACUACAGUCAUGGAUAUAACUAUAUGUAAGUAACUAUUUUGGGAACAAAUUUUAAUACAAUUAAAAUUUACAGUUAUCUUACUUUAUUUUCAUGUAUUGUAUAGUCUUUCCAGAGAAAUUUUAUAAUUGUAGGGUUUGGAAUUUUAAUAUGUUUUUUAUUUAAAUGUUUCUUCGUCGAAAUAAUCGAUUUGAGUUUAUUAUAUGCCAAUUUCAGUACCUAAUUUUUCUACUUCUACAGAACUCAUCCCAACAAGUGAAAAGAUGUCAAGAAGAUGGAAUUGUGUGACCAAAGCCUUGAAAAUAUUUUUAAAUCAUGCAAGUCUUCUUACCAGAUAGCAUAUGGUAAUGGAACUAAAGAAUCAUAAGAUGCCAUUUUGAGAAAACUUAGGCUGAUAUUAAAUUUGCUUUCAGUUAAGGAAUGUAAAAAAUCUUUAGCGAUUAAAGUCAAGUGAAAGAUUUAGCGUUCCAACGUGAGAUCUAUAUGAUUUCUCUGCAACAUGGUGUGUACUUUUGAUAUAUAUAUAUAUAUAUAUGUAUGUAUGUGCGUGUGUGUGUAUGCACUUUGCAGAGAAAUCAUAUAGAUCUCACGUUGGAACGCUAAAAUACAGAAUCAGAGAUGAACAAUUUUAAAGCUCUAUUAAAAUUCUUAUAUGCUAAUUAUAUGAUAAUGAUGAACUAUGCUAAUCAUGGUGUGUACUUUCCUUAUCCUAAGUUCAUAUAUAUGCGUGUGUGUGUGUGAAAUAGACGCAAAGGAAAGACAGAGAGGAUGAGAAAACGGGCACGGAAAGAAGGAAAUAUGGAGCUGUAUUAAUAAAAUCGCCUAAGAGGUAAAAUAGAAUUGCAUAGAAGAAAUAUGAACUUAGGAUAAGUAUUUCUGAGUUGUCAUUCACAUCAGAAUCCUUUUAUUUGAACAUAAGAAAAUGAAAAAAUAUAUUCGUUGAAGUUGAUUAUCAAUUGGAUAAUAUGUUAACCAAGGCUUUUGGAUGAAUGAGAUUAUAGUUUUUAUAGCGAGGAUUUGAUGCAGGGUUUCUGAAAUCUUGAUACCGGAUAUAGUUUCCAUUAUUUUCUUUUGCUUUGUUUUGUGGAAUCACUUUCAUACUAACAUGUUUCUGGGGAAAAUAUUGUCAUUGGGCUAAAUACAAUUUAGGAUAUCAUAGUUAGAAUUGCAUUACAUCCAUUUUAUGGUUUCAGAAGAGUUUGUGAAAGUCUUAGCCAAUGAGAAUAAAAAAUAGUUUCGAGUAACUUUAUCUAUUUGUUUAUAAAAUAUGUCUCUUAAGUUCAUAAUUCCAUAAAUUGAUACUUACUAUUUGUUGGAUUAUAUAUCAACUCUAGAUUUGUUGAGUUUUUUUUUUUGGGUCGAAGAUUUGUUAAGUGUUUGUUCAUGGUUUUUAGUAGAGAAUGUAUUUGAUUAGCUUCUUUGAAGAUAAAAUAAAAGCCCACAAAAAAACAAUUAAAUUUUAUUUCAUUUAUGAUGUUCUCUUUUAUUAUACUUUAAUACUUAUUAUAAUUAGCAUCUAUUAGUAUAAUAGUUUUUCCUAGAAUCUGAGAACAUAUAUAAUAUUUAUAAAAGAUAACUUAUAAAUAUCAAGGAAGUAUACUUUAAUAAUUUUAUUUUUGAGUUUAUGUAUAUAUAGUUUAGGAAAAUAUUUACCUUCAGUUACAUAUAUCAAAGUGUGGUAUUUAAGAAUGUAUGUUAUGAGUGGUACUGUAACAUCCUAAUUCCUGGUAUAUAUGAAAAAGCUUUAUAGAAUUGAUUUGAUUACCUGUGGUAUCCUAAAAUAAUAACAUGUGGAAGCCAAGUAUUGAGAAGAUAAAUAGGUGAAGUUCUCAAGAAAAUUUUUUAACACUACAAACUAGAAAAAUACACAUAAAAAUUGGUUAGAAAAAGGAGAAAUGAGAGGAAGAUAAUCAAUACUAGGUUUAAAUCGUGCCAAAAUAUGGUAUGUAUUCAAUUUGUGGUGUUCAUGAAAGAGAGAGAAAGAGAAAGAGAGAGAGAGAAAAUGCAUCUUGAAAAUAUAAUAGACGUAUUUGGAAUGAUAUUAGUGUGAGCUGAGUGAACAUUUGAGAAUAAUGAAAUAUAUGUAUCUAUUAUUUUGAAUCCUCUAAGCUUUAUUCUCAUUCUCCUUUUUAGAUAUAUAUAGAAUUUCAUAAGAGUUAACUGAUUGAUAUGUAGACUAAAUUUAGUGACUGGUUUGAGUUGUGUUUAGCUAUGAGCGUAAAGUGUCUCAGUUUAUAAUUUUUUGGUGGAUAUGAUUUAACAUCAAUAACUUUAACUAGGUUGAAUAAUUUUUUAUAGCGUAUUUCAUCAAUAUGUGUAGCGCAAUAAAAUAGUAAUCAUCCUUUCCAAUUUAACAUUUAUAAUUAUUCACUAUUUGUUUAGUUCUAUUUUUCUUAGUUACAUAAUAUUGAAUAAUUCUUUUUUUUGUGAAAUACUAAAUUUUAUUAAAUUUUUUCCUAAAAUUCUUUUCUAACUAGUAUAUAUAAUAUUCCGAGAAUUCUAAAUGUGCGGGCGGAUAGUCUGGCAAAAUGAGCCUAAACAAGAGGAAUUAUUUUUUUCUAAAUCGAUCAUAUCGAGCCGGUCAAGGAUGGUCAUGUGACCACUUCUAUGAUGGGCCAAAUGUGAUUGUAAUAGUUGGGUAGAGGAAAACAAACUAGUAUAUAUAAUACUCAUGGUUAUUAGUACAGUGUGCUUAUUCCACAGAAGAGAACUGAAAAUAAAGACAUCUCCAACUCAUCUCAAUUUUUGACUCUAAAUGGUAUUUUAGAGAAAAAUCCUCUCCAACCCACCUCUAUUUCCAACUCUAAAAUAGCAUUUCUCUAUUUUUUCCUAUAUAUUUGGAGGAACUCUAUUUUUUACUCUAAAAUAGAGUUGAAUUUUUUUAUUUAUUAAUGUCCUUUAAGUUUCAAAUUUUUUUAUUUAUGACUAAAACAAACAGUAUAAAUGGUAUAUAUUUAAAUUUUACAAUAAAACUUAACAAAGUUAAUUUCAGAUGUAUUAUACUUACUUUAUUCAUUUUGACAUAAAAAAGACUAGUGAUUUAAUAUAUUUGUGAAAAAACAAAAAUAUAGUAAUAGUGAUUUUAAAUCCAAAUCUACUAUGUUUUUUUCAUUUUUAAUUGAUAUAAUGAAUUUUAACUAUUGAAUAAAUGUUUAUUUCAAAUAAUGUUAUAAUAUUGUAAAAGUUUUGUAAAUAAUAAAACAAGUGGGAUUAAAUUGUAUUUAUUUACAGAUAGAAGAUAUUAAUAAUAAAAUAAAAUAUAUAUACUUAGAAUAUUCUCUUUUUAAAGUUAAAAAUAGAGAAAUACAAUGGAGGAAAAUCCACCUUUAUUUUAGAAUAAAAAAUAGAGGAAUGCAUUGGAGAUGGUCUAAGAGUCCACUUCAUUGGAGAGCAUGAGCAACACAGAGUCAUACUCGCCGGAGUUUGGGCUCCCCCUCUAAUGAGCGAGUCUACAGAAUCAAAAAUAAUUGUUGAACCGGAUCUUGACCAAAGAUAUCCAGAUCCUGGUUAUCGAUCUGGAGCGUUUGGACAUGGAGAAACUGAGAGAAGCAUGCAAGGACUGGGGAAUAUUCCAUCUGGAGAAUACGGUGAUACCGUCAAUGCUGAUGUCACAGGUGAAAUAGAUAACGGAUUCGCUGUUGAGUCUGCCGUUUGAUGAAAAAUGGAAGUUGCUCGGCAUUAACUCUCCGUUAUCGUAUUACAGAGGAACAGAUACGGUUAGUCCAUCGGGAAACACCGUAAACAAGGCCCCACGAAAAUCUAGUGGUCACUUGUUCGAUGGCAUCAACGUUCCUCUUGGUUUUUGACAAUGGCAAAGCGAGCUUGCAAAACUCCAAAAGCACGUUCGACGUCUUACAGGCUGAUUCUUGAUGUGUAUCAAAUAAGGAUUCUUUCUGACCUUGUGGUAUUUGAAUAGAUUGGAUAAAUGUAGCUCAUUUAGGAUAAAUUUCAUCGGUGAGAUAGUAAGCCAAAUGAUACUGUCGUCCGUUGACAAAGUAAUUCACUUUUGGAGCUUUACCUUGUAAUAUAUCAUCAAAAACUGGUGAGCGAUCAAGAAUAUUGAUAUCAUUUGAGGUACCUGAAAGUCCAAAAAAAGUGUGUCAUCCAAAGAUCAUGUUAAACUACAGCCUCUAAAACGAUUGUCGAUUUGCCAGAUCCACAUGAGUAUUGCUCUUUCCAAGCGGUGGGGCAAUUCGAAAGAUUUUUUUGUUCCAGCUCUCAGUUUUCCCUUUUACUUUUUCUUUGAUAUAUUGGAACAUCUCCGACUUUUUCCUACCAAACUGUUCGGGCACACCAAGGUAUUUACCUCCACCACCAUCAUUCAAGAUCCCAAGGAUGUUGCUCAUUUGAGUUUUAACCCGAUCCUGAACUUUGCUACCAAAAGUAAUCGAAGACUUCUGUAGAUUCACUGCCUGACCAGAAAUUGCUUCGUAUAUACCCAGAAUUUUCUUUAUUGUUCUGCAGGAUUUAGAUUGGAAAGGGUGAAAAACAAAGAGUCAUCAGCAAAAAGAAGAUGACUAACUGCAGGACUUCUAUUGCUGAUUUUGAUUCCCUGUAACUUUCUUUCAGCCAUUUCUCUAUUCAUCAUAUGAGAUAAUACAUUUGCACAGAGAAUAAACAAAUUAGGUGAAAGAGGAUCACCCUGGCGUAUUCUUCGCUCUGGUUGAUUAUAACCUUUAGCUGAUCCAUUUAUCAAGACCGAAAAGGAAACAGUUUUCACACACUCUAUUACCCAGUCAACCCAUUUCUGAUUAAACCCCAUCUGGAUCAUAGUCACCUCUAAAAAGCCUUAUUCAAGCCUAUCAUAUGCUUUGGUAAUAUCAGUUUUCAGAGCCAUAUAAUAUUGUCUGUGAUCAUUCUCCCAGGUAUGAAAGCUGCUUGCUUUUCUGCAACUAUCCCAUGUAAAUGCUUCUUCAAUCUGUUUACUAAAAUCUUAGAGAUGAUCUUAUAAGAAACAUUAUGUAAAGCAAUAGGACGAAAAUCAGACAUAGUAUUGGGUGGAUCAACUUUUGGAAUCAAACAGAUAUUUGUGUGACUAUGAGAAGCAUCCAGUUUAGCCGUAUCAAAGAAAUUUUGUACCUCAGUAAUUAUAGAUGGGCCGAUCUCAUUCCAAUAUUGUUGAUAAAACUGUCCUGUAAAUCCAUCAGGACCUGGAGCUUGAUGAGGACCAAUAUCAAAGACUGCUUUUUUAAUUUCCUCUGGAGACACAUCCUUUGUAAGAUCUUCAUUGAUAUGGGGUUACUUUCCUUUGAUAAUCUCUGAAAACCUCUGAAUAAAGAGCUCCAGGGUCAGUGUUUGAAGAGAAUAGCGUUUGAAAAUAGUCAUCAGCUACCCUGGCAAUCUCAUAAUCUCCUCUUUGAAUAACACCAUGAGAAUCUAAUAUGGAGUUAAUUCUGUUCUUUGAUCUCCUGGUUUUUGUGACAGAAUUAAAAUAUUUGGUGUUCCUAUCACCAGCUUUUAACCAUUGAUUCCUGCUCUUUUGAUUCCAAAAAAUCCUCUUCUAGGUACGCUUGAUCUAACUCUUGCUUUAAUCUAUUCCUUUCAUCCCUUGUUGAAACACUUGAUGUAAUUACCCGAUCUAAUUUCCUUCUAAUCAAGAAAAUUCUUUCCUCUGCAUUGAUCCGGUCUUUCUUUUCCAUCCUGCAAUAGAUUUACUGCAGUUUCUUAAUCUUUGCACUAAAGACACUUGAUCAUUCUGCAGAUGGGAAUCUCCAAACCAACCCUGAAGCACUGUAUUGUGAAAACACUCCUUACUGAUCAUACGACCAUCAAAUCUGAAACUCUCUCUUUUUUCUUCAACUCUAUCCAAUAUAUACGUUACCAGAGGCCGAUGAUCUGAUUCUUCCAUCUCUAAAAACUCUGUUUCUGAAGAAGGAAACAUUUGAUGCCAUUCAUUAUUUGCCAUAGUGCGAUCUAGGCAACAUAAUACAAAGUGUUUCCCUCUUUGGCCUGCCCAGGAAAACCGGUUACCAAUUGAUUUCAAAUCAGAAGAAUCACAAGCUCUAACCAUUCUUCUCAUAUCCUGAAACGAUGCUUCUGUUCUACACCGACCACCCUUUUUCUCAUCAUUACUCAAUAGCUCAUUGAAAUCACCCUGAAUAAACCACGAUUGACCUCUUCUAGUGAUAGCUAUUCUUUCAAUCAUUUCCCAUAGACUGUUUCGGAAACUUGGAUUUGGGUUUCCAUAGACAAAAGACAAAUACGUAGAAUGAAACUCCAUUACUUUUGACUAAACAAUCUACAAGAUUAGGAGAUUAAAAUAAGACAGAAAGAUCAACAUGAGACUUCCAAAAGACAACUAUACCCCACUUAAUCCAUCCGGUGGGACUAUUACAUGAUGAAAACACCCUAACUGACAACCCACAUCUCUAACAUAGUUGUUUUGCUGCUUUGUUUCAGAAAAGCAAAUGAUGUCCGGGAGAUAUUUCCUGUUUAUCUCCUUAAGGCGUCGAACUGUCGAGUCAAUGCCUAAAACUUGACAAAUCCAACAUGUUGUCCUCAUGGCGAGUGUGGUGGUUCAGGGCCCACCGCGCCUCCAUCAUUUUUGUUGAUUCCGUUUCUGAAAUUACUGCCACUGCAUUCACCUUUCUCCUGAAUCUGAGCUCUUAAAAAAUUUUCCUCACCGUGUUUAUAAACAGUUGCUUUGUUGCGGGCAUUAUUUAAGUCGUCAGAGGAUUUCCUCUUACGAUUAACACCUGCAAGAUUCACAAAGUAUGGAAAGGGGUUGUGUAGCUCAUUCAUGUCGAGAUCAUGGCUGAGCAUGAUACGCAUCACAGCAGGAACAUUUGAUUCUGCAUCAGAUGUCUCAAGUGGAAUGUAAUCCUCCGCAGCAUUUGGAUUAAACUCCUCUUCAUCUUUGUCCUGUUGUUCUCCAGGGCCAUUAACAUUUUCAUUGUGAUCACCUUCCUGCAUAUUCUCACCCAAAAUAUUUUCAGCAUCAUCAAUCUCGUGAAUCUCAACACCAUUAUUACCUCCAUAAUUCGGCUGGACAGCAUCAUCGUUGUCAUCAUCUCCAUCAGAAUUGUGUCCUUCAGGGCCACUAUUUUGAAUCAGACAUUUCCCCGAGUCAUGUGUUAACAUACCACAAACUUCACAAAAUCUCCUAAGCCUCUCGUAUGUGAACCGCAAAAGCGUGUUUGUACCAGGAGAGAAUUGGAAAUUCCUCUGAAAUCUUAGGGGAGCAGCAACGUUCCAAUUGAGACGAACCCUGACAAACUCCACUCGUGCUGCUGUCUCAAGAUUGAAAUCAACUCCAAUCAGAGUAUCCAUAUUACGCCCAAUAUGAGAGAUUACAUCAUGAUUGAGAUAUUGGAAAGGUAUUCCCCUAAUCUGAACCCAAAUUGGAAUGAGAUCCAUGUCCAAAGGGUCCAUCGUAGGAGUCCACCUCUACAAAACUAAUAUCCUGUCGAAAAACGCCCAUGGUCCAUGCCGGAUCACCAUCUCCAGAGCCUCUUCUGUUGGGAAAACAAACUGGAAUCUCCCACCCUCAAUGAUUCUGCCAUGGACAAUCCUAUCUUGUCCCCACAUUCGAGGAAGGUUGGCAAUGAUUGACCGGAGAUUUUGCUUUCUUGGCAUCACCAGUCUUCCCAUUAAAAUGAAUCUGUUAUCCCCCACCGCCUGAGUCACAACUUCCACCGGGAGAGCAAUUGGUGGAUCAUCUGCACCCAAAUUGAUGUCUUGGAUCGCUCUUCGCAGAUUGUCAGCCAUUUUCGGAAGGGUUGAGUAGAAUCAAAAAGGAAGAAAAUAGAUAACUGAAAGGAAUGCUUUUCGAUUUGAGUGAGGGAAAGUCGAUUGAAACAAACUCUUUUUAUAGGCGUCUCGCCAUCGCAAAUUCGGAAAUCCAUUAUCAUCACGAUCAAUCGUGAGAUCAAUCGGGCAUAACCGUCGGCGAGUGGCAUACUGCGAAGAGAUUAGCCGCUUCACCGGCGAAAUUGUUGAAAACCGUCAAGAAAACUGUCAAAAAAUGUCGGCCAUAAAACCGCUCAGAAAUCGCUUUUUUAAUCGCCUCUCUAACGGUCAUUUCUAGUGCUCUUUUGCUCUACGAUUCCCUUAUUCUAUUCAACGGCUGUGUGUCAUUUUACUGUUACUUUAUCUUUUCCUCUUUUUUGGGUAAUUUUUUUUAGUUUGCAUGCAUAGAUAAUUUUACUCUUACUUCAUUGGUGAUUUUUGUUGGUUUAACAAUUUAAUAAAAUCAAUUUUCAGAGAAGUAUUAUUUAAGUUUGCGCGUAGACAAUUUUAUUCUUUUUUUUAUAGACAAUUUAUUCUUGAAAGCUAAGGUUAAAUUAAUUCUACACUUCUUGAGAAGACAUUUUAUUUUUUCAUGAGAAGUUUCAUAUAAUAACAGAUCUUUACAAGUUUAAACCUUGCUGAAUUUCAAGUUAGAAGUCUAUUUCUCCGCAAAAUCAAAAUUCAAAACUUAUUUUCUUCCAAUAUCGGUUUUAUAGGUUUAGUGCCUGACUGGUUUAAACGCAGCGGUUGCGGUUGCGAGUGCAAGAGUUUGCGGAAGCGAGUAAUUGCAGUUUUGAGCGUUAUUAAGCGGUUUGCAUGAAUGUUUUAACUUUUUAAGGUGGAUCUGUUUGCAGGACAUUUUUGACUGGCAAACCAGCGGAUGUUUUAGCGGUUAAACAUAAAAUUACCAAAAUAAACAUCAAAAUUAAUUAUAUAAAAAAAACUAUAUUAUUAUACUUAAUAUCAAAAUCACUGGUUCAAAAUAAUCAGUGGAUGUCAUACCAUUGAAGUUUUUAUUUGAAAAUCAGUCAAAACAUAUAUCCAAUUUCGAAAACAUAUACAUGUAAAUCAUAAACUAUAGAUUUGAAAACUUUUAAACAAAGAGAAAUCAUAUUGGAAAUCAACACACACAAAAAAAAAAUCAAUAUGAAUAAAUUAAACCAAAGUAUUAUGGCAUUUAUGCUUGUGUCUUGAUUUUUUUUUAACUGGUAUGGAAGUCAUGAUUAAAAAUUAGAAUUUGAUAGAAAAAGUGAUAGAUUAGGGUUUAUAUAUAUAGGAGAAGAUUAGUAGGGUUUGGGUUUUAUAAUUGUUUUUAACAUAACCUUUCAUUUUUUUAGCGUGAUUUUUUUUUAUAAUCCAACCGCUAUCGCCCGCAACCGCACACUAACAGAAAAUAGCUUUUAGAUUUCAAUGGUAUAAAACGAUACAGACCAGUUUACAGCGAUUUCUAUAAUUGUUAUAAAACGCCAAUAACCGCUACUAACCACAAACGCAACGUUUGCGGAUGAUAGCGGGUCAACCAAUCAACACCAUAAACCCAAACUAAACCGAAUGAAAGAUGAAUCCAAACCAAAGAAAAUCCAACACAUAUCCAAUCUUCUUCUUCUUACCACCAUAUUUUUCCUUGCGUUCUCACUUUUGCUACCACAAUUUAUUUUUCUUUCAAACUAAACACUUCUUUUACAUUGCUAUUCAUCCCUCCCAAAUUCUAGAUUUCCCCACUUUCCAGCCUUUCACCUCCAAAACCCUAGAUCCAACAUCCACAAGAAGUUCUUUUCCCUCACUCAGUUGUCUUUGCGGUGUCGAUGUAGGCGUAAGAUCGUUAACGCCUCCGGAAGCGGUUGCUGGAUUUAAUCUAUGGAGAAGAAUUUGUUAUCUCCGAACGGAAAUCCAGCAUGAAGUGAUUUCAUCGUCGGUGACGAUGCUAGAUUGUGAUAUGCCAUUCUUUUUUCUUCUGUGUAUGUGCCUUUUUUCUUGUUUUUCCAAUGGUGAAGAAAGCUAUAAAUGAAGAAGAAUGAAGAAGAAAUUUUUAAUCUCAAUUAGAAUUUCAGUUUGAUAUGCAUAUCAGGAGAGAUGAAAGCGAUUGUGCAAUAUCCCUUUUUUCUUUUCUGCCAAAAAUACAAAUCAAACAGAAAAUUAAAAUUAAAUAAUAGAACAAUUGAGAGAUCGAGAGAGAUGAGAUGCAGAGAGAGGUAAAAGAAGAAGAAAAAAUUGUAACGGGUUGUAAUUUGAUUUAGUUUUGGUGGGGAUAACCGAGUUAUAAUCGGGUUGAGAACAUUGAUUCUGGUUAUUAUUAUUUGUUUUUUAUUGUUUAGUUGGUUAAGUGUUAAUUUGUGUACAGUAAACUAAGUCAAAUCUGUGAUCUGUG